RNAcentral lists this long non-coding RNA (112351 nucleotides) under Theobroma cacao (cacao). RNAcentral's name for it is "long non-coding RNA (TCAC_LNC000395)". The stretch from base 67039 to 67145 matches the Rfam family "Plant small nucleolar RNA R71". The record is from RNAcentral. Lineage: Eukaryota; Viridiplantae; Streptophyta; Magnoliopsida; Malvales; Malvaceae.
CCAAUCAUACAUUCAUAAUGGCAUCAACAACCAUUAUAUACAUAUAUAGAUUAACAAAUGAAUCUUAACAUUUCACAUCAAGUAUUCAUAUACACCUAAUUGGACCUUGACCAUCAGCGGAGUGACUCUGGGCAAGGUUGCUAACAUCUAAUGUCAUGGUAAACCUACCGAGCAAUGGAUGGGGAGGAACACCUCAUCCUAGGAUCCAAUCACCUUUGACUCAGAAGAAAAAACCUAAAACAUGAAGUUUAAAAACAUGAGUAUAAACUCAGUGAGUGAACAUAGGAAGGGAACAAGCAACGUUAAGGAAAGUUUAGAAAUCAUGAUGCAUUUAAGUUUGAAAACAAUGCAACUUAGUUCAAGUUCUUAUUAAAAAUACCUCCAUUUAACCCCUAGUUAUUAAAUCCUUUAAUGAUGAAGGAACCAUAUUCAACAUGAAAUUGGAAAUAAAGGAAAUUUCCAGCAAUCAUCCAAGCAAGGCAGUAUAAACAGAAUGUUUCUCGCUGUAAUAAAAUGAAUUCACAAGUAAAUGGGAAGUUUUCAAGAUUCAUCAUGCCAUAUAAUCACAUAUUAUAAUCAUGAUCUUUCUAUUGCAUAUACAUAUACUUAAGCAUAUAUCAAUUAGUAUACCACCACAUCUCAUCCAGCUCAUGUGCAUCCCCCCACAUCGUGCACAUAGCUAAACACCCCAUCUCACCCAGCUCAUGUGCAUCCCCCCACAUCGUGUACAUAGUUGGACACCCCAUCUCACCUAGCUCAUGUGCAUCCCCCCACAUCGUGCACAUAGCCAGAGUCAUCGUGUCUCACCCAGCUCAUGUGCAUCCCCCCACAUCAUGCACAUAGUCGGAGUCAUCGUAUGCAUCCCCCUACAUCGUGCACAGAUAAUGCCAUCAUGUACAUCCCCCCACAUCAUGCACACGAGCAGUAUCACCAUCCAUCUCUCUCACCACCGUCAUCACCGGCAAGUGCACACUCACCCCGCACAUGCACGAUUGCAUUUGUCAUACAAUGGUACCAUUUAUGACAUAGUAUAUACAUAUCAACAUUAUACAGAAACAUAUGAAUUCAUCACACUAUCCAUUUCAUAACAUAAAAACAUUUCAUAAAGGUUUGUUCCCAUGCAAGCUUUUGAAGAAAAACCAAUAAAACGUUUUAGGAGAUUCAAUCAAACAUAAAUGUGUAUAUCGCAAAACAUUUUAAUGCAAGUUCACUCACUUGGCAAAAUUAACAUUGACAAGGUUCUAAUCCAAGUAGUCCCGAAAUACCAUCAAAACCUAUAUUUAUCAAUAACCAAUAACAACCUCAAGUAAGUCAUAAAUUUAAAUCUAAUAAUUUUAAUAAAUUUACACUAGGUAAUCUACCCUCUAACCAAACAUUUAACUUAAAUUUCUAGUCUAAUUCUCAAACCCAUCAUACCAACUAUUUCCAAAUGUAAAGAUUCUUUACCUUGGUGAGCUCGGAGGCAUGAAAAUCAAUGGAAAACCUAAUCUUUCCAAGAAAAAUGAUUUGAAGAAAUUAGGAAAUAAAUCUGAAAAUAUAACCAUAAAUUCAAAAAUUUCAAAAGUUGGAAAUAUAUACCUUUCAACCUUGAAAAUGAAGAUUUGAAGCCAAAAAUCUAAGUGUUGUUGAAAGUGAAGUAGAAAUAGAAAAUAAAGGAAAGAAAGAGAGAUUUUUCUUUCUCUCUCCUUGGGUUUAGAAGUGCUGGAAAUUGGGGUUAGAAGUUGUAACUUUGGUGCACAAGGAGUUGGGAGAAGAAAAAAGCAAAAAAAGAAAGGAAAUGAAAAGAAAACAACGAAAGAAAAUGAAAGAAAAUUAACUUUCCAUGGAAGAAUGAGAGAAUGGUGUUGGAAGCUUCAAGAAUGAAGAAGAAACAUCUUGCUGGAGGAGAUAAGGACGGCUUUGGGCUGAUAAGGAUGAGAGUCAAAGCUUUCUUUGGAAGCUUUGACCAAACUUUGUGUAAAAUUAUCGUUUUACCCUCCAAGUUUCUUCCCUUUUUAAUUUAGUCCUCCCAACACUUAUUUAACUCCAAUUUCCUUCUAUUAUCUUCUUCUACAAAUGUACAAAUAAAGUAUAAAGUUUGUACUCCAACGCGGUGUCUCCAUAAUAUUUAAAAUAUUUAUUUACCCGCACUAUCUUUACUUAAUAAAGACAUGCAGCCCCAUUAAUGUCAUUGCUCUCCAAAAUUUUCUCAUUCCUCUUCUCCCCCAAUUAGAUUGACCAUAUACUCCUCCUUCAUGAAAAGCUUCGAUAUUGAAUAAAAUAUUAAUAUUUUAAUAUUAUUUUAUUCUAAAAAUUUUCUCUUGUCUACUUGGUACCCAAAAUACCUUAUUAUGCCUCAAUUCACUUUCGAAUCACUUUUUAUUUAGCAAAUUCUUUUCUGAUAAAAAUAUUAUUAUUUUAUUAUUAUUUUCUCGCGUGCGAAAUAUUUUAUCCCAAACUAUUCCUUUCAUCUUUCAUCACUUCUAAACAUUAUAAUUAACCUCAAUUGGCGUCCGAUAAGCUUUAUUAGUCACCAUAUCAAAGUACGAGGCAUUACACAUUCACACACGCAAGAAGUCCAUUCGAAAAAUAAGUUUUCACUUGAAUUGAUGCAUGAAUUUAAGGAUUAGCUGUAUGUUACCUUAUGCUUGAAUUAGAGUUAAUUUUUGAGGAAAAUUUGGAAAAUCAUGAUUUGGUACUUCUAUCUCUUGUUCAAAGAUUUUUUUUAUUGAUUCAGUUUUCUUUUUGUGAUUUUCUUUUGCUAGAGGACUAGCAAAAUCUCAAGUUUGGGGGUGUGAUAAUUCUAUUUUAUAGAAUUAUUUUAGUCCAAUUUUGUUAUGAAAUAUUAUCUAAGUCCUUAGUUUUUAAUUAUAAUUUAUUUAUUUUUAGUUGUUUUUAUAAUUAGGUUACUUUUAAGUUAGUUAUUUUAAUUUUAUGUUAUUCUUUUUAUUUUGGUUAUUAUUUAUUAGUUUUUAUAUUUUUUGUAGGAUUAAAAGUGAUUGGGCUUAAUUUUGGAAAGUAAGGUGUUGAAAGACCUAGAAUCUGCUUGUAUAUAUGCUUCAGUAUUUUGGCCAUAUCUGAAGCUACAGAACUCCAAAUGAUACGAUUCUUGUACCAUUGGAAAGCUAAGUGAUAUAGUUAUAACUUUUAUGAAUAUCACUUUGCCCAGUUAUGCCUCAAAGAUAGAGAAAAUCGCAUCGAAAAAUGGCUAGACGUACUAUGCCUGGAAUGGAAAUUUGUAAAGACUAAUAAUUGAUUUUUGGGCCUUUUAUUACACUUUUAAGCCCAAUUAAACCCUAGGUCAACUUAAAAAACUUUAGGUUAAGUCUAUUAGCAUAAAUAGGAUAUGUUUAACAACAUGGGACAUAACUUUUGAGAGAUUCAAGAAGUUAGAAGUUGAGGCUGAAACUUGGAGAUCAAGACGGCAAUUAUUGUUUUGUUUUCUUCCUUGGCUUUUAAUUUUCUUGUUACUUUCAAUGGUUAAAUUUAUUAUAAUGUUAUUUGUUUUUGCAAUUAUGAGUGGUUAAUUUUCUUUUUCUAGGUUUGCAAUUGAACUCACAUGAAGUCUAAAUUUUUAAUUUCUUUCUUACUUAUCUUUUAUGGGAUUUGAAUUGUUUAUUUCAAUUUGUUCUUAAUGCUUUUAAUUACUUGGCCACCAAUUAAAUUGAUAUAGGAACCUAAACAAACUUGGGAGAGGGAGUUUAGAGUAGACUAAAAUUAGGAUAGCAUAUGAUCAUAUUAAUUGAUUUGCAUAUAGGAUAGGGAUAUACCUAUAGGCCAUACGUAGCCAAAUUAGAGCCUGAACUUAAUGAGUUUGUUUUAAUUUCAAUUCAUAUAGGGAUAUGGUGUUUUGGUUAAAAUAUAAAUUUUUAUAGGUUGAGUCGGGAGACCCUUAUAAAUAAUUUAGGAGUCUAGGUUAGCAAUUCAACCCAUUGAAAUAAGUUAAGUAAGAGAGGUAAGAUUUAGAUGAAGUGUGAGGGAUAUUGUAAUCCUAGACUUGUUUGAUUUGAUUUUUACCCAAUUAUAUUGUUGCUUUGAUUUUUCUUUUUAGUAUAAAUUUUGGUUAAUUAGAUUUAGUUAAUUAAUUUAGUUAUUCGAAUUUGAUUGUUUGGAUAAGAUUAAACUGUUAUAAUUUUAGUACUUAGUAAUUUUAAAUCAAUUCCCUGAGGGAUCGAUACUCUGCUUGCUAUUAUAAUAUCUACUCGAUACGUAUACUUGCGUAGUGGAAUUUUAACUGAUAGCUAGGGUUUUUGCUCUUUGUGGUGUUCGCGGGAUUGCUUCAGGGAGUGCUAGUGCAAUUACGAAAUUACCUGGAGCAAUUUAACUUUUAGAAUAAUAAUUUAUUUUGUGCUUUUAUGUGUUAAGUAUCACCAAGGUGAUCCAUGGGUGGAGGCAUGUUUUGGUUGUUUAGUUAUAAGUUAUAAUUUUUUUUCUGCUAUGUUUUUUGAGCAUGCCAUCCCUAGCCAAACCCAUCAUAAAAUUCCCUUACCAGUUGAAUAACAACUGCUUUGGGAUUGGUACAAAAUUUCUACCAAAUGUUUUCCUUAAUUUAGGCUUGAAUGCCAAGUUGUCGAAUUAAGGUGGCGUUUGGUAUUUUGCAAGGAAUGUGAUUGUUGGGAGUGUGAUUGCUAUGAAGAUAACUUUGCAAUGUUUGGUAUAACAUGGAAAAGUGAUAAUUGUAGGGAAUGUGAUUGUUGGGAAGAUUACAUUGUAGUUAGAUCUGGCAAUUUUGGAUACGACACGUUAACACGACACUAGAAGACACGGGUUAAACAGGUUUUGUGUUUACCCUUAACGUGUUUCGUGUCUAAUCAUGUCUGACAUGUUAAGACAUGAAAAUUUUCAUGUCUUAAUGUGUCAGACACAACAAACACGUUUAAAACACGUUUAAACACGUUUACUUAAUCGUGUUAUCGUGUUUAAAUGUGUAUACGUGUUUAAACGUGUAUACAUGACACGUUUAUUAACCUAUUAAACAUUACUAGUUAAAAACUAUUUUAACUUUAUAUAAAUAAUUUUUAAUACUUAUUUGAUGUGUAUUUUAACCUUAUAUAUAAUAAUGAAUUUGAUGUGUGUUAUUUAUAUUAAAUUUUAUUAUAUAUGAUGUUAUUAUUGUUAUUUUUUUGUUAUAAUUAUUUUUAUAACUAUGGAUUUUAAAUUUAAAUAAUAAAAUUAUAUUUAAUUAUAAAUAUUUUUAUUUAAUCGUGUUAAACGUGUUAAUUGUGUUAAUCGUGUUAAACGUGUUAAUCGUGUUAAAUGUAUUAUUAAUCAUGUCGUGUCGUAUAUUGACACGUUUAAUAAACGUGUAAAACAUGUUAAUCGUGUCGCGUCGUGUUACACGUGUAUUAAACGUAUACGUGUAUGUGUUUUAAAUUUAAGACACGAAUAUUAAACGUGUCGUGUUCGUGUUUAAUCUUAACGUGUUUCGUGUCUAAACGUGUCUGACACGUUUAAGACACGAAAACACGAAUUGCCAGGUCUAAUUGUAGUGUUUGGUUUAAAUGCAGUUUACUAGGAAUGUAGUGUAAAUUUACAAAGCUAUCCUUUUGUAUAAAAAUAUAAAGUUGAAUAAACUUACAUUUUUUUAAGUUUUCAAAUUUUAUCUUUUAAAAUAAUAAAUAAUAACAUGAAAAAAUUACAUAAUAUUUGAAUACUAAUUAUUUAAAUAUUAAGAUAUGAGAAGUUACUAAAUUUUUAUUUUUAUAAUUACUUAUCAAAUAUCUUAUUUCCUCCUUUAUCCUUAAAGUUGAUGUUGAAUGGAUCAGGUUUUUCAGAUCUCAUUGUUCUAGAUGGUGUUGCUAGAGCUUUUCCUUUUUCUUCUCUUGACCUUUCUUGAGCCAUUUUCUCUAAAGGUUUGAGUGAAGAAUGAAGGUUUUGAGAAUGGGGGUGUUGAUUCUUUCAUACGGAGAACCAAUUCCACUAUCGGAUAACUCAUAGUUGCAAAUGGGUCAACUCAAAUUUAAAAGAAUUUGAAGUUGAAAAGCUUUUGGGAAAGUUUUAGUCUUUUGAUUCUUAAAAAUCUGCUUUUAGAAGAAGAGAAAAUUUCUUGAGAGAGACAGGAUUGUGAGAUUUUGCUUUAGAAGAGCUUUAAAAAUUGAAAAAUGAGAGUUUAAAGCUUAAAUACUUUCUUAACCUAAGGCAUAAAAGUCGGUUCUUAAAAGAUAAGAAUUGAUUCUUUGUGCCCUAGUGCUCUAAGACUUUUGAAAUUCUUUUUGCGAAUUGAUUCUUGAAAUUUUGAAUGUCAAUCUUUGAAUUCCCGAGGCAUUCUGGAAAUCAAUUUGUUUUUGAAGGAUAGAUUCUUUAAAAAUCAAAAGUCGAUUCUUAACCUUUGUAGACUUGAAAACCAAAGAAUUUUUUUUCUAAAUCAAAUACAAUAGAUCUUACAAGUAGAAUUAAGUAAAGUGCAUAUGGUUCUUGGUUUGGAAUGAUGCAUAUGUAUGGAAUGAUAUCCAAAUUUUAUUUCAACAACUAUUAUGUAGGCAAGAUUAUCAAAACAAUAUUCAUUCAAAUUAUGAAUUCAAGAAACUAAUCUUUACUUUAACAAUAAUCAACCAACCAGAGGGUAUCAAACAAUUAACAAAUUAGUUUCUAUAAGCUAGUCAUUCAUGGAAUAGAUAUCACUUGACUUUGUAGUAAACUCAAUCCAUGCAUUCUUGCCUUGAUCUUUCCUACAAAACAAAACCAAUUUUUGAUCUUGGUACCCAAGCUUUCUUGGGUCCUUGAGAGUUAGUUCUUCUAAGUUUGUUUUUGUCACGACCCGGAACUCCCCAUUGGGCCCGUGACAACAGUCGUGAAGCCUCGACAGACAUUCUUCACCCCGAAUGCCGAUCGAAACCUCACACGGCUCUCGUAUCAGCUUUCGCACUUCCCCAGUGAGCAAUAGUUAUCAAAUAUCGUAAUUCGAAGGAUUACGAGUCAUUUCCAAAUCAGAACAUAACAUAUUGUUUUCUAGCUCACAGGGGCAUUUUUGUCAUUUUUCGUCGAAAAUCUCAAAACUUGCUAAAAAUGUAGUAGGUAAGCAGAAAAUAUAUAUUUAGUGAUUUAAAAACAAAUUAAGUAUCUAAAAUGUUCAUUUGAAGUGAAAAUUUGGCCAUUUGAAUAUAAUAAAAAUAUUCAAUAAAAUAAACUAUUUUCUUGUAAAAUAAUUUUUAUAAAGCUAUCGGUAAAUAAUUCUUAUAGCGUAAAAGUUAAUUAUUUUCAUAUAUACUAUAAAGCAAAUAACCAAAGCAUAAACUUACUUUUACAGCGACACGUGGGCCCACAUCUAACCAAAAUGUAUCGAAAGCUGAAAACCUACAGCUUUUGCUGAUUCAAGUCUAAAUGAAGGUCCUUGUCAAAGUCAGCUAACUAUGGAAUUCUCUAAGCCUGAAAUGUGAGCAAAUGAGGGUGGUGAGAUUAUAAAAUCCCAGUGAAUAAACAGACACCAUCUAAACUAUCCAAAGGCGAGUAAAUGGAGAAGAAUUAAAAUAUUCUUUUCCAAUAUAUGUUUCAUAACAUGAAUAUUCAGUUUACUCAAUUUAUUAACAUGGCUUAUAUAUCUCACAAAACUUGGCUCCUGCCAAAAAUCAUUCCCGGGGAUGCCUUGCCCUAAGCAUCUGACCGAGACCACCAAGGCUGUUAAAUGUCUUUACAUCCGAAAUUCUAGCCAUGCCUUGGCGUUGGCUGAGUCUCACUCUCACGCAAUGGUCCACGUGAAGUGCACUCAAAUCUUUACCUCUAGAGAAACCCUCCACACGGCUCUCUAAUCGAGUUUAGGUAUAUCUGAUUCUGUGCCCCCUCUUUUAGGCUGGUCCACAAAACCUCCACUGCAGGGAUUAUGGAUUAUUUUACCUACCACCUGAUUUAUAAAAUCUUUAUCUGCAUGACAUAGCAAUUUAUCGCAAUCUAGCCUGUCAAGGCUAAAUACAUAAUAUAUAUAAUUUUGAUAUAAAUACCGACUUUGCCAUUCAUGCUCACAUAUUACUAUAAGCCAUAUAAUUUAAAACACAAUUUAUAACACAAGUAGGCAGUCUCCAAUUACUCUAUUUUCAAAACCAGUAUUCAAUUUUCCAAAAAAUUUAUAAAAUCAUUUUAUAAAAUCACAAUUUCUCCUAAAACAUAACAAUUUUCCAUUUAAACCCAUUUUCUAUAAAAUCACACAAUUGUAUAAAACUACUCUAGAUAAUUAAGACGAUAAUAAUUUUACUCACAAUUCUAGGAGUCGAUGUACUCCUAAUCCCAAUCUUCAAGCAUAAUCUCUAUACUUUUACCAGUGUAAUUUGCUCACCACCUAUCCACAAUGUACAAUACAUAAUUCACCACAUUAAUGCUUGACCAUUAUAAAAUCAAUUUAGGCUCUGUGUAUAUGCAUGAUAUGAUAUGCAACUUAUACGACUACCGCUUAAAUGCGGUGCUGACCUAAUUCGGCCUAUUACCCGAUUAAAUGACAAUUGUGUCCGAUUUAGCUCCAAAUUACUCCAUUUCAUUUCUAAUAUUUCAAUUCACUAAAUACAAUUCCAAUAAUCUAAAAUUCAUCCUAACAACCCUCACAAUUCUUCUUGAAAAUUUCGGCCAUGGCGGUGCACUAUCACUAAAAAUUUUCCCAUUCCAUUUUCUCACCAUAAAUCAUCAUUUCAUCAAUUUUUCAACCAAAUCACUUGAUCAAAAAAUCAAUUCAUUACUUCUACACUUCACGUAGGGUUCGGCCAUUGAAGGUUCAUGGGAAAAUGGAUUCUUUUCUUGUUAUUUUGUUUCUAAACAUGCUUAACUAACUCUAAACACCAACAUAACUCAAAAUCAAACAAUUCCAACAUCAUUUCUCUCACCAAACCCAUUUCGCCAGCCAUGAUUUCCCCAUGAAAACAACAAUCCAACCAUGGAAAUUAAGGAGAAAUGCAUGGGUAAGGUAAAUCACUAGCAAAAUCAAAGAAAUUUUACCUUUGCUUGAUCAAAUCCUUGAAUUCCAACACUUUCUUUUUGAUUUUCCCCACCUAGGGUUUGUUCUUCCUUGGUUUCUCUUCUCUUCUGGUUUGGCAGACCACUAUGGGAGAAAUGGACUGGUUUUUAUGCCUUUUUAUAAAGAAACAAUAAAAUAAUAAAAGCAUGACACAUGGCAUUUCCUUAUUGGUUCAAAUUUUAAAUAUUUCACUUUUAAUUCUUUAAUUCUCCACCACACAUUUCUUAUGUUUAUCCAUUUCCAUGAUGAAUAAAAUCCCUUGGUCUUGACAAGUGUCAGGAGUGAAAAUUUAUCGAUUUGCCCCUAAGGCGAUAAAAUUAUUGUUUUGCCCCUAUACUCUAAAAAUAUCAAAAUUAUGACUUUUUCACUUAUCAACCUCAAAUUAUACUCCAAUGAGUCAAAUGUGAUCAAUCUUGAUCAAAAACUUCUUCCAAUAUUCCAAUUUUAUCCUCAGGUGGCAAAAUUACCAUUUUACUCCUAGAUAGUGAAAAUUUCGAUUUUACUCCAAAUUAAUCCUCGAACUCCGAAUUACCAUUUUGAGUGAUCCCUGGACUGUGAAACUCUUAAUUUCACCUUAAAAUUCCUAUUUGAACUAGUUCGAGGCUUAAUAGACCUAAUGGUACCAUUAGCGGCAAUAUCGUCUUUUAACGAUUUCUCGAACUUCCUAAAUUUGCAAACAUUCUAUUGAGCAUGUAAAUGGCGUCGUAAUUAUUUUAUAGAACAAGGUUUGACAGUUUUUACUUGGGACCUCAAAAAUUUCUACAAUUCUUCCCCAUGUACGUUUGGUCUCUUUUAGGACCCAUAUCUUUUUGACAGUUUUUUUAGAGAUGUUUUUCUAAAAAGAUAGAAAUAUAUAGAAUGUCCUUUCAUGUGACAACAGACACAAACAUGUGAUGCAUCAUGCUUUUCAUUUUCUUUUUCAAAUAAAGCUUUUGUCUUUUUCUUAUCAUAUCCUAAGCCAUUUCUAUCAAAGAAUGCUUUUUGAGUCUGAAGCAUUUCAUUAAGUUUCUAUGAGCUCAUGUUCCAUUAAGAAUAUGAUUCAAUUAAUUGCUCAUUUCUCUUCUUUAAGAUAUUCACUUCAUUCCCUAAGAUUUUUACUUUGUUUUUCAGCUCAAACUUAAUGUUAGUCAUGCAAUCGUUUUCUGUCUUGAGCUUAGAGAUUACCUUUUUGUAUUUUAAAUUCAUAUGUUCAAACUCAAAUGCCAAGUCAUCAUAUGCAUCUUGAAGUUCAUCAAAAGUAUAUGCAUCAUCAUUAUAAUCAUAAGAACAAGAAGCAAUGCUUGAAGAACAUACCUUGGAUUUUUCAACUCCCAUGAAGCACAGAUUUGCAAUUCUCCCUUCUUGCUCUUCUUAGGAUUCAUCACUAUCACUCCAUACAGCUACCAUAGCUUUUCUCUUGAAGUUUCUUCGAUGAUUCUUUUUAAGUUCUGGACAUUCAUAUCUAGUGUGACCAGCCUUCUUGCAUUCAUAGCGAAUAAUGUGAUUCUUUUCAAGAUCAUCUUGUUGAAUGUCUUUCAUAAGAUUUCUUCUUGGUUCCUUUCUUUUGAAGAACUUUUGACUUCCUUGUUUGUUCCUCAAAAAUUUCUUAAACCUUUUUGUUAAAAGAGCUAUUGCUUCAUCACUACAUUCAACAUUCUUUACAUUUUUUCCUCAAUUACUUUGAGAGCAAUACUUUUCUUUUUGCUUCUCCUUUAAUUGCUUCAUCCCUUUCUUCCUCAUGUUUGAGAGCCAUCUCAUAAGUAAGCAAAGAUCUUAAGAACUCAUCAAGCUUAAGUACAUUCAAGUUUUUUUCUUCUUCAAUGGUAGUGACCUUAGGUCUCCAUGACUUGGAUAAACAAUAAAGGAUUUUCUUCACUAGCUGAGCAUUGGGAAACUCUCUUCCUAAAGCUUUUAAUCUUCCAAUAAUCUUAGUGAAUCUUUCAAACAUUCCUUUGAUAGACUGCUCAUUCUUCAUCUUAAAUAACUCAUAAUCAAGUAUCAACAUACUAAUUUUUGAUUCCUUAAAUUGACUAGUGCUCUUUUAAUAGUUUUCUAAAGUAUUCCAAAUCUCUUUUACUGUAGAGUACAUAGCUACCCUAUUGAAUUCAUCUUCACUAAGAGCACAUAAAAUAGAUGUUGCAGCUUUGUCAUUUAGCUGUAUCAACUUUUUGUCUUUAUCAUCCCAUUCAGCUCUAAUUUUAAGGUGUUUCACACCAUCAAUAGUUUUGGUAGGAAUAUGAGGCCCAUCAACAAUAAUAUCCCAAAGAUCGAAAUCAAUAGAUUGUAUAAAAUUUUCAAACCUUAUUCUUUAGAACGGGUAGCUCUUCCCUUUGAACAACGAAGGCCUCAUCUUAAAUUGUCCUUCACCAAUGAAGCUCGAGGAUGAUGAUGGUGCCAUGGUUGUUACUUUAAGCUCUUUGGUUAGGAUCUCUCAAUGGUGUUUAAACCUGCAAAGACUUGAGAACCUAUUCUGAUAUCACUUGUUAGAAAAGAUAAGCUUAAAGUAAAAGAAUGAAUAUGAGGGUGAAUUGGUUGUUAGGUAAAAAUUACCCCUUUUUUAAAAAUCAAUUUAAUUGUGAAAGAAUAAAACAAUAAAACAAAGAAUAAACUUAAUGAGUAAAGAGUAACAAAGUAAGAAAGGACCAAGAAGAUUUUUAUAGAGGUUUGCCCUUCCAAUGCCUACAUUCAGUUCCUUGAUAGCAUAAGGAGUUUGAAUCCACUAUCACUUUGCCUGUUGAAUAGGAUCAAGCGUAACUUUUACCAAGAGACUAUCUUUUUCAAGUUAAAAUACAACCUUUACAUAAUAAUAAGCCAUUUAAAAGAUUAGGUAAAACCUUUAUACCUUUUGUAACGACCGCUCCUCGAUUGCUACCGACGUUCGAGUCUUACGGGAAAACCCACUAAGUCCCGAACAAGCCUUAAUUGAAACUUUAGUUAUUACUUUAUAUUCAUGCCAUUAAUCUAUGAAAUUACUUUGAUCCGUAUAACUCUUUCUAAUAAGAUUUGAACAAAAGUCGUAAUAAGUCAUCUUAACCUUUAUUCACCAUAAUUGUAAGAAUACAUUAUAGUCUAAAAUCUCCAAUUGUACAUUUAUGUUAACACUAUUUACAAAUAAUUAUGCCAUAAACAACUUGACCUUUAGCAGUGGAGUGACUCAGAAUAAAGUGCUAUGAGAUGCCUUUACCUAUCCGUGGUAGACAAUAUGUGCCAAUGAAUGCACGCUAGGCCAAUCACUAUCUGCAAAAGGGAGAUGAGGGGUGUAAGUGUCACAGCCUAACUUUCGGGCUAUGACUGGCGCAUGGGCCCAAUGAGCAUAGCCCUUUAAGCCCAAGCAAGCCUAUUUAUACAAUUCUGAUCAUUAAUCCCAACCAUCAUUUCUAAAAUCACAUAUUGUAAUUCUCAACCAAAAUAUUUCAGUAACAUUUUAUAGUGACCCAAUACUCAUCAUUUUAUUAUGUCAAAAUAAUGUCACCCGUUUGCCAACUCAUAGUUGCAUCAGUAAUCAAAUAUACAUUUUUGACUUAUAACAUGAAUUCUAGCGAAUUACAUUACAUAUAUGUGUUCACAGGUAACAAACUCUUGACCAUUAGCGGAGUGACCAUGGGUGAAGGUACAGCUACUGAGAUGCUAUAAUACCUACCGAGAGGAUGAGCAUACGUGGACACUCAAUCUAGGUCCCAACUAUCUUCGAAUCUAAAAACAUAAAGUUUAAAAACAUGAGUAUAAAACUCAGUGAGUGAACAUAAGAAGGGCACAAGCAAUCGAUAGGAAGAAUUUGGAAACCAUGAUGCACUCGUUUCAAAAAUAAUGCAAUCGAUUUAAUUUCUUACUGAAAACCCCUCAUUUCAAACUUUGAUUAAUAACUUCAUAGUGUUGGAAAAACCCAUGAUCUAUCCAUGAAGUUAAAUGGGUGAAAAAUAUGUCAAAAUCAAGUGAGGUAGCAAGCAUGGCAGCAAGUUUCUUGCUGUAGAGAGAAAUAGUCUUAGUUUGCAUAUGUUUCACUUUUUCUAUCAUAUCUCCCACUACAUAAGUCGAAUUGACCUGAUAUUUGGACUAUUAGAAAGCUAAGAGAAAGGGCUACAACUUUUGUGUUUACCAUAUUGCCCAUUUCUAAAUGGAAGGUGAUCAAAAUUGUUGUCAAAUUUGAAGCACUACAUCAAAAUUUUGGGUCUACCCGAGAGUUUCUUGCUACAACAAGAAUCCAAUUUCGCUGCAGCGAGAAUUCUUUUUCGUUGCAGUGAGAAACGGGGCUGGUUUGUUCCCCCACCACUCGAGAGCUUCUCACUACAGCGAGAAUGCGAGAUUUAGGGCAGAUGACAAAUUAAGGGAUUUUCACAUGCCACUAAAUCCAUUCCUACCAUAUUGCACAUCAAAGUGAACACAUUGACAAUAAUCAAGUUUCACGUUAUUCAUUUCAAUCACAUAUUAUAAUCAUAAAUUUUCUAUCACAUAUACAUAUAUAAACAUACAUAAACAUGUGCACCACCCCACUUCAUUCAUCGUCAUAGCCGGGUCAUCAUCAUCGGCUUAUGAGCACUCCCUACUCGAACAUAACCCGGUCAUCAUCGGCUUAUGCGCACUUCCUACUCGUACAUAGCCGGGUCAUCAUCGGCUUAUGUGCACUCCCUACUCGCACAUAGUCGGGUCAUCAUCAGCUCAUGUGCACUCCCACAUCGCACAUAGCUAGGUCAUCAUUAUCACACAACAUUAUUCAUCAAUGCAUAACACAUAUUCAUAUAUAUACAUACCAACAUAAUAUAGGAGCACAUGGAUUUAUCUUUUUACACAUUUCACAUUUUCACAACAUCAAAACAUUUUAUCAAGGGCUUGUUCCAUUGCAUAAUUUAAUGAAAACCAAGUAAAAUCAUUUAAAUGCUUCAUCCCAACACAUAUGUAUUUCCCAAAAACACUUUGAUGCAAGUUCACUCACCGGUCUUAUUGAUUCUUUUGCUUGACUCUAACCUCAACUAAUGCUCCAAAUGGACAUGUGAGGCCUUGUUGGAACCUAUAUACACACCACUCUAAUCAUCAACCAUUAUCAACAACUUGAAAAUUAAACCUAAUUCAUUACUCACCUUGGUGGGUUUUUGUAGUUGAAUUCUUUUUCAAAAGCUUCCAAGCUACUGUGGACAAUCUCCCUCUCUCUCUCCACCUGUCUAGCUAGUGAGAAAAUAUACCAAGGAAAGACCUUUAAGGGCUUUUGAGGUGUAGAAGAGAAAGAGUAUGAAAAACCCUAUGAAAAGGUGGAGAAAAACACAAGGUUUAGGGUUACCUGGGAGGCUUCUAUGGAAGAUGAAGAAAACAUGAAAUAGAGAGAAAAGAGGGGAGGAAGAAGAAGAUUUGCUGGAAGCUACUGGAAAUUUGCUAGAGCUUUAGAUAUUUAUAUCUAAAGUUUAUCCAUUUCUCACAUAAAUUACCAAAAUGCCUUUAACAUGGUGACUUUGUCUUCCUCUCAUCCUUUGUGCAACUUUUUACUCUUUUGACACUGGGGUAAGGUCCAUAAUAGUCUAGAAAUACUCGGGUUCAUGAAAACAUAAAGAUUUAGAUUUGAGAUGUAAAAUGACCAUUUUGCCCUUAUCGUGGAAGUUAUCAUUAUUUUUAUCUUCUUCAUUUAUUUUAGCAUCAUAAACAUCAUUCAUUCAUUCCUUAGGCUGAUUUAGACCUUUAUAGCAUUAAAAAAACCCACUCGUAGGAGCUCACCAAGAAAAAUUACGAAAUUACCCCUAGUCUGCAUUAUCGCAUCUACUUCUAGUUAUGUGUCUAUGGAGAUCCAGAUUACAUAGGUUCACUUCUGAAUUACCCUUUUUAACUUAGUAAUUAACCUCAAUUGACAUCCAUAAACUUUAUUAGCCACCGUAUCAAAAUACGGGGUACUACAGUCUCCCCCGCUUAAAAUGAAUUUGUCCUCAAAUUCAAAUGGGUGUAACGUGAAUAAUCAAUGUUCUAAAGUUCUACCACAUCACUUUUGUCUGGCAUUCUUAACAUAGAAUCUUGGUUUAUGCAUCAUAUUGACUUCCAAUCUUAUAGAAAACUCGACAAUGUCAUACUAUAUAGUUAUGUGUACUACUCUUAUUGUAUCAAAACAAUAUCAUCCUUCAUCUUAUGAAGAUAAUUCAAAUAAGCUAUUAAUUCUGGUCACACCUCAAUCAAAUCAUCCUUAAAUCAUCAAUGAUGCAAGUUUACUUAACCAUCCGUAACUCCUCUACCUUACUCCUUUAUCAAACCUUCCAAUAUUCAAGCAUCUAUUCCACCAUUGACUAUGGGUCUAAUUUGUCAACCAAUCUCUGUUUCAUUUUUCAUUCUCCCAUACAAUUUCCAUUUAAGCAUUUCAUAAUACAUAAGGAUCAAAACAAGCUUUAUUUAUUUCAGAUAUAUUUAACAUCAUGGAUGAUUCAAAUCUAGUAACUAUUAGUAACCAUAUUCCGAAAAACAAAACUCCAGUACUUUCAUGAUCAAGUGCUUACUAGAUAAAUCUUAAUUUAUACCACGAAGCAUUUCAAUAAGUCAUGAUAUUCGCAUACCUCCUAUGAUCUUAACCAAUCCCUUUAAUCAAUAACUCAACUUCUCAAGGUUAAAGUUGCUCAAAAUUUUUCUUUAAGGUUCCUUUCCAAGUCUCAUCUUGAUUACUAAUCAUUUCUAUAUUUCCAAUGUCGUAACUAAUUUGUUCAUCAUCAACCACAUAAAGCAUAUCUAACUUGAAAUUCUUCAAAUUUACUCCAAAUGCUAAAUCUUGUGAACUUAUUAGUUUAUUCGUCCGAAGAUGAAAUUUGACACUUACCUCUCCUUAAGUGUACUUUAAAAUCAAGGAAUCAUUUACUAAGACCUUUCCGAAAUCAACUUCUUUAGCCCUUUUUCCUUAAAAAAUUAAAUUCAUAAUCCUUCAUUUUGAAUCAUGGGCUCUAUGCCAAUCAAAGCAGAUUUUACACUUUUAAUUACACGAAUUCAAAUGCACACCUUUGCGCAUAAGCUAUAAAUUUUUACCCAAACCUCCAUAAGUCAAAACCUUAUAUUGAAGUUAUACCAGUACUCAUACAUUCUAUUCCAUUAGCCUUUAGAGAAUUAAAUCUAUGGCAUACUUCUCUAUUUGGGUACUUCAUAACAGCCUAACAAAUUCUAGCUUACAAUUAACCUAGUUCAUAUGCCAAGCCUCUCAGGCUGUAUCAAAACACCAAAUUUGAUCACGAUAUAAUAAAAAUUGAGGAACUUAUACCAAAAGUAUAAACACUUACUUUUAAGCUAACAACAUUAUAAUCAACUUGUUCACUACCAAAAUCACCGAUAAAUCAUCUUAAUCACUAUCUAGCGCUAUAACCAUUGAUAGAAUUUUAUCAUUGAAUCAAAUUAUAACCAACUCCAUAUGAGUUUUUUUUUUUUACCAAUAUGCAACAUAUAUAUCCAUACAUAUAUAUUUUUCCAAAAAUUUUAACUUUCGGUAGCCUUAGGCAUAUCAAGCACAAUAAGCCAUCUGUAAAACCAAAAUAACCAACAAUCAAGUUUAGAAUGAAUUCUUCUCAUAGUUGGUUAGAUCAUGCUCAUCAUUUGUGGUGAAUACACAAAGCUGAUUCCAAUAUUCUAAUCUCAUACGAGAAUUGACCACUAAUUCGCACCAUCCCCGAAGCACCAUGUGUCUUAAAAAUCAAUUUUUCAUAGCCAAAAUUCAUAUUCUAAUAUCAUGCUUCUAGAUCGUAGCUCAUUACCAAAGUCUUUACUCAUAUAUAAAUACUCGAAUCAUCAUCUCUUUUCUAAGUAGAUUUCUAUAAUUUUCGUAACGUAUUUCUAUUCCCUUACCAAGGGUAGUAUCAUUUAAUCAAACCAUGUCACCUUCCUUCUCUAAACAUUUGAAGCAUAAUUCAACCUUUGCCUAUCCCUAUCAAGCACUUUACCUUGAUAAUUACUCAAAAUAAAUUGGAACUUGUGGGGGAAGCACAUCUCACAAUUUAUGCCUUAUGUCUACAAUUAUGUCGAGACCAGAACCUCAACGAGUCCACAAAAUGGUAGGAUAAUCAUUGCCUCAAACCAACAUUUCCAAAUAUACUUAUGCUUGUAUCAUAUCUUCAUACUUAUGUGACAUAUCAGUCACGAGCCCAACUUGACUAUAUAAUUAUUUGCUCUUUGAGCUUUAAUGCUUUGUCAUUGUGAAAAAUCUUUCAAAUUUAUCUCAUCAGGGUAUUCACAAGGUGGAUACAUGUCCAUAACUUACAGUUCAAGGCCUAAAGCAUUGAACACAAUCUCAUCAUUGAUGUUCUACUCUAUAUCAUAUAAUUGAAAUAUAUAAUCUAAUAACUAUGACAAUGAAAUUCUAAAGUUCCACCUUUAUCUACUAAUCAUAGCUCCCUUUAUAAGCACGUACUUUACACUACUUGAUUAUUCACAAGCCACUCAUGGCCAUCCAAAUUCGACCUCUUAUAGCAAGUCAAACUAGUAUAUUAUUCUUAUGUUUUCCAAUACACUUCUAAAAUGCUUAAGCACACUUUUAAUAGAAUUCUGUUGAGGACUCAGACAAUCAAAGGCUUAUCUUUAAAGCCACGCAUAACUUUAACAAUUUAAUAUAUAUUCGAUAACAUUUAGUUCAUUAACCCCAUUGAACAUUAUCUUAAGAUCUUUCAAGAUGUUCUUACUCUUAUUUCGGACCGAACCAAACGAACUUAACAUAAUUACAUUGAUUAUCCUUGAGCUUUUUAUGCUCGUCAUAACAACAUCUAUGUUUCACCCAUCAUUCGUCUUAAUGACUUUCAACCUUUCGCAACACACUUCUCAUACAUGUUAGGGCAUUCUCAAUCUCAUACCAAGCCUAUAGUCAUGUAAUCACCAAUUAGGCCAAAUCCUUGUAUGGAACAUCUCCUUCCACACGAUGAAUGUGAAUCACAAGAUAUACAACUUCGAGUGUAAGCUUAAAUAUUGGUAACCUCCAUAUAUUUCAUGGUCAUAAAAACCACAAUUUGCAAAACUAGCUUUCUAUCACAAGUUUGCGAUAGGAACAUUCGUCUCAACAUAUCUCACUUUGGGCAUACUUCACUACUAGUAUUCGCAUACCUUUACCAUAACAUUCAGUGCAAAUUGAUUAAGCAAUGACCUCUAAAUUUACUCUUAGAUACACAUAUAUCAAAUUGUACACCACUUAGUGUUGAGAUCUUGACUUUACUCAUCAAUUCUUAACCAAUUGCAUCCAUAAGAUAAACAAUUCACUUAAUUUUUGUAUCUUGCAUUUGCAGUCAUAAGAUCAAAAUUUCUUAAACUUAAGAUGUAGAAGCUUCCUUUUAGAGCAUAUAUGAAAAUCCACAUGUUCUAAGUUUCUUACCUUUGGAGAAAUCACAUUCAAGACUAAUCAUUGACAUCAUAGGUUGCAUAUUGAACCAAAUAGAUUUUUUAAAAAAAAAUUGACCUUUAAAGCAAUUCAUAUAUCAAUCUCAAUAUAGAACUCCGUAUGGAACUUUGCUAAAUUUGUCAUUUCCAUGUCAUUUAAUUUCAAACUGUUAAAUCCACAUCUAGUCCUUUAAUCCUUUGGCUCUACAUUAAGCAUAGCAAAAUUCAAGCUCAUCCUUAGAGCAAGUUUGUUUACUAGCCUUUUUCUUCAUGACUACCAUCAAUUAUAAUGAUCACUGAUUUUCACCCUUGAGCUAAUUUAUAUACCUUUAAUUUUAAACCAUAAUAGUUCAAAUUAACCCUUGGGAUCUCCAGUCACUUAAUUAGAAUGAAAGCCUGCUGUACACAUAUUCUCAUAUAAAUAUUUCGGAAGCCAAACACCAUUUAUAUAUGGCAUAACAAGCUCGAUUAACCAAGUGCACUUACCUCCGUGCACAUAAGUAUUGGCUUACUCUUACCUUAAUGCUUAAAUUUAUAAAUUUCAAGUGAAUCACAAUCAUCACUAUUCAUUCCAAUCAAAGUGCACCCCUUGUACCAUUACUGUAUAUGUUUCUUUAUAUUGACCACAAUAAUGAUCCAAUAUCGUCCAAUUUCUUUUCAUUGACAAUUAUAGGCUCAAGUCAUAACUCCACUGAAUGAAUAACUCAUUACGGACCUAUUAGUCCAACUCCAAUUUCCUCCAUCUUUAAUCAAAGGAAUUUGUUAUUACAUUAACCUUUCAUUAGGAGCAUUUGCUUAAAAUCUUUCCAACAACAGCUCAUAUCUCAGGUGGCAUCUCAAACCCGAACAACGGCACCACUUAUGACCUUUGCAUAAUGUUGGCAAGAGGGUAGGUUACUAGGAAUAGGAGUUCAUUUAGCCUCUUGUCAAUGAAUUGUUCUGCAGUCACAAACCAUAAACCAGACUCUACAUUAACUCCGACAACUCCGCUGAUUGAUAAAAAAAUCCCUAAGACUCGACUAAACCUAGAGUUCUGAUACCACAUUUGUCACAGCCCAAAUUUCGAGCUAUGAUAGGCGUAUGGACCCAAUGGGCAUAGCCCACUAAGCCUAAGCAAGCCUAUUUAUACAAUCCUAAUCAUUAAUCCCAACCAUCAUUUCUAAAACCACAUAUUAUAAUUCUCAACCAAAAUAUUUCAGUAACAUUUUAUAGUGACCUAAUACUCACCAUUUUAUUAUGUCAAAAUAAUGCCACUCGUUUGCCAACUCAUAGUGGCAUCAGUAAUCAAAUAUACAUAUUUGACUUAUAACAUGGAUUCUAGCGCAUUACAUUACAUAUACGUGUUCACAGGUAACAGACUCUUGACCGUCAACGGAGUGACCGUGGGUGAAGGUACAGCUAUUGAGAUGCCAUAGUACCUACCGAGAAGAUGAGCAUAUGUGGACACUCAAUCUAGGUCCCGACUGUCUUCGAAUAUGAAAACAUGAAGUUUAAAAAUGUGAGUAUAAAACUCAGUGAGUGAACAUAAGAAGGGAACAAGCAAUUGAUAGGAAGAAUUUGGAAAUCAUGAUGCACUUGCUUCAAAAACAAUGCAAUUGAUUUAAUUUCUUACUAAAAACCCCUCAUUUCAAACUUUGAUUAACAACCUCAUAGUGUUACAAAAACCCAUGAUCAAUCCAUGACGUUAAAUGGGUGAAAAAUAUAUAAAAAUCAAGCAAGAUAGCAAGCAUGAUAGCAAGUUUCUCACUGUAGCGAGAAACAGUCUUAGUUUGCAUAUGUUUCAGUUUUUCUAUCAUAUAUCUCACUACAGAAGUCCAAUUGACCUGAUUUAUGGACCAUUAGAAAGCUAAGAAGAAGAGCUACAACUUUUAUUUUUACUAAAUUGCCCAUUUCUAAGACAAAUGUAGUCAAAAUCAUUAUCAAAGUGGAAGCACUGUACUACAAUUUUAGGUCUAGUUGAGAGUUUCUCACUGCAGCAAGAAUCCAAUUUCGCUGCAACGAGAAUCCAAUUUCAUUGUAGCAAAAUUCCUCGUUGCAGCGAGAAUUCUUUUUUGCUAUAGUGAGAAAUAGGGCUGGUUUGUGCCCUCACCACCUGAGAGUUUCUCGCUGCAGCGAGAUUCAGGGUAGAUGACAAAUUAAGGGAUUUUCACAUGCCACAAAAUCCAUUCCUACCAUAUUGCACAUCAAAGUGAACACAUUGACAAUAAUCAAGUUUCUCAUUAUUCAUUUCAAUCACAUAUUAUAAUUAUAAAACUUUCUAUCACAUAUACAUAUAUAAACAUACAUAAACACGUACACCACCUCAUUUCAUUCAUCGUCAUAGUCGGGUCAUCAUCAUCGGCUUAUGCGCACUCCUUACUCGCAGAUAGCUGGGUCAUCAUCAGCUUAUGUACACUCCCUACUUGCACAUAGCCAGGUCAUCAUCAGCUCAUGUGCACUCCCACAUCGCACAUAGCUGGGUCAUCAUUAUCACACAACAUUAUUCAUUAAUGCACAACACAUAUUCAUAUAUAUACAUACCAACAUAAUAUAGAAGCACACGGAUUUAUCUUUUUACAUAUUUCAUAUUUUCACAAUAUCAAAACAUUUUAUCAAGGGCUUGUUUCCAUGCAUAAUUUAAUGAAAACCAAGUAAAAUCAUUUAAAUGCUUCAUCCUAACACAUAUGUAUUUCCCAAAAAUACUUUGAUGCAAGUUCACUCACCAGUCUUGUUGAUUCUUUUGCUCGACUCUAACCUAAACUAAUGCUUCAAAUGGACAUGUGAGGCCUUGUUGGAACCUAUACACACACCACUCUAAUCAUCAACCAUUAUCAACAACUUGAAAAUUAAACCUAAUUCAUUACUCACCUUAGUGGUUUUUUGUAGUUGAAUUCCUUUUCAAAAGCUUCCAAGCUAUUGUGGACAAUCUCUCUCUCUCUCUCUCUCCACUCGUCCAGCUAGUGAGAAAAUAUACCAAGGAAAGACCUUUAAGGGUUUUUGAGGUGUAGAAGAGAAAGAGUAUGAAAAACCCUAUGAAAAGGUGUAGAAAAACACAAGGUUUAGGGUUACUUGAGAGGCUUCCAUGGAAGAAGAAGAAAACAUGAAAUGGAGAGAAGAGAGGGGAGGAAGAAGAAGAGUUGCUAAAAGAUGCUAGAAAUUUGCUAGAGCUUUAGAUAUUUAUAUCUAAAGCUUAUCCAUUUCUCACAUAAAUUACCAAAAUGCCCUUAACAUGGUGACUUUGUCUUCAUUUCAUCCUUUGUGUAACUUUUUACUCUUUUGACACUAGGGCAAGGUCCAUAAUAGUCUAGAAAUACUCGGGUUCACGAAAACACAAAAAUUUAGACCCAAGAUGUAAAAUGACCAUUUUACCCCUACCGUGGAAGUUAUCAUUAUUUUUAUCUUCUUUAUUUAUUUUACCAUCAUAAACAUCAUUCAUUCAUUCUUUAGGCCUAUUUAGACCUCAAUAGCAUAAAAAAAACCCACUCGUAGGAGCUCACCAAGAGAAAUUACGAAAUUACCCUUAGUCCAUAUUAUCAGUCUACUUCUAGUUAUGUGUCUAUAGAGAUCGAGAUUUCAUAGGUUCACUUCUGAAUUACCCUUUUUAACUCGGUAAUUAACCUUAAUUGGCAUCCGUAAACUUUAUUAGCCACCGUAUCAAAAUACGGGGUACUUAAGUAAGUCUCAUAGAGUUAGUGAUUAUUGGCUCCAUGAGCAGGGCGUAGAUGGGAAACAAGCUUAAAGUAGAUCGUUUGAGUAAUAAAACCAGAAUAUAAAAUGAUAACCUUAUAAAACCAAAUAACAAGUAAGGUAUUUGUGCCUUGUAAAAUAAUGCCAUAAAAUCGUAGUGCAAUUCUUUCCUUGGUAAAUAAUGCCGAAAACAAAGCAUAGUAUAAUAAAUUUCAAUCAUCGAAAUCAUCUAUUUCCUUUAAAAAAAACACAAUAGUCGUAUAAAAUCACGCAAGCUCCCAAAGUGUGUGGCAUGUAAAAAUAAUUGUGUACAUCCACGUAUAUCAACUCAUAAUCAACAGAUAAAGCACUAAAAGCUUUCAAUCAAAUAGGGGAGCUAUGGAAAAACAUUAACUCUCCACCAUGUAAAAGAGUACGAGUAUAAAAACUCUCAAGGCUCUUGAGUAGGUAGUUAAAGAUAAUCAAUCUGUGGACCCUCUUCCACGUAAUAACACUCUAGGAGGCCCACUUCCAUCAGAUUCCCAUAGCCAUGGCAGUUGGCCGACAUCGAAGAAAUCAUGUGAUCACAACCAUGUAUAUCAACUCGUGGCCUUGAAAAGUAUAACAACUCGUGGCCUUGCCACGUAUACUCACAAACUGUUGCCUAGCCAUGUCUGACAGCCCGUCGGUGACCCAAAGGUUUUCUAGCUAGAGCUCACUUGUGCACAAGGGUCACACUAUCCCAAUGUGACAUUCGGCCAAUUCUUGAUGCUCUCAAUUUGUUAAAAUCAUUUUCAAAACAAAAUCAAGGUUUUCGAGACUUUUGCUUUAAAUCAUUUGAAAACAAGGUUCGAUAACCUUUCAAAUUGGUUUUCACAUUAAAAUGCAUGGUGUAAACAUUUGUAUAAAGAUCAGACUAAAACCGGCUCUCAAAAAUUUGCAUUUAAACUAUUUAACUAGUACAUUUAACUAUGCACGUCACACAAAGAUACAAGGCACAGAUUUGAUGCAAAACAUUGCAAUAGAGCUUGUUUCUCGGUUUUUAAAACACUUUACAUAUAUGUAUAUNUUAACUUACUAUAUAUGUAUAUAUAUAUAUAUAUAUAUAUAUAUCGUAUACACAAGCAACAUCCAAAUCAAUUUGCAUCCAUAAUUGCCUAUCAUUUCUACCAGAUCAUGCUUUCCACAAUAGCAGUGUAUAAAUCAUUGCAAACUAUGUGUUCAAAUCACUUAUCAUUUUCUAGCAACUCAUGCUUUCCACAAAAAUAGUAUAAUUGAUUACAAUUCCAUUUAAAAAUCGCCUACCGAGGCUAACAACUCAUGCUAUCAACAAUUGCAUUUAAAGAAAACCGACAACAUUUAUUAAAAGUAUAUCAAUAUAUAGUUUAUGGAACUUUUGAAAUAGACAACCACUACUCACCUUACAAUGGCGGGAUAUUACUUCGCCACUAAUCUUUCCUCAAAUGCUUACUCUAUGCUUGCAACAAUAUUCUUUGCUUUGUCAACUUCCUGACAUCAUUUCAAUCCAAUGCAUUUAAUGAGCUUUGCUGUCAUUAUAUUCUACACUUGCUGUUCAUAUUUAAUUCUAUACUUUCAUCUCUUAUUCUUAAGAGAUAAUCGUUUACACUAAAUCCUUAGUGUGAACUUUGACUUACACAAAUCCGGCAUCUUGUUUAUGACUUCAAAUGCCCAUAUCAAUCUUUCUAAUAAUAUUUAUCAUAUUCAAACUAUUAUUUUCAUACUAUUAAUCACAUAUAUGGCAACAACUAUAAAUCCGAUUUCACCAAGUAAUUUCUAAGCUUAUAUGCACCAUUAUUCAUAUUUAACAUGCUACCAUUAAGCACAAUAUCAAUUUCCACUCAUGUUACACCAACAUUCUUAACCUUUUAAAUCUUUCAAAACAACACAUGUCCACAAUUUCAUUUUUCAAGCUUUCAACUAGCAUAAUUGUUUCCUAACCGUACUUAAGGCUUCACACAAUCAUUUCACAUUGCAUGCCUUACCUUUUGUGAUGGCUUGGAUCUUGCAUGCAAUCUCAACAUUCUUCCAAAGCUCCAAUCACCAAGCUGCUAACAUUAUGCACAAAUUAUUUUCUUAAUGUUUUUACCAAUCGUAGGCCUUAAAACACAAUACCAUGCUUAUCGUUUUUCUUUCACUUUGAAUCCAUCAUGCAUCCAAGAGUUUGAUGGCUUGCAUGUCACUAAAUCCUCUCCAAACAAGCUAAUCUUUGCUACCACAAAAUAUUUUUUAUAGUUACUAACCCAUUUCCAAAGAACAUUCAAGCUAAAACCACAAUCCUUACCUUGUUUCUCUUGUAUCUUGAAACCAAGCUUCACACCUCCAUCAACACUCCAUGGUUUCUCUCUUGAAUGUUAAAGACUCUUUGGGUCAUAGAAUAUCACAACUCUACAAGAUAAAGGAAGGAAUCCUCACUGUUUCUCUUGAAUCCUCACAACCCGAGCCUUUUCCACUUUCCUCUCUUUUUCUUUCCUUUUUUCUUCAUCUCGGGUGGAACUUCUCAAAGGCACUUUCUUCUUUCUUUUCGUCUCUCAAUGGUUAGCUCUCUCAAGUCUCACCAAGACAAAUUCCUUUUUCUCUUUUACUCUUGAAUCUUGGUAUUUAUAUGGCCACCCAUUUAACCAAUCACAAUACAUGCACACAUUCACUUUUUAUUUUCAUUUAGCCAUUUUGUCAACCAAUGGCUUUUCAUGCACCAAUUUCGUUUCUUCCACAUUGGUUAAAAAUCCUCCUUUACUUAUCCAUAUCCACUCUUUAAUUUAUUUCCACUUAAUUCCACCUUAUUUGUACCCAAUGGUCUUUCAUGCAACUUUCCCACCUUAAUUUCCAUUUGGCCUCCACCUUGGCCAAUGACAUUACAUGCAAUUAUAUUUUCUUUUCUUUUAGUCUAAUUCUCACCAAGUGUCCAUCAUGCAUAAAUCCUUCAUGCAUUCUUUUAAUCUUUAAAAAUCCAUAUGCAUGCAUUAUCUUAUUCAUUUGUCUCAUGCCUUUUUGUUUGUCACAUGGUGGGUGUCUCACAUGUUUCGCACUACAAGUACAUCCUUGCAUGCAUAUCUUUACAUGUAAUAGUAUUUGUUACAUGCAUAUUUCAUCCUCCCACACAAUCUAAUUUUCCUUGGUUAGUUAAUUUCCAUUUAACUUCAAAUGUUGAAAUUGCACAUAAGUCCUCAAAUUUUUCCUUAUUUACCAUUCGACCUUCCAAACUUUUCAUUCUUUACAAUUUGGUCCUUCAAACAUUUCUUCAAUUCUAAUUUCCUUCUAUCUUUCUUCCUUUACACUUGUACAAAUAAAAUAUCAAAUUUACACUUCACCAAGGUGUCACCAUAAUAUUUAAAUAUAUACUUACUCUUUCUUGCUUUAUUAAAUAAUGGCACGCGAGCCCUACUUACAUCAUCUUUCUUCCUUCUUCUCCCCCACUUAGAUUAGUUAUAUAGUCCUCCUUCAUGACUAAUUUCAACAAUAGAUAAAUAUUAAUAUUUUAAUAUUAUUUUAUUAAUAAAAUAUUAUUUUAUUUCAAAAUUUUUCACUUGUCCCCUCGGGUCUCAAAGUGUCUAACCGAGGACACUUAAUUUGUUAUGUAUGGAAAUUGGCAUAUGUCUUACCGAAUCGUAAAUCAGAUCACCUAAGUGACGUAAACAUGCACUAUUCAAAUCUUAGCUUAACUUAAAAUCUCUUUGUCAAGUUUCAAUUAGAUUCACAAAUCAAUUAAUUGUUGAUCAAGCAACUAAUGGCAUUAAGAAAAGAUUUGUAUAAGUAAAAAAUACCCUUUCAUGAUAAAUAUUAGAAAAAACAAGUAUUUAGACUACAUGUUGAAAUCCACCACAAACCUAGAUAAGCAAAUUAGUUCAUAAUAUCUAAAUAAAACACUAUCCAAACAAAUUUAGCCAUGAAUUCAAAACAAGAAAAUAAGAAAAACGCAAAAGGAAAGAAAUAAACUAAUGUUGCAGCCUAGUUGAUUACGAAUCUCUCUCAAUUGCUCUUGAAUUCUUGAUUGAUUUGUAGCUCCAAUUCUUUAGAAAAGCUGUUACCAUCUCUCCCUCUGAAUACUCUCAAAAAGCCUCUUAAAAAUGUACAAGAUGCCUUACUUUCCAAUUUCUUGUCAGAAUUUUUAAUUUUGGAAACUGCGGUGACGCCAUGGCCAUGACUUCUUAGCAUUGCGACAUCGUAAUAAGCUUUGGUAGUUCUGCUACACAUUUUUGCUUAUGCUGUAGCGUUAUGCUCUCAACCUUUAGUAUGAUGCACCCAUCCAGCUCAAUGCCAUGGCCACAAGCUUCUAGUGUUGCUGUAAUGGUCCUUUCAGCGCUACAGCCUUGAGUGACUCAACGCUGCAGCCUCAAUCACCAUGCAGCCUUGUGUGCAAUCUACAUCUAUUUAUCAUCUUUAGAUGUCAUUUUUACCUCAAUCUAUUUCAAACUGGGUGAAGUGGUGAACAUGAAAGUUCUAUCCCAUUCUCUUAGCUUUCUAAUGAAUCAAAAAUCACAUCAAUUGGACUUCUGUAGCUCAAGUUAUCUUUAAAUUAUAGUAGCAUGUACGAGUGACACCUUCACCAUACUUAUGCUAUCAUAACUCAAUUUCACCUUGCUCAUCACAUAUCCCACACAAAAACCAUGAGAGAAAUUGGCAUUAACUCUUCUUAAAGUAAAUUAAAAACAAAAUAAAGUAAAAUUAAACUAAACCAACUUAAUUAACUAUUCAACAUGUAAUCUAAAUUACAUUAGAAAAACACCUAAAAUGCUAAAAUCUAAACCUAAAACUCAAAGGUCUAGCUACUAAAGCCCUAAAAAUGUGUUGAAAAAACCUCUAUAUAAUAGAGUUAUCACACCCCUAAAUUGAAGAUUUUGCUAGUCCUCAAGCAAAACAAAAAAAAAAACAAAUGCAAUAACUUGAACAUGAAAACAUUUAAUUAGAGUUCAAUUGCACCAUUUCAUUAAUUACCCUUAGUAUCCUUAAAAGUUCCUCCAUAUUCAUAACUCUAUUCCACAUACAAAUAUUGUUCAAGUUCAUAUCUCAAUUCAAAUGCAAGCUUAUCAUUAAGUGAAUUUUCGUGUUUGUGUGCAAUCUUCUCACCUAGACAUUGUACAAUCUACAUAAGUUUAUAUUCAUGCAAAAUUCAAUAAGUUUUCUUUUCAUCUCUCUCUCCACUAAUGUAGACUGUCACUAAAUCAAGGAUCAAUAGGACUUUAAUUAGCUUGUAAUGUAUGGUUAAAGUCUAUUGGUAUAUGCCCUUGAGCCAAUUAGAUUGGUCAAAGAAUGUAUAUUGUCAUUUAAUGCAUAUUUAAUAGCAUAACUAUAUGCGAUAGAGUUUUCCUUCAUGUUAGUGCAAUAAUAAGGAGUUAUUAAGUACUAAUUGGAUGAAGCCCAUGGAACAUAAAGGCCUUGCAAGAGAAGUGUAAAGUUAUUACAAUUAUGAGAUAACUAUGCAUCAAAGCCAUGUUCCUAAAAUUGUUCUUGGUCAUUGUAUUGUCAAGACAAGGCAUUGACAAUGCUUAAAGACUAGUACAUGUUAAGGCUCCUUACUUGGGAAGUAAGCAAUUGAUCUCAUAGAUUAAAGUAUAUGGGAUACUUGAGGAUAACAUGUAGGUGCUUGUUAAAGAAUAAGUUCACUGAACAAGUUCAGUCUUAAACUUAUGAAUGUUCAUAAUUAAUUAGAAAAUUACAUAAAAAACACAAACAUUGAUCCAUAGGAUUUAGUUGUUUCUCUAAUUAAAUGAUAGUUUAUUAUUCCGUUGCAUUAUAUUUUUAAUUUAUUGAUUAUUUUCAUAUUUGAGCACGAGGUCAAAUCCUAAUAGGGUCAAGGUGAGAUAUGGGACAAUGUAUGGCUCAAAUCAUCCUAAGCACAUAGUCACUCUAGGACCUAUUAAGAGCUUUAAUCUUCCUUCACCUAGUAUACUAUCACGACCCAAAUUCCGGGUCAUGACCGGCGCAUGGGUCCAAUGGACGUAAUCCACUAAACCCAGGCAAGCCUAUUAUUUAUCUUACUUAUGAUUCUAUUUAUUAUCACUAAGUCCUAUUUCAUGACUUUGAGUCAAAAUAGUGAUAUACAUUGCCAACUCGUACUGGCAUUACUCUUUUAAAAUUUACAUUNNNNNNNNNNNNNNNNNNNNNNNNNNNNNNNNNNNNNNNNNNNNNNNNNNNNNNNNNNNNNNNNNNNNNNNNNNNNNNNNNNNNNNNNNNNNNNNNNNNNNNNNNNNNNNNNNNNNNNNNNNNNNNNNNNNNNNNNNNNNNNNNNNNNNNNNNNNNNNNNNNNNNNNNNNNNNNNNNNNNNNNNNNNNNNNNNNNNNNNNNNNNNNNNNNNNNNNNNNNNNNNNNNNNNNNNNNNNNNNNNNNNNNNNNNNNNNNNNNNNNNNNNNNNNNNNNNNNNNNNNNNNNNNNNNNNNNNNNNNNNNNNNNNNNNNNNNNNNNNNNNNNNNNNNNNNNNNNNNNNNNNNNNNNNNNNNNNNNNNNNNNNNNNNNNNNNNNNNNNNNNNNNNNNNNNNNNNNNNNNNNNNNNNNNNNNNNNNNNNNNNNNNNNNNNNNNNNNNNNNNNNNNNNNNNNNNNNNNNNNNNNNNNNNNNNNNNNNNNNNNNNNNNNNNNNNNNNNNNNNNNNNNNNNNNNNNNNNNNNNNNNNNNNNNNNNNNNNNNNNNNNNNNNNNNNNNNNNNNNNNNNNNNNNNNNNNNNNNNNNNNNNNNNNNNNNNNNNNNNNNNNNNNNNNNNNNNNNNNNNNNNNNNNNNNNNNNNNNNNNNNNNNNNNNNNNNNNNNNNNNNNNNNNNNNNNNNNNNNNNNNNNNNNNNNNNNNNNNNNNNNNNNNNNNNNNNNNNNNNNNNNNNNNNNNNNNNNNNNNNNNNNNNNNNNNNNNNNNNNNNNNNNNNNNNNNNNNNNNNNNNNNNNNNNNNNNNNNNNNNNNNNNNNNNNNNNNNNNNNNNNNNNNNNNNNNNNNNNNNNNNNNNNNNNNNNNNNNNNNNNNNNNNNNNNNNNNNNNNNNNNNNNNNNNNNNNNNNNNNNNNNNNNNNNNNNNNNNNNNNNNNNNNNNNNNNNNNNNNNNNNNNNNNNNNNNNNNNNNNNNNNNNNNNNNNNNNNNNNNNNNNNNNNNNNNNNNNNNNNNNNNNNNNNNNNNNNNNNNNNNNNNNNNNNNNNNNNNNNNNNNNNNNNNNNNNNNNNNNNNNNNNNNNNNNNNNNNNNNNNNNNNNNNNNNNNNNNNNNNNNNNNNNNNNNNNNNNNNNNNNNNNNNNNNNNNNNNNNNNNNNNNNNNNNNNNNNNNNNNNNNNNNNNNNNNNNNNNNNNNNNNNNNNNNNNNNNNNNNNNNNNNNNNNNNNNNNNNNNNNNNNNNNNNNNNNNNNNNNNNNNNNNNNNNNNNNNNNNNNNNNNNNNNNNNNNNNNNNNNNNNNNNNNNNNNNNNNNNNNNNNNNNNNNNNNNNNNNNNNNNNNNNNNNNNNNNNNNNNNNNNNNNNNNNNNNNNNNNNNNNNNNNNNNNNNNNNNNNNNNNNNNNNNNNNNNNNNNNNNNNNNNNNNNNNNNNNNNNNNNNNNNNNNNNNNNNNNNNNNNNNNNNNNNNNNNNNNNNNNNNNNNNNNNNNNNNNNNNNNNNNNNNNNNNNNNNNNNNNNNNNNNNNNNNNNNNNNNNNNNNNNNNNNNNNNNNNNNNNNNNNNNNNNNNNNNNNNNNNNNNNNNNNNNNNNNNNNNNNNNNNNNNNNNNNNNNNNNNNNNNNNNNNNNNNNNNNNNNNNNNNNNNNNNNNNNNNNNNNNNNNNNNNNNNNNNNNNNNNNNNNNNNNNNNNNNNNNNNNNNNNNNNNNNNNNNNNNNNNNNNNNNNNNNNNNNNNNNNNNNNNNNNNNNNNNNNNNNNNNNNNNNNNNNNNNNNNNNNNNNNNNNNNNNNNNNNNNNNNNNNNNNNNNNNNNNNNNNNNNNNNNNNNNNNNNNNNNNNNNNNNNNNNNNNNNNNNNNNNNNNNNNNNNNNNNNNNNNNNNNNNNNNNNNNNNNNNNNNNNNNNNNNNNNNNNNNNNNNNNNNNNNNNNNNNNNNNNNNNNNNNNNNNNNNNNNNNNNNNNNNNNNNNNNNNNNNNNNNNNNNNNNNNNNNNNNNNNNNNNNNNNNNNNNNNNNNNNNNNNNNNNNNNNNNNNNNNNNNNNNNNNNNNNNNNNNNNNNUCCAAUAAUCAUAAUUAUAUUUUAUAUAAUUAUUCUUGGUCAAAUGUGAUCAAAUCUUGGCUAAAAAUCUCAAUUUUAUCAUCAAAUGGUAAAAUGACCGUUUUGUCCUUAAUUGGUCAAUUUUCUGAUGGACUCCAAAUUGGACCUUGAACUCCAAAUCACUAUUCUAAGCCAUUCUGUUGGUUUUAAAAUUUUCAAAUUUCUCUUAGAAUUUCUAUUUGAACUAGUUCAAGGCUCGAUUUAACUUAGUUGUACCACUCGGUACAAUACCGUCUUUUAAUCGAGCUUGACAAGGUCUCACAUAUACCCCUUUUCAUCAAUACUUUUCCCUUGUUCAUCACCUCAUCCUUUUUCUUCUUUUUUCUUUCCCUUUUUCUUUUUCUCAAUUUCAUUGUAACACCCUUGAUUUUUUAUAUGGCCUAAAUGUGAUGUUCGCCAAGUGAUUUGAUGAGUAAACUUGAAAACUUGGUGUAUAUGCUUGUGGAGCAUGCAUAUGAGCUAUUAUGGUCUAUAGAGAAGGACUUUGAAUUUCAGUGUACAUUAAGGAUUCUAAUAAUAUGAUGAAAUAGCUAAGCUAAUUGUUAAGCUAAAUUGAACUUUGGUGAAUAUGACUAUAGUUAUAGGUGUAUGACUAUGAAUAUUGGUAUAAGGGAGAAUUUCAAUGGAAUUGUGCAUAUGUUUGGCACUUUGACACCUAAAUACGACGUUAAGGCAAAUAUCAAUAAGGAAUGAUGAAUUUAUCAUAUAGCUUGAGGAUUUGAUUUAAUUCGAUGCAUAUUUGAGAAUAUAUGUAUGAGGAUUUGAAUUAUAUGAGUUAUUUGAGGUAUGAGAUUAAUAGGGAAUGGAUUUGGGGUGUUAAGUUGGAUUUUUUAAAGUUUUGGAAGACUUAAAACUACCUAUAAGGGAAAAUUUAUCGAUACAUCCCCUCUUGUAUUGACAUAUUCAUGGCAGGAAUAACAAUAUGAGGUGUUUUGGAGGAAUUUUAUCGAUACAUUUUAGGAUGUAUCGAUAGAUUUGGUAACAGAUGAACAUGUAUCGAUAUAUUGUCUCGAAGUAUCAAUACAUUUGAAGCAGGGAGCACCCAAGACCAUUCUACCCGAAAUAUAUCGAUACGUUGCCUUAAUGUAUUGAUACAUUUAUUCAAAAUUAGGGCAGAUGUAUUAAUGCAUUGCCAAAUGUAUCGAUACACCAUAGAAGAAAGGCCAAAAUAAAAAAGGGUUUUAGGCCAUUUCACCUUAUUUUUCUCUCUCAACUCUUUCUCUUCCUUUCUCUCUCUAAGACCUCGAAACCCUAACCUCCCAAACAAAUUUUUGGAUCUAUUUGGAGCUAAUCUAAGCUUGGGAAAUCGAUCUAGGGUAAGAUUACAUGCUUUUACUGAUUGAUUUUUUAUUUAAUCAGUUAAUAACCUCGGAUCUAAAUAUUUUCAGAUUUGGUCAAACUCUCUCCCUUUGAAUUGAUUGGAAAUUUGGAGCCAAGAUUUGGGUAACCUAACUUCUAAAGUAAGGAUUUAGCUCAUUUGUUGGAAGAAUGAUCAUGUAUAUUGAAUUUAGGUAUUUUUGAAAAGUUGGGAUAUUUUCAAAAACUAGGAAAUAAUUAUGAUUGUGAUGUUUUGAUGUGUGUAAGGGGAAAGUUGAGUUAUUUUACUCAUAGGUGAGCUGGAGGAUGGUUAGAGGCUAAGAAUCAAAGCUUGGCUAUGGACGCACCUUCGAUUGUUGAGGUGAAUGGGAUUUAAUUGAAUGCAUGUGAUGUAUCUCACAUAAUGUAUGCAUUGCCAUUGUAUUAAAUGUUGUGUGUAUGCCUAGAUAAGAAUGCCUAGGCUUGAGAAUUGAUAUGUGUGUGUGUGUGUAUGCAUAUAUAUAUAUGUAUGCGUAUGUAUAUGUAUGUUUGCCUAGAGGUAUGUGCCUAGGUUAGAGAACAAAUAUGAUUGUAUGCCUAGAAAAUGAUGCCUAGGCUGAUUAGUUGUUUGAGAUAUGAGGUUUAUGUUUCUGUGAUUUGUGGUGAGCCAUAUGUUGGCAUUGUGUUGGAACCCAUGAUAUGUAGGACCUAGAGCAAGAGGCCUACACAUGGUGUGAUAUGAAUUAUCAACUAAGGAUUGUGUCGAAUUAUGAUGAAUGGGUUGCCAAGUAGGUAUAUGGCCUAAUAUGUAUUUGGAAUAAUGGCACAGCGAUUGGGUGAUAUUAAUUGUGUGAGGCCGAAGGGCCAUUAUUAUUUAUGGACAUGAUAUAUGCAUGAAUGCCCAUGUAUUUGUGGUUGAUUCAAGGAUAUGUAUAAGGCUGUUAAGCCAUGAUUGAUACGACUGAAUAUGAUGAAUACCCAUGUGGGAUUAAGGGCAUGAAGGCCUAUAGAUUGAUUUUGUUUUGUUUGAUGAUGCCUUAGAGAUUUGAAGGCACUUAGAAUUAUCAAAUACAAUUUGAUAUGAACAUAUGGAAUGUCACAAGCAUGAUGGCUUGAUUUGUGGAUUUAUGUUUCAUCCAACGGAUGAAUUUCAGAUGUUGAUUUGACUUGAGGUGGAGUGAAGUCCCACACCCUAUGACUAUGUGUGUGCCUGUAGGGAUGGUGGUAAACAGGGACAGUGGCAUUGAUCCUACUUGUGAUUCCCACCAGCAGUGCUUUGAUGUCAUCCGUUGAGAUUACUCCGGGUGAUGCCGACAUUGGGAGAUUUCUGGGAUCGAUGAUUUGAUUUUUCACUAGUGCUUUGGUGGUAAGCGUGAUUUGUUCUUUACCCAUUGCUUUGGCACGUGUGUGAUCUGUUUCUCAGCCAGCGACUUUGCCCAAAGCGUGAUUUGAUUUUUCGCCAGUUGGUCAUCGCACGUGAUUUAACUACAUCGAGGACAAGACCACUCAUUUGAUUUCAUUUGACUAUAAUGACACGCAUCGAGUAUGGCAUGAUUUGAUUUGAAAUACGAAAUAUAUGGUGACCACUAUGAAUGAUAUUUGAUGAAAUGCUUCGGAAUAAGCAAUUAUUUGUAAAUGGGAUUUGAGCUUGUGCUCAACAAUAAGGUGUGACUAUGAAGCCUAGUUUAAUGAUAGUGACUUUAAAGAUAAGCCUUGAAUCGUAUGAUUUAAUGUGAAGACAUAGAAUUUGGAGAUUGCGGAUAUGAUACGUCGUUGAGAUGUGAUCCAGCAAUACUUGAUAUGAUGAGUUGUGCAUGUAGGAUAUUAAGAUGAUCCUCGCACUUUUGAAUUGGAGAUGUUUGAAUAUGAAAGGCUUAUGGCUAUAUAAGCCUAAAUAUAUUUUUUAUGUAAAAUAUUAUGCUAUGAUAGGAUCCCCUCACUAAGUAUUUGAUGACUCACCCCUCUGUUGUACCAUGUGUAGAUAACAGAAGCUAUGGAGUUACAUGGCAAGUGUUGUCGAUUGGAUGGACACAUAAUUGGCAUCUGGUAGGUUUCCCUCCCAACGUGUCACUCUGUUGAGUCUGUGUGGGCCUUCCUCCUUCAAGUCUGAUUUCAUAAUAAAAUAUGUAAGGCACGAUGUGCCAUUUGAAUUGUUUAAGGGUUGUUAUGUACAAACCCGAUUUGAUGGCCAACGUAUGGCCCUAUAAAUUCUAGAACUCAAUGCAUAAUUCAAAAAUUCACAUUCACAUAAACCUUCUCUAAAUACGUAUAAUGAAUCUAAGCAAAAGUGAUGGUGCUCAAAAUGUAGAAAUUUCAUCUUAACAAUAAAGCUUAGCAUAAGAAUUUAUAUAACACUCAAACAAGAUUCACAUGUUUCAAAGAAUUAAAAUAGGAAUGAAACUAUGUUGUCAUCAUUGGAUAGGUAAAUUGUCAAACCUUGUUCUAUAAAAUAAUUACUACGUCAUUUACAUGCUCAAUAGAAUGUUUGCAUAUUUAGAAACUUCAAGAAAUCGUUAAAAGAUGAUAUUGCCCCUAAUGGUACCAUUAAGUCAAUUAAGCCUCGAACUAGUUCAAAUAGGGAUUUUAAGGUGAAAUAAAAUUUUACAGUCAAGGAAUGACUUAAAAUGGUGAUUCAAAGUUCAAGGAUUAAUUCGGAGUCAAAUCGAAACUUUCAUUAUCUAGAGGCAAAAUGGUAAUUUUGUCACCUGAGGAUAAAAUUAGAAUAUUGGAAGAAUUUUUUGAUCAAAUUUGACUCAUUGGAGUAUAAUUUGAGGUUGAUAAGUGAAAAAGUUGUAAUUUCGAUAUUUUUGGAGUAUAGGGACAAAAUAGUAAUUCUACCACCCCGGGGGCAAAUCGGUAAAUUUUCACCCUCGACACUUGUCAAGACCAAGGGAUUUUAUUCAUCAUGGAAAUGGAUAAACAUGAGAAAUGUGUGGUGGAGAAUUAAAGAAUUAAAAGUCAAAUAUUUAAAAUUUGAACCAAUAAGGAAAUGCCAUGUGUCAUGCUUUUAUUAUUUUAUUGUUUCUUUAUAAAAAGGCAUAAAAACCAGCCCAUUUCUCCCAUAGUGGUUGGCCAAACCAGAAGAGAAGAGAAACCAAGGAAGAACAAACCCUAGGUGGAGAAAAUCAAAGAGAAAGUGUUGGAAUUCAAGGUUUUGAUCAAGCAAAGGUAAAAUUUCUUUGAUUUUGCUAGUGAUUUACCCUACCCAUGCAUUUCUCCUUAAUUUUCAUGGUUGGAUUGUAUGUUUCCAUGGGGAAAUCAUGGCUGGCUGAAUGGGUUUGGUGUGAGAAAUGAUGUUGGAAUUGGUUGAUUUUGAGUUAUGUUGGUGUUUAGAGUUAGUUAAGCAUGUUUAGAAACAAAACAACAAGAAAAGAAUCCAUUUUCCCCAUGAACCUUCAAUGGCCGAACCCUAUGUGAAGUGUAGAAGUAAUGAAUUGAUUUUGUGAUCAACUGAUUUGGUUGAAAAAUUGAUGAAAUGAUGAUUUAUGGUGAGAAAAUGGAAUGGAAAAAUUUUUAGUGAUAGUGCACCACAAUGGCUGAAAUUUUCAAGAAGAAUUGUGAGGGUUGUUAAGCUGAAUUUUAGAUUAUUGGAAUUGUAUUCAGUGAAUUGAAAUAUUAGAAAUGAAAUGGAGCAAUUUGGAGCCAUAUUGGACACAAUUGUCAUUUAAUCGGGUAAUAGGCCGAAUUAGGUCAGCACCGCAUUUUAGGGGUAGUCGUAUAAGUUACAUAUCAUAUCAUGCAUAUACACCGAGCCUGAAUCGAUUUUAUAAUGGUCAAGCAUUAAUGUGGUGAAUUAUGUAUUGUACAUUGUGGAUAUGUGGUGAGCAAAUUACACUGGUAAAAGUACAGAGAUUGUGCUUGAAGAUUGGGAUUAGGAAUACAUCGACUCCUAGAACUGUGAGUAAACUUAUUAUUGUCUUAAUUAUCUAGAGUUGUUUUAUACAAUUGUGUGAUUUUAUAGAAAAUGGGUUUAAAUGGUAAAUUGCUAUGUUUUAGGAGAAAUUAUGAUUUUAUAAAUUUUCUAGAAAAUUGAAUACUGGUUUUGAAAAUAGAGUAAUUGGAGACUGCUUGCUUGUGUUAUAAAUUGUGUUUUAAAUUAUAUGGCUUACAGCAAUAUGUGAGCAUGAAUGGCAAAGUCGGUAUUUGUAUCAAAAUUAUAUAUACUAUGUAUUCAGCCUUAAGAAGCUAGAUUGAUAUAAAUUGUCAUGUCAUACAGAUAAAGAUUUUAUAAAUCAGGUGUUAGAUAAAAUAAUCCAUAAUCCUUGUAAUGGAGGUUCUGUGGACCAACUUAAGAGAGGGGGCACAGAAUCAGAUAUACCUUACCUCGAUCAGAUAGCAGUGUGGAGGGUUUCUCUAAAGGUAAAGAUUUGAGCGCACUUCACGUGGACCACCGUGUGAAAGUGAGACUCAGCCAAUGCCAAGGCAUGGCUAGAACUUCGGAUGUAAAGACAUUUAAUAGCCUUGGUGGUCUCGGUCAGAUGCCUAGGCCAAGGCAUCCCCGGGAAUGAUUUUUGGCAGGAGCCAAGUUUUGUGAGAUAUAUAAGCCACGUUGAUUAAUUAAGUAAACUGAAUAUUCAUGUUAUGAAACAUAUAUUGGAAAAGAAUAUUUUAAUUCGUCUCCAUUUACUCGUCUUUAGAUAGUUUAGAUGGUGUUUGUUUACUCAUUGGGAUUUUAUAAUCUCACCACCCUCACUUCCUCACAUUUCAAGCUCAGGGAAUUCCAUAGUUAGCUGACUUUGACAAGGACCUUCAUUUGGACUUGAAUAGGCAAAAGCUGUAAGUUUUCAGUUUUCGAUGCAUUUUGGUUAGAUGUGGGUCCACGUGUCUCUGUAAAAGUAAUUUUAUGCUUUGGUUAUUUGCUUUAUAGUAUAUAUGAAUAUAAUUACUUUUAUGCUAUAAGAAUUAUUUACCGAUAGCUUUAUAAAAAUUAUUUUACAAGAAAAUAGUUUAGUUUAUUCAAAUGGUCAAAUUUUCACUUCAAUGAACGUUUUAGAUACUUAAUUUGUUUUUAAAUCACUAAAUAUAUAUUUUCUGCUUACCUACUACAUUUUUAGCAAGUUUUGAGAUUUUUGACAAAAAAUGACGAAAAUGCCCCUGUGAGCCAGAAAACAAUAUGUUAUGUUCUGAUUUGGAAAUGACUCGUAAUCGUUCGAAUUACGAUAUUUGAUAACUAUUGCUCACCGGGGAAGUGCGAAAGUUGAUACGAAAGCCUUGCAAGGUUUCGAUUGGCAUUCGGGGUGAAGAAUGUCUGUCGAGGCUUCGCAGCGAUUGUCACGGGCCCGAUGGAGAGUUUCAAGUCGUGACAUAAAUUAAACGAAAUUGGCAUAAUUAAAUCUAGUUCAAAUGCAAAUGCACAUGUAUCAAUUUAAAUUAAAAGUUACUAACUUAACCACUAACUUCAAAUUCCCCCUUAAACUUAAAAAUAACAUUGUCGCCAAUGUUAAUAAAAGUAAGGUAAAGGAAUACUCCCCUGACUAUUGGGUUGUCUCUAAAUAUCCUCAUCCUCAUCAUCAUCAUGCAAAUCCUUUGCUAUGGGAUCAUCUGGGAGAGUAAGAAAAAAGCUCAUAUCCCUACCAACAUGUUUAACAUAAACACGCAUCAUUUGUUCCAUGGACUGCAUACACACUGCCUGAUGAUCCAUUUUAAGUUCAAGCCAUUCCAUCCUCUAAGAUAUGGAAAGAUGUUGUCACAGCCCAAUUUUCCAGGCCAUAACCGACGCAUGGACCCAAUGGGCACAGCCCACUAAGCCCAAGCGAGCCUCUUUAUGUAGUUCUUUCCAUUAUUUCAUCACUCAUUCCUACAGUCGCAUCUCGUAAUUCUUAACUAUAAGUAUUUCAAUAAUAUACUAUGACAAACAAAUAUUUACAUUUCUAUUAUCUCAAAAUAAUGUCACUCAUUAAUAACUCAUAGUGGCACCAUAAAUCAAAGUAUACAUAUUUUGAUCAUAACAUGCAUCUCAGUGAUUUACAUCACGUGUAUGUAUCCACAAGCAAAAGACUUUUGACUACCAGCGGAGUGACUUUGGGCGAAGGUAUAGCUACUGAAUGCCACGGUACCUACCAAAAAGGUGAAUAGGAACAAACACCUUAAUCUAGGUCCCAACUACUUCCAAAUCUGAAAACAUGGAGUUAAAAAGAGUGAGUAUAAACUUAGUGAGCAAACAUAAGAAGGGAACAAGUAAACGAUAAGGAAAGUUUUAGAAAACAUGAUACACUUAGGUUAAAAACAAUAUAGUUUAGCUUAAUUUCUUGUUAAAACCCCUCAAUUCAACCCUUGAUUACUUAAUCCUUUAGUGUUGAAAGGUCCAUAAUCAACAAUGAAGUUAAAGAGUGAAAACUACAGUAAAUAUCCAAACAAGGCAAAGAGUUUCUCUUUCUGGGCAGGAACCACUCGAGAGUUUCUUGCAUUCUCGCUGCAGCGAAAACCAAGGCUGGGUUAAGCCCUCAAGCACCCAAGAGUUUCUCACUGCAGCGAGAAUGAAAUUUCGCUACAGUGAGAAACAAGGCAAUUAAGUUAGAAGAAUUCUUGUUACAACGAAAAUCCAUUCUUGCUGCAAUGAAAAUCAAUUUGGAAGCAUUUAACAAUUUCAACAUUCAACAUUCAAUGCAAUCCUAUAAUAUUUUCCCGAACCUCUCUGUGGUAUGUGUAAACAUAUACAACUAUCGGCUCACCAGCUCAUGUGCACUCCCACACCACACAUAGCUGAAAUCAUCAUGUGCACUCCCAUACCUCACAUAGCUAAGACUAUCAUGUGCACUCCCACACCGCACAUGGCAAAUAUCAUCAUGUACACACCAUCACCACAUCAUCACCGACAUGUGCACUCCCACACCGCAUACACUCGGUUGUAAUCAACACACAACAUUAUCAUUCAAUGCAUAACAUACAUAGCGUCAUAAUAUAGGAACACAUGAAUUCAUCAAAUUUCAAAUUUCACAACAUAAAAACGUUUCACCAAGGGCUUGUUCCCAUGCAUGUUUUAAAGAAAAUACCAAUAAAAUAUUUCAAGUGAUUCAAUCAAACACUUAUGCAUUUAUCCCAAAACAUUUUAAUGCAAGUUCACUCACUUGUCUUUGUUGAUUCUUUAAUUGACUCCAAUUUCCACUAAUACUCCAAGUGGAGAUGUGGGGUCUCGUUGGAACCUAUCACACACAAUAGCAUCACAACCAACUUAAUUGACAUGAAUAUUAUUCCAAAAGCUAUUUCUAAAUCAAACUUUACUAGUUAUUCCUCACUAGUUUCUAAUUACCAUUUGACUAGUCAUUAGUUUGCACUACUCUAGUCACACUAGGAAUAAAUAAAUAACCUUCAACAAUAAAACAACCCACAAUUCUAAUUAUUGGCCAUUCAUCAACAACUUAAAAAUCAACCCAACUCAUUACUCACCUUGGUGGAUUUGUAGUUAAAUUCCUUUUCAAAAGUUUUUCAAGCUAUUAUGGAAAGUCUCCUUCUCUCUCUAAAACAUUCAGUUAGUGAGAGAAAGUGUUGAGGAAAGACUUUUGAGAGUUUUUAAAGUGAAAGAGUGAAAGAGCAAGAAAAAUCCUAUAGAAAGGUGUAUAAAAACAUGAGAAUUGGAGUUACUUUGAGAAAGUUAUGGAGGUUUCAAGGGUAGCCUCCAUGAAAGAUGGAGAGUUUGAAAUGGAGAGAAGGGAUGGGAGGAAAAAGAAAAAGCUACUAGAAGUGAGGAGAAAGCUACUGGAAAAUUAGAUAUUUAUUCUUAAGAUUGAUUAAAACUCCAUUUAUUUACAAAAAUGCCAUUACAUAGUUGAUUUUGCCUUCUUCUUUCCUUUGGUUCAGACUUUUUACUCUUUUGAUACUGAGAAAAAAGUUCACAUAGAUUAGAGGUACUCGAGUUCAUGAAAACUUAAAAAUUUAGGCUCGAGACCUAAAAUGACCAUUUUACCCAUAUUGUGGAAAUUAUCAUUAUUUUUAUUUUCUUCAUUUAUUUCAUUAUUACAUACCUCAUUCAUUUAUUUCUUAGGCCUACUUAUGUCUUAAUUAUAUGAAAAAAACCCACUUUUAGAAGCUCACCAAGAAAAUGAUAGAACUACCUUUAAUCCAUGUCAUCGUGUUUACCUCCACUACAAGUUUAUAAAGGUCGAGGUUUCACAUUCUCCCCCACUAAAAGAAAUUUGAUCUCUGAAUUUAAAUCUAAUUAUAAGGUUGCGUACCUCUAUGUAUUAAAGAGGUGUGGAUACUUUGUUCGCAUCUCCUCUUCAGCUUCCCACGUUACCUCUUCACUGGUGUGGUUUUGCCACAACACUUUCACUAAGGCUACAUCCUUUGAAUGGAGCUUUUUGACUUACCUAUCAAGGAUAGCCACUGGUUGCUCUUCAUAGGUUAAGUCAUCUCUCAACUGAAUGGUUUCAUUCCGUAUUGCAUGAGAUGGAUCCAGGUUAUACUUCCUAAGCAUUGACACAUGAAACACCGGAUGGAUAUUCGAGAGGUCUGGCAGUAAUGCCAAAUGGUAUGCUACUGCUUCAACCUUAUCUAAGAUCUCAAAAGGUCCUAUAUACUGAGGACUUAAUUUUCUUUUUUUACUGAACCUCAUUACCCUUUUUGUUGGUGAGACCUUCAAAAAUACAUGAUUCCCUACUUGAAACUGUAAGUGUCUCUGUCUGUUAUUAGCAUAUGACUUUUGUCUACUUUGUGCUGAUAACAUACUCUGUCAAAUCAUGCGUAUCUUUUCGAUGGCGUCCUGCACCAACUCUAGCCCCAAGAGUUUCCUUUCUCCCACCUCUAGCCACCCAAUGGGUGACUUGCACCUCCAUCCAUAUAAUGCCUCAAAUGGUGCCAUUUGGAUGCUAGCUUGGAAGCUAUUGUUGUAAGCAAACUCCCCUAAGGGUAGAUACUAAUCCCGCUUAACCCCAAGGUCUAUUACACAUGCCCUCAGCAUAUCUUCCAAUGCUUGUAUUAUUCGUUCAAAUUGCCCAUCAGUCUGAGGGUGGAAAGCUGUUCUAAAAUCCAACUUAGUGCCCAACACUUUCUAUAACUUUCCCCAGAACCUAUUGGUGAACUUUGUCCCUCUAUCAAAUACUAUAAAAAUGGGGAUACCAUGCAGCGUACUAUUUCAUCCACAUAAAUUUAGGCGUACUGGGCAACCUCGUAUGUAGUUUUAACUAGAAGAAAAUUAGCUGGCUUCAUUAACCGGUCUACUAUGAUCCAAAUCAAGUCGUAGCCCCCACUAGUUCGAGGCAAGCCCGACACAAAGUCUAUUGUAACAUGUUCCCACUUCCAUUCGGGCACCGGUAAUGGCUGUAGUAGCCUUGCAGGCCUUUGGUGCUUAGCCUUAACUUGUUGACACACCAAGCACUUAGAGACAAACUCAGCUACAUCUUUCUUAAGUCUUUCCCAUCGGUAUACCUCCCUCAAAUCUUGAUACAUCUUUGUAGCUCUCGGAUGUACCACGUACGUUGCCAUAUGCGCCUCCUCCAAUAUUUCUCUCCUCAAUCCAUCACUAUCAGGCACAUACAAUCUGGUUCCAUACCUCAAUACUCAAUCUGUGCCUUUAGUAAACAUUUUUCCUUUCCUUCUCUGAGGGUUCUCCAAGGCCUUAGUUACGAACUCAUCUUUACUUUGGGCUUCUCUAAUCCUGUCUAUUAGGAUAGGUCUAACUUUAAAAUGUGCUAACAAUGCAUUUGUCUCUGAAACUUCAAAAUGCACACCCAUAUCUCCAACACCUUGCAUCUCCCGAAUCAAAGAUCUUCUAUCUACAAAUAUAUGUGCCAGACUCCCCAUCGACUUUUCACUUAAGGCAUUUGCCACUACAUUAGCCUUACUGGGAUGAUAGAGAAUAGUACAGUCACAAUCCUUAAGCAACUCCAUCCAUCUAUGUUACCACAAGUUAAGAUCCCUUUGCUGAAAUAUAUACUUUAAACUCUUGUGGUUUGUAUAUAUUUCGCAAGUCUCACUAUACAAAUAAUGUCUCCAAAUCUUUAAGGCAAACACAAUUUUAGCCAUCUCCAAAUCGUGUGUGGGGUAAUUUUGCUCAUGCCUUUUAAGUUGCCUUAAUGCAUAUGCAAUCACCUUCCCAUGCUGCAUUAAUACACACCCUAAACCAACCCGUGAUGCAUCACAAAAUACCGUAUAACACCCUGUGCCUUACAGUAGGCUUAAUAUUGGAGUUGUGGUGAGACAAGCUUUAUGCUUCUCAAAGCUAUCCUCACAAGCAUCUGACCGCUCGAAUUUUACAUCCUUAUGUGUCAGCCUAGUCAGAGGAGUGGCUAUUAUAGAGAAAUCCUUCACAAAACAACAGUAAUAGCCGGCCAAACCCAAAAAGCUUCUAAUCUCUAUAACUAAGGUUGGCCUUGGCCACUUUUCCACUACCUCAACUUUCUUUGGAUCGACUUGUGCCCCAUCCUUAGAAGCCACAUGUCCUAAGAAUGCAACACUUUCAAGCCAAAACUCACACUUAGAGAACUAAGCAUACAAUUGACGUUCUCUCAAAGUUUGGAGCACUAUCUUAAGGUGUUGUUUGUGCUCCCCUCGACUCCUCGAGUAGAUCAAGAUGUCGUCAAUAAAUACCACCACAACUUGUCCAAAUAAGGCUUGAACACUCAGUUCAUCAAAUCCAUAAAGGCCGCAGGGGCAUUCGUAAGCCCAAACGACAUCGCUAAAAACUCAUAGUGCCCAUAUCUUGUUCGAAAUGCAGUCUUUGGUACGUUCUCAUUCUGGAUCCCUAAUUAAUGGUACCCAGAUUGUAAAUCUAUCUUAGAGAAAUGUUGUGCUCCUUGUAGUUGGUCAAAUAAAUAAUCUAUUCUCGGAAGAGGGUAUUUAUUCUUCACCGUCAUUUUAUUAAGCUAUCGGUAGUCAAUACACAAUCUAAGUGACUUAUCUUUCUUCUUUACAAAUAGCAACGGUGCUCCCCAUGGUGAGAUGUUCGGGCGGAUGAAGCCUUUAUCUAACAAAUCUUCUAAUUGACCCUUAAGUUCCUUAAGCUCUGCAAGUGCCAUUCUAUAUGAGGAUAUGGAUAUGGGUCUAGUAUCUGAAAUCAAGUCUAUGCCAAAUUCAAUCUCCCGCUUGGGAGGCAAACCUAGUAAUUCCUUUGGAAAUACAUCUACAAACUCAUUCACUACCGACACUUAGUUUAUAUCCCCGACCUUCGCUUGGGUAUCUCUCACAAUAGCCAAGUAACUUGGACAACCCUAUCUUAAUAGCCUUUUAGUAGACAUGACGAAUAUCAAAUUGGUUGGAGCAUUACUCCUAUCCCCCUGAAUACUAAAUGAUGGCUCACUUGGAAAGUCAAAUCUAAUCAAUUUAUGGUAACAUUCCAUGCUGGCAUGGCAAGGCGAUAGCCAAUCCAUUGCGAAAAUAACAUCAAAAUCUAAGGUGUCUAAUUGCACUAGAUUUACCAAAGUGUCUUUGUCCUUGACCCGAACUACACAAGACUUAUAUUCCCAUUUUACCAUAAAUAUCUCCCUUAAUGGGGUAGACACCACUAAUUGUUCCUCUCUCAUAACGUGAUCUUUACCUAAUCGGGGUGCAAAACGUGUAGAAGCAAAAGAGUGCAUAGAACCAAGAUCAAACAAUACCCGAGCAUUCAUAUUACAAAGAAUACCUGAGACCACAACGUUAGAUGUCUGGGCCUCCUGUGGUGUUAAAGUAAAUACCCUUGCGUGACCCCUACUAGUAGAACUCUAUCAUCCAAACCCAGACGGUCUGCUUUGAGAGGAAGCAAUAGCACCUCUACCUCUCGAUUCACUAGCCUCUUGAUUAGAUGAGGUGGCUUCUAAAGGAGCAGAUGAAACUGGCUGAGUGGAGCUGCUAGCAGAUCCUUGUAGUUGAUGCGCCAUUGGACAACUUCUCUUCCUGUGUCUAAGUUGACCACACAAGAAACAAACUCCUAUCUCACGAAAGCAUCGUCCUUCAUGUUGUACCCCAUAAGUAUUACAAUGAUUGAUAGCUUGACCACCCUACCUUGAAUCUUGCUACCUCCCAACAUUGAAGGUUUUUUGUCCCAAUCCAAUGCUGGCACUACUUAAGUCACUUCUCUAUUGGGAUAACCGUGAGUCCCUUUAUGGGCCCUGACGACAAGAAGAUGAAAUACCAUUAUUGAAGUCUCUACGACCUUGAUGGCCUUCUAUCUUGGCCCUCUUGACUCUAUCCUUAGUAGCCCUACUCUCGUUGCUCCUCAUCUCAAUCUAUUGGGCACAGUCUACAACUGCGAAAUAGGUAUCAAAAUCCUUGGAUGUUAUAGCCCUAAACAAUGGCUCCACUAGCCUAUCCACAAACCUUCAAAUCCUCAUCUCCUCUGUAGAAACUAGAUAGGGUGCAUACUGAGCCAACUGGGUGAAUUUGAUGUCAUAUUUUGACACCGUCAUACUUAGGGUCUGUACUAAUGCCUCAAACUUCCUAGCUCUCGCAUUUCGUACACUGAUCGGUAAGAAUUGAUUUAGGAACGCUGUACUGAACUCAUUCCAAGUCAACGGUGUUGCGUCCAUUAGCCUACCUUUAUGCAAGGAGCCAUACCACUCUUGUGCCACAUCCUUUAAUCGGAAAGCAGCUAACUCAACUGAUCUAGUACUAGAACAUCCCAAGGCAUCACAAAUUUUUUCCAUCUUGUCUAAGAAAACCUGGGGUCUCUCCAAUGCAUUAGACCUUGUAAACGACGAAGGUUUAAGUUUCAGGAAAUCAAGAUGUGAAACCUCUAUAUGACCCCUCUCAACCUCUAGAUGUUGGCUAUAAAACCCGACCCUAUAAACACAUGUCAUGACAUACAUGCACUGAGUAGCAUGUUAUUAUGCUAGGAAAGCACCUAAGAAUAGACAAAACCCGGUAUCGUACCUAACGGUACACUUGAGUUGAUUUAACCUCGAACUAGUUCAAAUAGGAAUUGUAGGACAAAAUUUAAUAUUUUAUAGUCCAGGAAUGACUAAAAAUGAUUGUCCGGAGUUUGAGGGUUCAUUAGGGGUAAAAUUGAAAAUUUUGAUGUUUAGGGGCAAAAAUCGUCAUUUUACCACCUAAGAUAAUAAUUUGAUCAUGGAGUGAAAUUUUUGAACAAGAUUAACUUUUUGGAGUAUAAUUUAAUGAUAGGAAGUGAAAAUUUUCAAUUCCGGUAAUUUUCGAAACAUAGGGGCAAAACGGUAAUUUUGUCGUCUUGGGGUAAAAAAUCAUAAUUUUCACCACUCAAAACUUGUCAAAAUCAUAGGAUUUAUUUAUUUUUGGUAUGAAUAACUAUGGUAUGUUAAGUGGUGAAAAAUUGAAGUUCAAAGGAUGAAAUUUUAAAAACGGACCAAUGGGAAAGUGACACAUGGUAUUUUUUAAUGGUUUAAAACUAUUUUAAUGAAAAGUCAGUCCUUUUAAAGCCCAUAUUAAGUGCUGGCUGGCCAUAAGAAAAGAACAAGAGAGAAAAUAGAGAGGAAAGGAAGGAAAGAGAAAAACAAAGGAAAACUAGAACAUUCAAAGGGAAAAUCAUGUUUUUCGACCGUUUACGCGUCUAACGGUAAGAUUUUUCUAUUUUAGCUUACUUUCUACCUUUCCUAUCCCUUUAUUUCCAUUAAGCAUGCUUGAGGAGAGAGAUCAAAAAGUGAAACCAAGGGCUGGCCGAAAUUCUAGGGGAGAGAUUUUAGAAUUUUUAGGUUUUGAUUUUUAGUUAAAUUGGUAGUUUUAGUUAGUUAAAUGUGUAUAGAAAUUAAAUUGGGCAAGAAAGCAUGAAAUUUUCACAAUACCCACCCUUGGCUGAAUAUGCAUUGAUGUACAAUGAUGAUGAACUGAUUUUUAUUCUAAGAGAAAUGAAGAGGAAAUGAUGAAAAAUGGUUAAAUGUGAUAGAAAAACAAAGUGAAAAAUUUACCGAGUUAAUGUCCCAUUUUUUACCAAAUUUUCCAAGGAGGAAAGUGAGCUGAUUUUGGUGAUUUUAGAAGGUUAUUGGCUGAUAUUUAACGGUUAGAAAUGUUGGAGAGAAAAUGGGACAAUUUAGAGCUAAAAUGGAGUGCAUUAGCAAUUUAACGGGUAAAGUGCCAAAAAUAGGUUAAUACCGUGUUGAAGCCGUUUUAGGCUAUUGCAUUUCAUACUAUGCAUUAGUAUAGGAUUUAAGUAAAUUAUAUAGUGAUUUAGCAUCAAUGUGGUGAAUUGGGUAAAUUUUGCGAUGUGUCUAGGAGGAGAGCCUUCCGGUAAAGGCAAGGAAGUCGUACCCGACCAACAGUGAUCGGGGCACCUAGGAAGCAUUUCAUCUGUACAAACAGUGAGUAAACUUAUUAUUAUUGUAAAUUAUCUAGAGUUUAUUUUUAAAUACUCUUUAUGUAUUUUAUGAAACGAAAAUGAGAUUAAAACGGGAUUUUUGAUGUUUUAGAAAUAAAUGUGACAAAUAAAAAUAUAUUGUGUUGAUUACGAAAUUGAGUAAUUGGAGGCUGCCAAUUGUCUUGAAAAAUAUAUUUUCUUAUGAAUGGCUUAUGAUAUAUGAGUAUAUGUGGCUAUAUUUUAUAAUUUCAUUGGGAAUAAAAUGUAAGUUGUCUUUUACUAUGCAGGCUGGAUAAAUAAAUAAAAGCCAUGUUAUACUGUCGAAAUUUUAGUAAAAUUGGUGGGUUUAGUCACUGUAGUGACGAGUUUCCGUGGACUGCCUAUUAGAGGGGCACGAUAAACCCGGUUUCAUAGUUACUCUGGUUGUAGAGGCGAGGAGGGUAACUCCCAGGAUAGUGUUAGAGUUCACUUCACGUCGAACCCCCACGAGAAUGUGUAACUCGACCAAUGCCAAGGAACGGCUUGUUUUCAAAACUAGAAUGUGUUUAACAUGUAAAUAUCUUAACAACCUUGGCGAACUCGGUUAGAUGCCCCGGCCAAAGAUAUCCCCGAGGACUAGAUUUUGGCUUGAGCCAUGUUUUUAAUAAAGGUUAUAAGCCUUGACAACUGUUUUCGUAAAUUACAAAUGUUUUAUGGUUUAAGAAAGAAAUUGAAAACCUUAUGAAAUGGUUUGUGAUUUGUUGUUUAAACUUGCCUUCAUUUUACUCACCUUUAGAUAUUUAUGAUAAUGUCUGUUUACUCAUUGGGAUUGCAAAAUCUCACCCACCUCCUUUCCAAACAUUUCAGGCCUGUGGUAGCUUGUAGAUAUCCAAUUUUGUGGAGGAUUCCAGUUGACAACUCUAUCUCACAAACAGUAGGUUACUAUCACCAACACUUGGUGUAGUUGUGGGCCACUUGUCAUUGUAAUUAUUAUUGUACAUUACAACAUUGUAAAUUAUUGUAUGUAUGAAUUUAUUUUAUUCUCACGCUACAAAAAUUAUUUAUGUAUAGUUCUAUAAAAAUUGUUUUAUAAGAAAAUGAAAUAUAUUAUCAAAUAUUUUUAUUUAGUUUAAUUAGCCAACUUUUCACUCUAAAUGAAUGAUUUAGAUUACAAAAAUUUAUUUUUAAUCGGCAGUGGAUAUUUUUCUACCAUACGUUGUAUCUUUAUCAGGUUUCGAAAUUUUUUGGUAAAAAUGACCAAAAUACCCCUAUGUGGCAAAAAUUUUAUUUUGAUUGUUUUUUAUCUAAAAUAGUUUAUAUUUUCUUAAAACUCGAUAUUUAACAAUGAUUGCUCAUAGGAAAGGCAAGAAACUGAUUCGUUAGCCUUGUGGGGUUCCGAUUGGCAUUCUGGAUAAUGAGUGUCAAUCGGGACGUCGCAGCGGUUGUCAUGGGCCCGAGGGACGUUCCGGAUCGUGACAUCGGCAAUCGGUCUGUGCUUGUGAAUUAAGGGACACUUGUGUUGCUUGUCUCCCCUCUAAUAUUCUCUGUAUGUCAUCCAUAUGGGUUGCCAUCAUCUCCAUAACCCUAUUAAUUCCCUGUAGACCUGCAGCCAAGUCCUCAAUGGUAAUGCCCCAUGUUGGGUGUCUAUCCACCUAAAGACUGUUCCUCCUGAUGUUUACUCGUAGAUGCACCUACCUUCACCUACCUAGUGGCCCCGCCACGUUUGCCUUGCCCCCUAGGGGUGGAUGCUCGUGGCUUACCGUUGUCUCAUUAUGAGCAUCUUGCUCCCCCAUCUGUCUCAAGGCGGCUCAUGUCUUAAGUGGCAUUCUUACCUCGAAAAGAGUAAACACUUGUUAUUAAACACAUUUUACGGUCAUUCCUAAAGGAAAAGGUGGUUUCUAGAAUAGGGAAUCUAUACGGUCUCUUUGUUGUGAAAUGUGCCUCGAUUCACAAUUCACAAUCAAAGUUUCCACAUAAAGACCCAAUACUCCGUUGGAUCAAAUAAAUAAGUUUUAGGACCUAGACAACCUAGGACUCUAAUACCAACUUUGUACUAGCCCAAUUUUCUGGGCCAUGAUCGGUGGAUGGACCUAAUGGGCACAGCCCACUAAGCCCAAGCAAGCCUCUUUAUGUAGUCCUUUCCAUUAUUUCAUCACUCAUUCCUACAGUCACAUCUCGUAAUUCUUAACUAUAGGUAUUUCAAUAAUAUACUAUGACCACCAAAUAUUUACAUUUGUAUUAUCUCAAAAUAAUGUCACCCAUUGCCAACUCAUAGUGGCACCAUAAAUCAAAGUAUACAUAUUUUGAUCAUAACAUGCAUCUCAGUGAUUUACAUCAUGUGUACGUAUACACAAGCAAAAGACUUUUAACUACUAAUGGAGUGACUUUGGGUGAAGGUAUAGCUACUGAAUGCCAUGAUACCUACCAAAAGGCGAAUAGGAAAGGACACCUCAAUCUAGUCCCAACUACCUCCGAAUCUAAAAACAUGACGUUAACAAGAAUGAGUAUAAACCCAGUGAGCGAACAUAAGAAAGGAAUAAGCAAACAAUAAGGAAAGUUUUAGAAAAAAUGAUGCACUCAAUUUAAAACAAUAUAGUUUAGCUUAAUUUCUUGUUAAAACCCCUCAAUUCAACCCUUGAUUACUUAAUCCCUUAGUGUUGAAGGGUCCAUAAUCAACAAUGAAGUUAAAGAGUGAAAACUACAGCAAAUAUCCAAGCAAGGCAGAGAGUUUCUCGCUGCAACGAGAAUUCAAUUUCACUGUAGUGAAAUUCUGGGUAGGAACCACCCGAGAGUUUCUCACUACAGCGAGAAUGCAUUCUCGCUGUAGCAAAAACCAAGGUUGGGUCAAGCCCCCAAGCACCCAAGAGUUUCUCGCUGCAGCGAGAAUGAAAUUUCGCUGUAGCAAGAAACAGGUCCAUUAAGUUAGAAGAAUUCUUGUUACAAAGAAAAUCCAUUCUUGCUGCAAUGAAAAUCAAUUUGGAAGCAUUUACAAUGUCAACAUUCAACAUUCAAUGCAAUCAUAUAAUAUUUUCCUUAACCUCUCUAUGGUAUGUGUAAACAUAUACAACUACCGGCUCACCAACUCGUGCACUCCCACACUGCACAUAGCUAAAAUCAUCAUUUGCACUCCCACACUACACAUAGCUAAUACUAUCAUGUGCACUCCCACACCGCAUGUCACGACCCGGUACUCCCCUCGAGCCCGUGACAACAACCGCGGUGUCCGCAUCGACACUCAUUACCCGAAAUGUCAACCAAAACCCCGUAAGGCUUUAAUAUCAGUUUAUCAUUUCCCCUGUUAGUAACCGUAGCCAAAUAUCAUGUUCUAAAAGAUUUUAAGCUAUUUCCAACUUAAAUCAAUAAAAAAAAUGAUUUCUGUCUCACAGGGGCAUUUUGGUCAUUUUUCCUCAAAAAUCUCGAAACCAACUAAAAAUGUAGUAUGCGAGUAUAAAACACAUAAUUAAUAAUAAAAAAUAAGCUUAGAUAUCUAAAACAUUCAUUUAAAGUGAAAUUAUAACUAUUUGAAUAUAAUAAAAAUAUUCAAUAAAAUAUUUUAUUUUCUUAUAAAAUAAUAUUUAUGCAGUUACCAGUAAAUAAUUUUUGUAGCGUAAAAGCUAAAUAAAUUCAUACAUACUGUAAUACAGAUAACCAAAGUAUAAAAUUUAAUUUACAGUAACACGUGGGCCCACGAACGACCAAAAGUAUCAAAAGCGGUAAACCUACAGUUUUUGAGGAUGCAAGUCCAACUGUAGCCCUUAACGAAAUGAGUUAUUUACCAACUAUCCUGAGCCUAAAAUGGGUGGAAAGAAGGGUGGUGAGAUUAUACAAUCCCAAUGAGUAAACAAAUACCAUAGAAAAUAUCUAAAGUUGAGUAAAUGGAGACAGAAAAAAUAGUUUAUCAUAUUGUAAUUCAUCACCUUUCAACUCAUUUCAACCAAAUAAACUUAAUUCAUAUAAAUCGAGUAUUCAACAUGGCUUAUGAAUUUCUCAAAAGCUUUUGCUCGUGCCAAAAUCAUUCUUAUACUUAGUUAUCAAGGAUACCUUGGCCGAGGGCUAUCACAACUGAGUCCGCAAAGGCUGAUAAAAAGUUAUGUACGCAUAAAUUAUGUUUUUAUUUUAAAAACAUAGUCAUUCCUUAGCGUUGGCUGAGUUCACCCUCACGUGGUGGUUUGGCGUGAAGUGAACUUUAAAGUGUUAACCUCAGGAGUUAUCCGUCCGCGCCUCUCAUACUGAGGUAUGACUAUAACGGGGUUACCGUACGUCCUCUAAUAGGAUGGUCCACGGAACCCGUACACUGCAGCGACUAAUCAAUAACCCACUAAUUCAAUAAAAUUUAACAGCAUGACAUGGCAAUUUUAUCAUUAUCCAGCCUAUCAAGGCAAACAACAGUUUAUACAUUUUCAACAUAAAUACCAAUUCAGCUAUUCAUGCCAAUAUUGCCAUAAGCCAAUCAAUUAGAACCAUAAAUUCACAAUACAUCAAAUGGUCUCCAAUUACUUUAUUUUCAAAGCCAUCAUUCAAUUUCAAGACAAUUUUUAAAAUAAUUUCAUUUAAACACAUUUUGUUUAUAAAACAUAAAGAUUUACCAUUUAAACUCAUUUUUCAUAAAAUCACAAAAUCGGAGAAAAACCAUUAUAGAUAAUUAAGAUGAUAGUAAGGUUACUCACUAUUUCGGGAGUCGAAUUCCGAGUACUCCGAUUCUUGAUCCUCGGGUACUAUCUCUUUACUUUUGCCAAAAUGCUCACCACCUAGACAUAAUGCACAAUAAGCCAUUUACUAUAUUUGUGCUAAAUUGUUAUAAAACCAAUUCAGGCUCUAUAUUAAUGCAUGAAAUGGGAUGCAAAUUGUUCGGAUUAUUGUCUAAACACGGUGUUCUACACAAAUUCAAUUGUGUACCUAAAUAAAACGGUAUUGGCCUAAUUCGAUCUAUCACUCGAUUAAUUGGCCAAUAUGUCCAAUUUAACUCCAAAUAAUUCAAUUUUUCUUCUAAUUCUCCAAAUCAUCAAACACAAAUUAAAUAACUUGAAAUAUGGCGAAAUCAUCCUCACAUUUUUUCUUGGAAAAUUCGGCCAUCGUGGGUGCAUAACACUAUAAUUUUUCCUACAUGAUUCUCACACCAUAAAUCACUAAUUCCUAACCAAAUCACUUGAAAUAAAAUUAAAAUCAUCAUCAAUAUUCUACAUGGAGAAUUCGGCCAAUGAUGGGUGAUGGAAGAACAUGAUUUUUUCUUGCUUGAUUUUCAUGCUACACAUCACCAAUCAACUAAAAACACUAAAAUACAUUGAAAUCUAACCAAAUCAAGCAUCAAAACCUCUCUCUAAGUGUUCAGCCAGCAAGAUACCCAUCAUGAAAUCAUGUGAUUCAACCAUGAAAAAUGCAAAAGAAUGCAUGGGAAAGGUAGAUCACAAGUGAAAAUCAAAAAAUUUUACCUUUAAUUGCUUGAUUACUUGGAAUCCACCAAUUUUCUCUUGAAUUUUCACCCUAGGGUUCUUGUUCUUUCUUUUCUUCCUUUGUUCUUGCUUUGGCCGGCCAUAUGAAGAGAAAUGGGCUGAUUUUGUGCUAAUUUAUAAGGAAAAUAAUAAAUGGAUGAAACUUUGACACAUGUCACCAUUCCAUUAGUCCAUGUGUCAUACUUACCUAUUAAGCAAUCUCUCUCCACCACUUAAAUUUCCUCAAUUAUCCAUGAUAAUAUUGGGUAAAAUUCAUGUGCUGGACAAGUGUUGGGUGGUGUAAAAUUACAAUUUUGCCCUUGGGGUGGUAAAAUGACUAUUUUGCCCUUAUGCUCAAAAAAAUGCCGGAAUUAAAAUUUUUCACUUUUCAAACUCAAAUUAUGUUCUAUAUAAUCAAUCUUGACCAAAAGCUUCUUCCAACAUUUCAAUUUUAACCUCGGGUGGCAAAAUGACCAUUUUGCCCCUAGGUCAUGAAAAUUCUAAUUUGACUACAAAUUGGUCCUCGAACUCCGAAUCACCAUUUUAAGUCAUUCUGGGGUUUUAAAAUUCUCAAUUUCAUCUUAAAAUCUCUAUUUGGACUAGUUCGAGGCUUAAUUCAACUUAAUGGUACCAUUUGGUACAUUACCGUCCUUUAACGAUUUUCGAGGUACCCAAGUAAGCAAACAUGCAUUCUUAUGUAAGAAUGACAUAAUAAACAUAUUGUAGAGCCGGGCUUGACACCGCACAUGGCAAAUAUCAUCAUGUACACUCUUGCACCACAUCAUCACCGACAUGUGCACUCCCACACCGCACACACUCUAUUGUAAUUAACACACAAUAUUAUCGUUCAAGGCAUAACAUGCAUAGCAUCAUAAUAUAGGAACACAUGAAUUCAUCACAUUUCACAUUUCACAACAUAAAAACCUUUCAUCAAGGGCUUGUUCCCAUGCAUAUUUUAAAGAAAAGACCAAUAAAUAUUUUAAGUGAUUCAAUCAAACACUUAUGCAUUUAUCCCAAAACAUUUUAAUGCAAGUUCAUUCACCUGUCUUUGUUGACUCUUUAAGACUCCAACAUCCACUAACGCUCCAAAAGGAGAUGUGGGGUCUCGUUGGAACCUAUCACACAAAAUAGCAUCACAACCAACUCAUUUGACAUGAAUAUUAUUCCAAAAGCUAUUUUCUAAAUCAAACUUUACUAGUUAUUACUCACUAGUUUCCAAUUACCAUUUGACUAGUCAUUAGUUUGCACUACUCUAGUCACACUAGGAAUAAAUAAAUAACCUUAAACAAUAAAAUAGCCCACAAUUCUAAUUAUUGGCCAUUUAUCAACAACUUAAAAAUCAACCCUAACUCAUUACUCACCUUGAUGGAUUUGUAGUUGAAUUCCUUUUCAAAAGCUUUUCAAGCUAUUAUGCAAAGUCUCCCUCUCUCUCUAAAAUAUCAACUAGUGAGAGAAAGUGCUGAGGAAAGACUUUUGAGAGUUUUUAAAGUGAAAGAGUGAAGGAGCAAGAAAAAUCCUAUUGAAAGGUGUAUAGAAACAUGAAAAUUUGAGUUACUUUGAGAAAGUUAUGGAGGUUUUAAGGGUGGCCUCCAUGAAAGAUGGAGAGUUUGAAAUGGAGAGAAAGGAUGGGAGGAAGAAGAAAAAGCUGUUUGAAGUAAGAAAAAAGCUGCUGAAAAAUUAGAUAUUUAUUCUUAUGGUUGACAAAACUCCACUUAUUUACAAAAAUACCAUUGCAUAGUUGACAAAAGGUCCACAAUAGAUUAGAGGUACUCGAGUUCAUGAAAACUUACAAAUUUAGACUCGAGACCUAAAAUGACCAUUUUACCCUUAUUGUGGAAAUUAUCAUUAUUUCUAUUUUCUUCGUUUAUUUCAUUAUUAUAUACCUUAUUCAUUUAUUCCUUAAGCCUACUUAGACCUUAAUUAUAUUAGAAAAACCCACUUCUAGGAGCUUACCAAAAAAACGACAGAACUACCCCUAAUCCACGUCAUCGUGUCUACCUCUGCUACUGUCAAUUAAAUUCCUACUACGCAAGUAUACGUAUCGAAUACAUAGUAUAUUAACAAGUAGGGUAUCGAUCCCAUAAGGAAUUAAUCUAAAAUUUUACUAAGUACUAAAAUUAGAACAAUUUAAUCUUAUCCAAAUAAUCAAAAUUAAUUAAUUAACUAAAACUAAUUAACUAAAAUUAAAACCAACAAGAAAAAUCAAAAUAUUAACUUGAGAAAAUAUCAAAUCAACAAACCUAGGAUUACAAUAUCCCUCACACUUCAUCUAAAUCCUAUCUCUUUUCCUUAACUUAUUUCAAUGGGUUGAAUUGCUAACCUAGAGUCCUAAAUUAUUUAUAAGGGUCUCCCGACUCAUUUUAUAAAAAUAUCUAUUUUAAUAAAAACACUAUAUCCUUAUGUGAAUUGAAAUUAAAACAAACUCAUUAAGUUCAGGUUCUAAUCUUGCUACAUAUGGCCUAUAGGUAUAUCCCUAUCCUACACGCAAAUCAAUUAAUAUAAUCAUAUGCUAUCCCAAUUUUAGUCUACACUAAACUCCCUUUCCCAAGUUUGCUUAGGUUCCUAAAUCAAUUAAUUGGUGGCUAGACAAUUAAAAGCAUUAAGAACAAAUUGAAAUAAAUAAUUAAAAUCCCAUUAAAAAUAAGCAAGAAAGAGAUUAAAAAUUUAGACUACAUGUGAGUUCAAUUGCAUUCCUAGAAAAAGAAAUUUAGCUACUCAUAAUUGCAAAAUAAAAUAACAUUAUAAUAAAUUUAACCAUUAAAAGUAACAAGAGAAUUAAAAGCUAAGGAAAACACAAAACAAUUAUUGCCGACUUGAUCUCCAAGUUUCAGCCUCAACUUCUAGUUUUUUGAAUCUCUCAAAAGUUCCUCCUCCUAAUGUUGCUAAACAUAUCCUAUUUAUAUUAAUAAACUUAACCUAAAAUUCCUUAAGCUAAGGUUUAAUUUGGGCAUAAAAGUGUAAUGAGAGGCCCAAAAAUCAAUUGUCCAUCUUUACAAAUUUCCAUUCCCGAUACAAUAUGUUCAACCAUUUUUCGACGUGAUUUUCUCUAUCUUCGAAGCAGAACUGGGCAAAGUGAUCUUCAUGAAAGUUUUAGCUCUGUCUCUUAGCUAUUGGUCUAAGAAUUAUAUCAUUUGGAGUUCUAUAACUUGAGAUAUGGCCAAAAUAUCGAAGUAUAUGCAAGCAGAUUCUGGGUCUUUCAACACUUUACUUUCCAAAAUUAAGCCCAAUCACUUUUAAUCCUAUAAAAGAAAUAUAAAAACUAACAAAUGAUAACCAAAUUAAAAAGAAUAAUAUAAAAUUAAAAUAACUAGCUUAAAAGUAGCCUAAUUAUAAAACAAACUAAAAAUAAGUAAAUUAUAAUUGAAAAUUGAAGACUUAGCUAAUAUUUAAUAACAAAAUUGGAAUAAAAUAAUUCUAUAAAAUAGAAUUAUCACACCCUCAAACUUAAGAUUUUGCUAGUCCUUGAGCAAAAGAAAAUUUUAAAAAGAAAACUGAAUCAUAAAAAAUCUUUAAACAAGAGAUAGAAAUACCAAAUCAUGAUUUCUCAAUUUUUCCUCAGAAAUUAACUCUAAUUCCAACUUAAGGUAACAUACAACUAAUCUUUAAAUUCAUGCAUCAAUUCAAGUGAAACUUAUUUUUUCAAAUGGACUUCCUGUGUGUGUCUGAAUGCUCUCUUACAAAGAAUCAUGCAAUUUAGAUUAGUUUUAUGUCAACUCUAAGCAUAGAUUAGUACUAGGAUCCCAUAGGUUUACUUUUCAUUUCUCUCUCCACUAAUGUAGAUUAACACUUAUUCAAGGAUCAAUAGGUCUUUAUCAAGCUUGUAAUGUAAAGCUAGGGUCAAGGUAUGAUAAAGGAUAUAUUUAGGCUCAAAUUCACCCUAAGCACUUAAUCAAUCUAGAUCAUAUAAAGAGCUCAAAAAUUAUUUUUUUCUGUAUAGCACCCCCAAACUUGAAGUAAACUUUCCUUUGUACAACACACUUUAUUUCUUUUCUUUUCUCUUUUUUUCAACCCCCAAACUUAUUUUUGACAAUUAUAGACUAGGGGUAAUUUUACUAACAACCUUCACUUUUUGUGUUUUGUUUUUUUUUCAGACCUUUCUCUAUCAAUUUAUCUUUAAGCUCAAAUUUUUUUUCACACCUUUCUCCCUCAAUUUAUCUUUAAGCUCAAAUCAUUCUUUAGAACGAUUAACAUACUUAGAGGGUGAAAGGUUCAAAUUGCUGGAAUUAAAUAAACAGGCCAAGGCUAAUAUAACUGUGUAAUUACAAAGAAAAGGUAAAUUAGGCUUAAAAAGGGUGACUAAGGAUAAAUAUAACAAGGUAGGCUCAAACGAUCCAAAGAUGGCCUAAAUCACUUCCUAUCCUAAGUGUUAUCUAAGAUUUCGCCUCGAGAGAGAAUCAAACAAAUUUUAGAAUUCUUGACUCCACUAGACUUUUUCAUCAAUAUAAAAUUUCUCUAAAUCACACAUAAAUUCUAAGUAGAAGAGUAUAGUGCUUCAAAUUAUUGAAAGUCACAUUCUAAAAUAAAGCUAACACAAGAAUAUCACAUAAAAUUAAAUCCUAACUAUAUGCUUCCCAAAAGCAAAGAAUCAAAAGAUAAUUAAAAUAUCAUCCUAGGAUUGGGACAAUCAAGAAUAAGAUAUACCUAUCUCAAUUUUUUUUCAACACAACAAAACAUGCAAAACACAAAUAAAACAUGUAAAUAAACUAACAAAAUUCUAAACUAUUCCCCCAAACUUAGAAUGAACAUUGUCCUCAAUGUGAUAAAAGAAAAUAAAAGAAAAAGGACAAGAAUACUCCACUACUCGAAACUGCAGUCUGCAUGUCCUCCACAUGGCCACCACCCAUCAUCAACUCUCAGCAACAAAGCAUUCAUCAAUUAGAUAUGCAGCAAAUGAAAAGUUCAUGAAUCCAUUAUAUGGGUAACAAGAAAUUGGCACUAAUCUUCAAAAUUUUCAGCACUCUAAGCAUUAAUCAUGAGGAAGUCUGAAAAACUUAGGAGUGCAGGAUUUCAAAAAAAAUUAAAAAAAUCCAAGUAGAAAGAAAAUGCAAAAAUUUGGAGUGAAAAAAGGAAGAUAGAGGAACGCAAGAGAUUGGCAAGAUGAGGAAUAAUGGGAGUAGGGAUGGUAGUCAAAGAAGAAGAAGAGUGACAAAAGAAGAAAAGAAAAAGAAAAAAAUAUAUAAAUAAAAAAAUAAAAAAGAUUUUCAAAGCAAAAUUUUUUUUUUCACCCGAAGCUUUACACUUCGGGCUUGAGCGCCGCGGCUCUCAGGGUUGAGCGGGGCUACGCUUAACUUUUCUGCCAAUCGUUGUUUGUUUAGCAUCGCGGCACUCCAAAUGAGGCCAGCGACGUUGAAACAUUCUGUUUCAGUGACUAAUUGUUGCUUCAUCCAGCGUCACGGCUCUCCCUUUAAGGGCCGCGAUGCUGAAACAUUUUGUUUCAUGCUGCAGCGCUUAUUUCUUUUUUUUUUUACCAAUUACUUGCAAAAGGAAUCAAAAGACAAAAAAAAUUAAUAAAUCAAAAAAAAUAAAUUCUAACUAAACUAAAAACAAUUUUAAAAAAUAAAAAAUAAGUAAAGUUUAGAAACUUAGGUUACCUCCCAAGAAGCGCUCGUUUGUAGUCACUAGCUUGACUAUAGUGCCCCCUUUUUCAGUUCUUCAUCCUCGAAAUAUCGUCUAAGGCUCAUCCCAUUAACCAUGGUUGUUUCUGUAUCCUCACUAUAAAUCUCAAUUAUUCCACAAGGAUAAGCCUUUACUACUUUGAAAGGACCCCACCAUCUUUCUUUGCGUUUCCAUGGAAAAAGCUUGAAGUAUGAUCUAGAAAGCAGCAUUACUUGUUGUCCAAUCUCGAAAGGACGAUUAGAUGGUGGUGAAAGAUGCUCCGUUGGUGAUUGCUCAGCUCUCACAGGCCGAGGUGGUGGCUUAAACUCAAAGAUUGGUGCUUGCUCACUUAUAGGUGGAGAAUUAGGUUCACCUUUUCCUUUAUCAAUUAGCUCCACUCUAUAGCAACAAUUUGUAGAGCUAGGAUGUUUAUUUGCAUUGAAAAUAUUAAACUCAACUACCUCUUCUCCAAUUUUAAAAGUUAUCUUGCCUUCCCUCACAUCAAUGAUUGCGCCUGCGGUAGCCAAGAAUGGUCGUCCCAAGAUUAAAGGAAUUUCUUGAUCUUCUUCCAUCUCAAGCACAAUGAAGUCCACCAGAAUGUAAAGAUGCCCAACUUUAACCAAUAUAUCCUCAAUAAUCCCAACAGGAUACCUGAUUGUUCAUCUACUAAUUGCAAAGAAACUGUGGCAGGUUGUAUCUCUUUAAGUCCAAUUUUCUCGGCAGUUGACAAUGGUAUGAUUGAAACGCUUGUACCCAAAUCACAUAAAGCUUUAGUAAAUUUAAAUCUACCAAUAGUACAAGGUAUAGAAAAACUCCUUGGAUUUUUAAGUUUUGGUGGAAGCUUGUUCUGAAUUAUUGCGCUACACUCCUCAGUAAGUGCCACUGUUUCAAAAUCUUCAAGUUUCCUCUUCUUAGUUAAGAUAUCUUUCAGGAAUUUGACAUAACUUGGCAUGUUUUCCAAAGCUUAAGCAAAAGGGAUGUUUAUGUGGAGUUUCUUGAAAACAUUAAGGAAUUUCUCAAACUGUUUAUCAAGCCUUUGCUUUUUCAACCUUUGUGGGAAUGGUGGUGGAGGGUAAUUUGCUUCAAAAUUCCCUUGAUUUUUAGCUUGCCCAUUAUCUGCCUUUCCCACUGCAACUUAUUUCUCAACAAUCGCCUUGUCAUCAUCUAGAUACUCCUUUGAAGAUUCAAUUGAUUUUUCAUUCACCCCUUCAACUUCUUUUCCACUCCGAAGUGUAACUGCAUUAUAAUGUUCCUUACCUUUGGGAUUGACUUGUGUAUCACUUGGUAAGGCACCUUGGGGUCUAAUGUUUAUGGAGUUUGCAAGCUGUCCCAUUUGGGUCUCUAGAUUUCUCAAGGAGGCUCCAUAGCUCUAAAUUAUGGCAUCAGUCUUGGACAUAUAUUGCAAGAUAAGUUCUUCCACUUGGGACUUCUUUUCAAGAAUUGGUGGUCUAGAUUAUUGUUGAAAACUAGGAGGCAUGUUGGGGUUUGAAUUGGAAGGCCCUGCAUUGUUGUUCCAUGAAAAGUUGGGGUGGUUUCUCCAACUAGGAUUGUAUGUAUUAGAGUAUGGGUUAUUCUGUUGCUUGUUGAAGUUCCCCACAAAUUGGACUGAUGUAGAAUUGUAUGAACAUUGAUCACUGGAAUGGCCAUCUCCACACAUCUCACCAACUACACAUGAAUUUUGAAUUGCAUGGACUCCUAGUGUGUCAAUUUUCUUGAACAAUGCAGUCACUUGUGCAGCUAAGUUGCCAAUUGCAUCAAUUUCAUAUGCUCCAACAGCUUUUCUCGAACCCGACCUUUCUGAAGGCCAUUGAUAAUUAUUUGAAGCCAUCUCUUCCAACAAAUUAUAAGCGUCUACAGCAUUCUUACUCAUCGAUGCCCCACCAACAGCAGCAUCAAUUGUGGUUUUAAUUGACCCAACCAGCCCAUUGUAGAAUGUCUGAACUUGCAACCAAUCAGGAAUCCCAUGAUGUGGACAUAUUCGCAGUAGUUCUUUAAACCUUUCCCAAGCUUCAUACAAGGACUCAAAAUUGUGUGAAUGAGGUGAUGUCGUUCCUCAACUUUGCAGUCUUUGUAGGCGGAAAUAACUUUGUGAGAAACUUUUGAGCCAAGUCCUCCCAUGUAGUGAUAGACCCAUUGGGCAGUGAAUUAAGCCAGCUUUUUGCUUUAUCUCUCAAAGAGAAUGGAAACAGUCUCAACCUAAUAGCAUCAUCAGUUACUCUAUUGUAUUUAAAGGUAUCACAAAUCUCCAAAAAAUUAACUAAAUGAGCAUUAGGAUCAUCAUUGGGUAAUCCACCAAACUGGACCGAAGACUGGAUCAUCUUAAUGUAAGCUGGUUUAAUUUCGAAAUUAUUUGCAUUGAUAGAAGGUCUCCUAAUACUUUGGUGCAAACCUUGCAACAAAGGAACUGCAUAAUCUCGCAAUGCUCUAGUUGCUUCGGGAUCUAGAUUAAUGGCAUUAUUUCCAUUAUUAUUGUUAUCCUCAGCCAUUGUCUAAUUUAAAGUUGCAACUUGCAAAUUCUCCCUUCGAUGUCUUUUAAAAGUUCUUUCUAUCUCAAGAUCAAAAGGAACAAGAUUCAAGUUCUCUCUUCUUUGCAUACAAUGACCAAAGAUAUCUGCAAGCAAACAAAAUCUAAAAUUAAAACAAGAAAAAUAAAAUUUGAAGUAAAACCAAAUUGCUUGGUAUUAGUAUUAGUAAAAAGUCUAGAAACAAUUCCCCGACAACGACACCAAAAACUUGUCAAUUAAAAUCCUACACGCAAGUUUACGUAUCGAAUAGAUAGUAUAUUAGUAAGCAAGGUAUCGAUCCCACAGGGAAUUAAUCUAAAAUUUUACUAAAUACUAAAAUUAGAACAAUUUAAUCUUAUCCAAAUAAUCAAAAUUAAUUAAUUAACUAAAACUAAUUAACUAAAAUUAAAACCAACAAGAAAAAUCAAAAUAUUAACUUGAGAAAAUAUCAAAUCAACAAACCUAGGAUUACAAUAUCCCUCACACUUCAUCUAAAUCCUAUCUCUCUUCAUUAACUUAUUUCAAAGGGUUGAAUUGCUAACCUAGAGUCCUAAAUUAUUUAUAAAGGUCUCCCGACUCAUCUUAUAAAAAUAUCUAUUUUAACCAAAACACUAUAUCCCUAUGUGAAUUGAAAUUAAAACAGACUCAUUAAGUUCAAGUUCUAAUCUGGCUACAUAUGGCCUAUAGGUAUAUCCCUAUCCUACAUGCAAAUCAAUUAAUAUGAUCAUAUGCUAUCCCAAUUUUAGUCUGCACUAAACUCCCUUUCCCAAGUUUGCUUAGGUUCCUAUAUCAAUUUAAUUGGUGGCCAGACAAUUAAAAGCAUUAAGAACAAAUUGAAAUAAACAAUUAAAAUCCCAUUAAAAAUAAGCAAGAAAGAGAUUAAAAAUUUAGACUACAUGUGAGUUCAAUUGCAUUCCUAGAAAAAAAAAAUUUAGCUACUCAUAAUUGCAAAAUAAAAUAACAUUAUAAUAAAUUUAACCAUUGAAACGAACAAGAAAAUUAAAAGUUAAGGAAAACACAAAACAAUUAUUGCCGACUUGAUCUCCAAGUUUCAGCUUCAACUUCUAGUUUCUUGAAUCUCUCAAAAGUUCCUUCUCCUAAUGUUGCUAAACAUAUCCUAUUUAUACUAAUAAACUUAACCUAAAGUUCCUUAAGCUAGGUUUUAAUUUGGGCUUAAAAGUGUAAUGAGAGGCCCAAAAAUCAAUUGUCCAUCUUUACAAAUUUCCAUUCCCAAUACAGUACGUUCAGCCAUUUUCCUACGUGAUUUUAUCUAUCUUCAAGGCAAAACUGGGCAAAGUGAUCUUGAUCAAAGUUGUAUCUCUGUCUCUUAGCUUUCAACUGGUUUAAGAAUCACAUCAUUUGAAGUUCUAUAGCUUGAGAUAUGACCAAAAUACCGAAGUAUAUGCAAGCAGAUUCUGGGUCUUUCAACACCUUACUUUCCAAAAUUAAGCCCAAUCACUUUUAAUCCUACAAAAGGAAUAUAAAAACUAAUAAAUGAUAACCAAAUUAAAAAGAAUAAUAUAAAAUUAAAAUAACUAACUUAAAAGUAGCUUAAUUGUAAAAACAACUAAAAAUAAGUAAAUUAUAAUUGAAAAUUGAAGACUUAGCUAAUAUUUAGUAACAAAAUUGGAAUAAAAUAAUUCUUUAAAAUAAAAUUAUCAGCUACACGUCUAUGAAGGUCGAGGCUUCACAGAUGUUGAGGUGGUCUCUAAGGUGGUGGACAGCGUGGAAUCGAAAAAAAACUAUAGCUGGCAGCCGACAACUUGUGGGCAUAAAAUCGAUUCAUAAUUUCAACAUCCAACAAUGCUUUACAUUGCAAGAUUUCUUCAUUUUUAUCCCAACGUACACCCACUUUCUUGCACAAGGUGGUGAUCAAUGAUGGAUACCAAAGUCUAUCACACAGCAAGCGGUUAGCUUGAACAAUACUGUUGAAUAUCAAUUGGCCCACAUUGAUUGACAUUCUAGAAAUAAUGGCAUAUAACAAGAUAGCUCAAUCCCUUGUGAUGUCACUAAUAUGUUUCACAGGAAGUAAUCUAGUAAACAAAAAGUGAUACCAUAGCUUAUGAACUGUCUUCAUGGUACUAGCCUUAAAAGACACAGGUAUGCCUUUUGUCAUUUUCCAUUCCCCCCCUCAUCACAAAGUACACCAAGAACCCCAUCCAAAUCAAUGUUGCCCGUUAAGAACUGGCCAUAGUCAUCAUGUUCAAUAUCAAGUUAUAAAAUUGAUUGAUGGUGGCAUUAUCAAAACGAACUUGAUAGCCUCGUACAAACACUUGGCCAUGAACAUGUUUAGCGGCAUUGGCGUAGAAUAUUAUAAACCCUUGGUAAGACAGCGGCCUUAGGUUGGUCACAAAAUUUCUCCCAUUGCCACCUAGUGAUGACCUUAUGAACAAAACUAUAUAGCUCAAGAUUGAGAUCAAUGCCACUUUCCUGAAUAAGGACUUUAUGCACAAGGAAUUGCAUAUGUCUCUCAAUGGCAUCAGUAGACACAAAUUUACUGUGAUCAAAUCGAGUCUUACUACCACUCUUGUGAGUUCUUUUCUUUGGUGCCAUCCCGCUCACGCAAAUAGAAAAUACUUCCUCCUAAAACAAGCCACCACAAUCCAAGUAAAUUACCCAUUCAAUUAUAUUUUAUUAUUAGGAAACAAAAACAACACCUCCCACAAGUUCUAUGCCCUGUCAAAUAUUGAUAGUCAUCCUUCAUCCUCAACAACAAUGAAAUGCAGCACAAAUUGAUUAGAAAGAAAAAAAAAUCCAACACAUCUAGUUUAAACUAGCAUUACUUCAAGCAACCCAUUCCUAACUAACAAAUUGACAAAAGAAGGGAAAAAUUAACUUACUUGGUUGAAGAAUACAGAAAAUGUGGAGAAUGAAUGGAAGGACAACCUUACUCUUCACAAAAAAAAAUUGGUGAAAUUUAAAAAUACUGGGUGGGUGUAAAGUGGGUGGAAAGGGAAGGAAGAAAUCUAAAGGUUAGAGAGAAAAGGGAGCCCUAAAAUAUGAAGAAAGGGUGAGAGAAAGGAAAAUCAGGGUUUUUCUUUAAAGCCCCGUGACAUAGUGCCGUGACGCUCCUUUCUGGCAUCGUAAUGGCCUUUUCUUGAGUUUUUGUACAAGAGGGGGCCUGAUGCACUACAACUUGGCGUUGGGUUCAUGGCUCUGCAACGUCAUUUUUUUUAAUUUACUUACCUCAUGAGAGUCCAUAGCUACAACAAUCGAAUAAAUAACAAUCAAUUAACGAGGAAGGAAAUAUAAAAUUGACACAUUAAAAUUUCAAAUUGACUCGAAUUAAAAAAAUACUAAGAUAAAUGAUGUUGAGAAACUUGAGGUGCCUCCUAAGAAGCACUUCGUUUAGGGUCAUUGCUAGAUCAAUGUGGAGUUCAUUUGGUGUCAAAGAGAUGGAUGGACGAUCAGUGUUGAUCAAUAAGUCCACCUAGUAGUGCUUUAAUCGUUGUCCAUUCACCUUGAACAUCUCAUUGGUCAACCCAUCAAUUAUUUCCAUUGCUGCAUGUGGAAACACUUUUGACAUAUUAAAAGGUUUGAACCAUCUUGAUUCCAAUUUUCCUAGAAAUAACUUCAAUCGUGAAUUAAACACCAAAACUUGCUGACUUGGCUCAAAAUGGCACUCGAUAAUCUUUUGAUCAUGCCAUCUCUUCGUCUUUUUCUUUUACAAUUUGGCAUUCUCAUAAGCAUUUAAGCAAAUUUCAUCCAUCUAAUUUAAUUAAAGCAAUCUUUUCUCACCUGCUGCUUUUAAAUCGAAAUUUAAUUUCUUGAUGGCCCAAAAUGCACUAUGCUCUAAUUCAACUGGGAGUGACACGCUUUUCCAAACACAAACUAAUAUGGGGACAUACCUAUUGGAGUUUUGUAAGUUGUCCAAUACGCCCACAAUGCAUCAUCAAGUCUACUAGCUCAGUCUUUUUGUGACAAUGAUACCAUUUUCUCAAGAAUUCUUUUGAUUUCCUAAUUUGAUACUUCCACUUGUCUGCUCGUCUGAGGGUGAUAAGUUGUGGUUACCUUGUGUGACACUCCAUACUUUAUGAGUAACGUUGUAAAAUAUUUAUUGCAAAAAUGACUUCUUCAUCACUCAAUAGCUCUUGGUGUAUCAAAUUUGGUGAAAAUGUUUGUCUUUAAAAAUUUCAUCACCACCUUAAUAAUGUUUGUAGGGAAGACUGAGGCUUCUACCCAUUUUGACACAUAAUAGACAGCCACCUAAAUGUAUCGAUUGUUGAAUGACGAUAUGAAUGGUCCCAUGAAAUUGAUUCCCAAACAUAAAAAAUUUCCACUUCCAAAAUGCUGUUAAGCGAGAUUUCAUGUCUUCUGAAAAUGUUUCCCAUUCUUUGACAUCUGUCACAAUGCAACAUAAAGUUAUGAGCGUUUUUGAAUAAUGUUGGCCAAUACAAACCUUAUUGAAGAACUUUGGCCGUUGUUCUAUCACCUCCAAAAUGACCCCCAUUUUUAUAUGAGUGACAAUGUCUCGACACAUUUUCAACUUCUUCCUCUGGAAUACACCUUCUUAUAAUUCUGUUAGCACAUUUCUUCAACAAAAAUGGUUCAUCCCAUAGAUAAAAUUUAACAUCAUGCAAAAAUUUCUUUUUUUGAUGAAAAGUUAAAUUUAGAGGUAGAAGCUUACUCACAAUGAAGUUGACAUAGUCAACAUACCAUGGUAAUUUCUUAUGACCAACAUGUAACAAUUGUUCAUCAGGGAAAGUUUCGUUGAUCAAAGUCACAUCUUUACCUUGGUUGUCAUGCUCUAGCACAAAUAGUUGGCUACUUGAUUUUCUGAACCUUUUAUGUCUCUGAUUUCUAAAUCAAAUUCUUAUAACAGCAGAACCCAUCUUAUUAACCUUGGCUUGGCAUCUUUUUUAGCAAUCAAAUACUUAAUUGCAUAAUGGUUAGUAUAAACAAUAACUUUAGUGCUAAUCAAAUAUGAGCAAAAUUUGUCAAAUGCAUACACAAUAGCUAAUAAUUCUAUCUUAGUGGUAAUGUAGUGCAUUAGAGUUUCAAUCAAGGUUUUACUUGCAUAAUAUAUAGAAUGAAAAAUUUUAUUCUUUCUCUAUCCUAACACUGCACCUACAACCUUGUCACUAGCAUCACAAAUAAGUUCAAAUAAGAGUGACCAAUCAGGAACUACAAUAAUAGGUGUAAUUGUCAACCUUUUUUCAGUUUCUAUAAAUGUAGCAUGACAUGCAUCAUCAAAUUUAAAUGGGAUGUCUUCUUCUAAAAGAUUGCACAAAGGUUUAGCAAUUUUGGAAAAAUCCUUAAUGAAUCGUCAAUAAAAACCAACAUGUCCAAGGAAACUCUAAGUAUCUUUUACCAAGGUUGGUGGUGGACGCUUUUCAAUGGUCUCAAUCUUAGCUUUGUCUACCUCUAAUCCUUUGCUCGACACCUUGUGACCAAGAACAAUGCCUUCUUGUACCAUAAAAUGGCACUUCUCCCAAUUUAAAACUAGGAUCGUCUCCUCACAUCUUUGCAAUACCCUAUCUAGAUUGAGCAAACAUUCAUCAAAAUUAUUGCCAAAGACAGAGAAAUCAUCCAUAAAUGCCUUUAUGGUUUUCUCCACCAUAUCCUAGAAGAUAAACAUCAUGCAUUGUUGAAACGUGACCAAAGCAUUACACAAUCUAAAUGGCAUCCUUUUAAAUGCAAAAACACCAUAAGGAUAUGUGAAAGUUGUUUUCUCUUGAUCUUUUGGUGCUAUGGAAAUUUGAUUAUAACUUGAGUAUCCAUCCAAGAAACAGUAAUACUCUCUUCUAGCUAACCUUUCCAACAUUUAGUUAAUGAAAGAUAAAGGAAAAUGAUAUUUCCUUGUGACCUUGUUUAGCUUUCUGUAAUCCACGCAUACUCUCUAUCCCAUGACUAUUCGUUUGGGAAUGAGCUCAUUGUUUUCGUUAGCCACCACUAUCAUCCCACCUUUUUUUGGUACGCAUUACACCAAGCUUACCCAUUCACAAUCUAAAAUAGGAUAAAUGAUGCCAGCAUCUAAGCCACUUGAUUAUUUCUUUCUUGACUACUUCUUUCAUAAUUAGAUUCAAUCUCAUCGAUGCUCAAUAGUGGCUUUGUGAUUAUCCUCUAACAAAAUUUUAUGCAUGCAUAUUGAAGGACUUAUCCCCUUGAUAUCAACUAUUGACCACCCCAAUGCCUUUUUUGUCCUCUUUCAAAACUCUAAGUAACUUUUCUUCCUGUUUAUUAUUAAGAUCAGAUGCAACAAUAAUUGGAAGAGUACAUGAGUUUCCAAGAUAUGCAUACCUCCAAUGUUUUGGCAAUGGCUUCAGUUCUAACUCAGGGGGAUCCUCAAUUAAAGGUUUCACUGGUGAGGAUGAAUAUGAAGACAAAUCUAACAGUUCAAACCGAGUUCCCAAUAACAGAGACAGGGCAUUCAAUGCAUUAACACAUUUUAUAAUUUCUUCAUUACUAGUCUCAAUUUAGAAAUCAAUGAUGCUUCAAGUAAGUCAUUAGGAUGAUUUUCCAUAAAGACUUCACUUGUGGCCCUAUCUACCACAGUAAUUGCAAAACACUCAUCAUGAUCAUUAAUGAACUUUAAAGCACAAAAGAUAUUCAAUGUUACCUCUUGAUCUUAUAGUUGCAAGGUAAGUUCUCCCUUUUCAACUUCAAUGAGUUCUCUGGCUGUGCGUAAAAAAGGUCUCCCAAGGAUAACAAGAACCUCUUUAUCUUCCUUCAUAUCAAGAACUAUAAAAUCAGUUGGGAUAUGAAUUUAUCCACUUUCACAAGCACAUCUUCCACUAUGCCUCUUGGAUAUAUGAGAGUUCUAUCUAUUAAUUGAAGAGUUAUAAUGGUGGGCUUGAUUUCCCCCAAACCCAAAUUGUUGUAGAUUAACAAUGGCAUCAAAUUAAUACUCGCCCCUAAAUCACUUAAAACCUUAGCAAAGAAUAAGGCACCAAUUGUACAUGGAACAGUAAAACUGUCUAGGUCUUUAAGUUUUUGAGGAAGCUUAUUCUAAAUGAUUGCACUACGCUCCUCAAUGAGUGCUACUGUCUUAAACUCACCCAAUCUCCUUUUCUUGGAUAAAAUGUCCUUCAGAAAUUUUACAUAGGAUGGCAUUUGCUCUAGUGCCUCUGUAAAUGGAAUGGUGAUGUGAAGCUUUUUAAAUAAGUUCAUAAAUUUCUAAAACUUUCUUUUUAUUGCUUCUUAAAAUGUUGAGGAAAAGGUGGUGUUGGUGCAGUUGCCUUAGUCACUUCUAUUAGACAUUGAUCACUAGACCUUGAAAUUUGAGUCUUAUUCUCCCCAAUUUUGUCUUGUUGUGCAACUUCUUAUGGUUUACUUUCAACUUCCUUUCCACUUCUUAAAUUGAUGGCCUUGACAUGCUUUUUUCCCUCUCUCCUCGGAUUGGCCUCUAUAUCACUAGGUAAUGUUCCUUGAGCUUGGUUGUGCAAUAAAUUGGUAAGUUGACCAACUUGAGUCUUAAGGUUUCGAAGUGAGGCUGCUUGAUUUUGGAUGAUAGUUGUUUGACUUUGUAUGUUGCCAUCAUUUUGUGUCAUAUAUUGCCUUAACAAAUCUUCAAUAGUUGGCUUCUUUUAUGAAAGAGGUGCUUUGACUUGCUAUUGGAAUCUCAGAGGUGCAUUCGGCCAUGAAGUUGAUGACACCCCUUGAUUGUGAGCCCAAGAGAUAUUUGGAUGAUUCCUCCACCUUGGGUUGCAAGUGUUAGAGUAAAGGUUAUUUUGCUAUCUCUUCCCCAUAAAUUGCAUUGUUUUUGUUGAGGUUGGACACUAAUGAGUGGCAUGAUUAUCUCCAUAAUACUCAUAAGCUAUAAAAGGACUUUGCACAAAGUUAGUACUAAAAGAUUUAAGAGUUGUAGUUAGAGUUGUUAUCUGAGCAAAUAGUGCUGACAUGGCAUCUACAUCAUGAAUUCCAACUACUCUCUUAUGCAUUGAUUGUUCCAUUGGCCAUGUUUGCAAAUAUCUCUUCUAAUAAAUCAUAUGUCUUAUUUAUCGAUUCAGUCAUUAAAGCUCCUUUCACAACAGCACCAAUAAUGGUUUGGACCUGCCCACUCAAACCAUUGUAAAAAGUUUGCACCUAAAGCCACUUUGGAAAACCAUGAUGAAGACAACGCCGAAGUAAUUCUUUAUAUCUUUCUCAAGCUUCGAACAACUAUUUAGAAUCUUGCUACAUAAAUGAUGUAAUAUCAUUCCUAAUUUUUGCUAUCUUAGUUGGAGGAAAAAACUUGGCAAGGAACUUCUAAACAAGAUCAUCCCAUUUUGUUAUUAAGCCAGUGGGGAGUGCAUUCAGCCAUGCUUUAACGUUAUCCCUCAAUGAGAAAGGAAAAAGACUCAAACAAAUUGUAUCAUCUGUGACACUAUUCUAUUUGAAAGUGUCACUAAUCUCCAAGAAGUUUGAUAUAUGGCCAUUUGGAUUAUCAUUUGGAAGGCCCCUAAAUUGGACUGAGGUUUGAAUCAUGGUGAUGAUAGCUGACUUGAUCUCAAAAUUGUUUGCUUGAAUAGUUGGCCUUCAAAUGCUCGAUGGAAUUUCAUGUACCAACGGAGCAACAUUGUCACGACCUAAAUUUUCGGGCCAUGAUCUACGCAAGAGCCCAAUAAACGUAGCCUAUUAAGCCCAAGCAAGCCUAUCUAUUUAUUCUACUCAUCAUUCCAUCAAAUAUCACUAAGUCAUAUUUCAUACUUUUGAAUCAAAAUAGUGAUAUACAUUGCCAACUCGUACUGGCAUUACUCCUUAAAAAUUUACAUACAAUGUCUACAACAUGUAUUCUAAUAAUUUACAUUAAGUUUGUCUAUACAAAACAAAAUAACACUCGACUUCCAGNNNNNNNNNNNNNNNNNNNNNNNNNNNNNNNNNNNNNNNNNNNNNNNNNNNNNNNNNNNNNNNNNNNNNNNNNNNNNNNNNNNNNNNNNNNNNNNNNNNNNNNNNNNNNNNNNNNNNNNNNNNNNNNNNNNNNNNNNNNNNNNNNNNNNNNNNNNNNNNNNNNNNNNNNNNNNNNNNNNNNNNNNNNNNNNNNNNNNNNNNNNNNNNNNNNNNNNNNNNNNNNNNNNNNNNNNNNNNNNNNNNNNNNNNNNNNNNNNNNNNNNNNNNNNNNNNNNNNNNNNNNNNNNNNNNNNNNNNNNNNNNNNNNNNNNNNNNNNNNNNNNNNNNNNNNNNNNNNNNNNNNNNNNNNNNNNNNNNNNNNNNNNNNNNNNNNNNNNNNNNNNNNNNNNNNNNNNNNNNNNNNNNNNNNNNNNNNNNNNNNNNNNNNNNNNNNNNNNNNNNNNNNNNNNNNNNNNNNNNNNNNNNNNNNNNNNNNNNNNNNNNNNNNNNNNNNNNNNNNNNNNNNNNNNNNNNNNNNNNNNNNNNNNNNNNNNNNNNNNNNNNNNNNNNNNNNNNNNNNNNNNNNNNNNNNNNNNNNNNNNNNNNNNNNNNNNNNNNNNNNNNNNNNNNNNNNNNNNNNNNNNNNNNNNNNNNNNNNNNNNNNNNNNNNNNNNNNNNNNNNNNNNNNNNNNNNNNNNNNNNNNNNNNNNNNNNNNNNNNNNNNNNNNNNNNNNNNNNNNNNNNNNNNNNNNNNNNNNNNNNNNNNNNNNNNNNNNNNNNNNNNNNNNNNNNNNNNNNNNNNNNNNNNNNNNNNNNNNNNNNNNNNNNNNNNNNNNNNNNNNNNNNNNNNNNNNNNNNNNNNNNNNNNNNNNNNNNNNNNNNNNNNNNNNNNNNNNNNNNNNNNNNNNNNNNNNNNNNNNNNNNNNNNNNNNNNNNNNNNNNNNNNNNNNNNNNNNNNNNNNNNNNNNNNNNNNNNNNNNNNNNNNNNNNNNNNNNNNNNNNNNNNNNNNNNNNNNNNNNNNNNNNNNNNNNNNNNNNNNNNNNNNNNNNNNNNNNNNNNNNNNNNNNNNNNNNNNNNNNNNNNNNNNNNNNNNNNNNNNNNNNNNNNNNNNNNNNNNNNNNNNNNNNNNNNNNNNNNNNNNNNNNNNNNNNNNNNNNNNNNNNNNNNNNNNNNNNNNNNNNNNNNNNNNNNNNNNNNNNNNNNNNNNNNNNNNNNNNNNNNNNNNNNNNNNNNNNNNNNNNNNNNNNNNNNNNNNNNNNNNNNNNNNNNNNNNNNNNNNNNNNNNNNNNNNNNNNNNNNNNNNNNNNNNNNNNNNNNNNNNGCUUCCUUAAAACCUAGGAUCACAUUAACAUAAACAAUAGAUCAAUUUACACACUAUGACCCCUAAAAGCUAUCUCUAAACUAGCUUUCAAUUGCCACAUUAAAUGGCCAUCUAUGUUCACUAUCUUAAUCACUAAAAGUAAUGAACAUAAUCAAUAAUAAAACAGCUCAUAAAUCCCAAUUACUAGCCAUUUUCUGCAGCUAAAAACCAAGCUUAAUUCAUCACUUACCCUAAGGCUCCUUUGUAGUCAAAUUCUCUUCUAAUUGCUUCCAAAUCAGUGGGGUAAUUCUCUCUUUCUCUCUCUAAAAUGCCCAACUAGUGAGAGAAAGCAUGAAAACCAUAUUUUUGAAGGGUUUUAAAGUGAGAGGAUGAAAGAGCAUAAGGGUUUAUGGAAGAGUACACCAAAAGCAUGAAAUUUGGAGCUAGAAAGAGAAAGUUAUGGAAGCUUGAAGAAAACUCCCAUGGAAGAAUUGAAGAAACGUGAGAGAGGAGAAGGGAAGAAGAAGACAGCUGUUGGAAAUUUCAAGAAGCUGCUGGAAAUUCAAGAUAUUUAUAGGCCAAAUUUAUCCAUUCCCAUAAAAUUACCAAUUUGCCCUUUCACCAAUUAACUUACUCUCCUCCAAUCUUUUAUGAAAUCUUUUUGCUCCUUUAACACAGGGACAAAGUCCAUAAUUGUCUAGACAUGUUCAAGUUCAUAAAAACUUAAAAUUUUAACCCGAGGUGAAAAAUGACCAUUUUGCCCCUACCAUGAAAAUCGUCAAAAUUUUGGUUUCCUUUCCAUUUUACCCCUAAUUUCACCAUCCAUUUAUGCCUUAAGCCUACUUAGGCCAUAAUAUUGUUUAAAACUUACUUUUGGGAGCUUAUUAGAGAAAAUGACGAAACUACCCUUGGCUCGUAUUAUUACAUCUAUGCUUGGUUACAAGCCUAUAGAGGUUGGGGUCUCACAAACAUAAUCCCCUAACCAAUGAUUUUCAGCUACUAUGCGCACUUGGAUUUGCUGUUCACCUUGUUGAUCAGCCAUUGUAUUUAUUGGAGCAACACCUUGUUGAUUGUUAUGUCGAAGUCUACGAAAUGUUCUCUUAAUUUCUAGAUCACACGGCAUAGUCUUCAAGUUGUUUGCUCUUUUCAUACAACGACUGAACACUUACAAAACAAAGAAAUAAAACUUAAAGUAAGACUAAUAUGUGAAAUUUUAAUAUUAACAAAUAAUAAAAAAACAAAAUCCCUAACAACAGUGCCAAAAACUUGUUGUAAGUUUGCACAUGUAAGUAUACAUAUCGAACAAGUAAUAUAGACAAAAAGUCCAAAUUAUCGUUCCCACGAGGAUUUGUUUCUAAAGUUUCACUAAGUACUAAAAUUAUAUAACAAAUUAAUCUUAUUUAAGCUAAUUGAUAAUUGAAAAACUAAUCAAAGACAAUCAAAACUAAAUAAUAAGUUAACCAGCAAAAACUAAAUAUGUUGAGAAAAGUAGCAGAUUAAAGACAUAGGAUCAUUGGUUUAUUCAAUAUUUCAUCUUAUACUAGCUUUUCUUGUUAUUGAUCUUUUUUUGGUGAUUUUACUAAUCUAGAAUCCAAAGGUAUGGACAAAUCUCCAUCGAGAUGCUUGUACAAAUACCUAACUUAAUCAGUUCACUAUAUGUCUAUAGGAAUCAAUUAAAUUAAGUUCAUUAAGCAAGUGUCCUAAUUUAGCUAUGUAUGGCAAUUGGCAUAUAUCUACCCGAAUCGCAAAUCAGAUCGCCAAAGUGAUGUGAACAUACACUAUUCAAAUCUUAGUCCAACCUAAAAUCUCAAUGUCGGUUUCUAAUUAGAUUCAUGAAUCAAUUAAUUGUUAAUUAGGCAAUUCAAGGCAUUAAGAAUAUAUUUGAAUAAGUAAAACAAUACCCAUUCAUGAUAAAUAACAAAAAAAAAAAACAAGUAUUCAGACUACAUGUUGAAAUCCACCAUAAUACUAGAUAACCAAAUUAUUUCAUAAUAUCUAGAUAAAACACUAUCCAAAGAAAUUUAGCCAUGAAUUUAAAACAAAAAAAAAAAAGAAACAUAAAAAGAGAGAAAUAAACUAAUGUUGAACCCUGGCUGAUUACGAAACUCUCUCAAUUGCUCUUGAAUUCUUGAUUGAUUAGUAUCUCCAAUUCUCUAAAAAAGCUGUUGUUGUCUCUCUCUUUGAAUACUCUCAAAAAACCUCAUAAAUAUGUGCAAGAUGCCCUACUUUCCAAUUUUCGAUCAAAAUUUUAAUUUUAGAAGUCAGAGUGGUACUGCGGCCAUGACUUCUUGGCACCGCGGCACUAUGACAAGCUUUGGUAGCACCACGACACUCCUUUUUGGUUCUGCGACGCCAUGCUAUCAACCUUCAGUAUGAUGCACCCAUCCAGCCCAACACCAUGAUCAUAAGCUUCUAACAAUGCGGGGUGGUCCUUUCAGCAUCACUGCCUUGAGUAACUCAGCAUCACAGCCUCAAGCACCAUGUUACCUUAUGUGCAGUCUGCAAUUGCCUAUCAUCUUCAAAUGUGAUUUUCACCUCUAUCUAUUCUAAACUUUGCAAAGUGGUAAACAUAAAAUUAUAUCCCAUUCCCUUAACUUUAAAUUACGACAUGUACGUGUGACACGUUCACCAUACUUAUGCUAUCAUAACUCAAUUUCACCUUGCUCAUCACAUAUCCUGGACAAAAACCAUGAAAGAAUUGCAUUAACUCUUCUUAAAGUAAAUUAAAAACAAAAUAAAGUAAAAUUAAACUAAAAUAACUUAAUUUAACUAUUCAACAUGUAAUCUAACUUACAUUAGAAAAACACUUAAAAUGCUAAAAUCUGAACCUAAAACUCUAAGGUCUAGCUACUAAAGCCCCCAAAAUGUGUUAAAAAUAACUAUAUAUAAUAGAGUUAUCAAUUUGAAAAUUGUGAUUCUGAAAUAUUUUGCAAUGAAAAUUGUUUUGAUCAAAAUUUUUGAGCCUUAAAACUCCACAACAUAAUGGAGUUGUUAAAAAAAUGGGCCUUUGAAGAAAAUGGCAAGAACAAUGCUUUGUGAAAACAAUUUGCCAAAAUAUUUUAUGGCUAAAGCUGUAAAUACAGCUUUUUUAUUUUAAAUAAACCAAUGAUUUCAAAAACUCUUUAUGAGCUUUACAAAGGAAGAAAACCAAACAUUGCACAUUUAAGGAAUUUUGGAUGCAAAUGCUUUAUUUUAAAUAAUGAAAACACACCUUGGGAAAGUUUGAUGUUAAGAGUGAUGAAGUUGUUUUCUUAGGUUAUGCAAUAAACUCUAAACCUUAUAAAUUGUUUAACAAAAAAACAUUAGUUGUAGAAGAAUUUAUUCAUGUUGUUUUUUAUGAGACUAAUGUUGCACUAAGAAAAGUAAUGCGUGAUGAUGAUGCAAAUGUUAUUGAGGAGAAAAUGGAAAAGAUGAACUUGGAGAACAAAGAAGAUGAUGAAGACAACUCCAAAAAAUGAAAUGAAGAAAAACCACCAUUGAAGGACUUGUAAAGAAUUGAAGAAUAGUAUAAUGAUCUUCUUAGAACUUAAAAAUUUGUAUGAAAUCAUCCUUAAGAGAAAAUAAUUAAAGAUCCCUUUGAAGGUGUCAAAACCAAAAGAGGACUAAAAGAAGCUUGUGAAUUUGUGGCAUAUAUAUCACACAUGGAACCCCAAGGAUUUUGAGGAAGCAAAAAAGGAAGAGAGUUGGAUGAUAACCAUGCAAGAAGAACUUGGCCAAUCUGAAAGGAACAAGGUAAGGUUAGUUGCUCAAGGUUACAGUCAAGAGAAAGGUAUUGAUUACAAUGAAACUUUUGCUCCUGUAGCUAGAUUAGAAGCAACUAUAUUUUUGCUUGCAUAUGCAUGUUACAUGAAUUUCAAAUUGUUCCAAAUAAAUGUUAAAAAUGCAUUUCUAAAUUAUCUUAUCCAAUAAGAGGUAUAUGUGAAACAGCCCCCUAGUUUUGGUGAUUUUGAGGAGAUUGAUCAAUUUUAUUAAUUGUAUAAAGCAUUACAUGGAUUGAAGUGAGCUCUUAAAGCUGGGUAUGAAAGACAUUGAAAAAAUUUGACUGAAAAAGGAUUUUUUUAAAAGGAGUGUAGAUACUACACUUUUUAUUAAGAAAAGCAAAAAUGAUUUACUUGUUCAAAUAUAUGUGAAUGAUAUAGUCUUCAGUGCUAUUAAUGAAAAGUUGUGUGAGAAUUUUGCUAAAGAAAUGCAGGGUGAGUUUUAAAUGCACAUGAUAGGAGAAUUAUGUUUCUUCCUUGGUCAACAAAUCAAGCAAUGUGAGAAUGAGAUGUUAAUCAACCAAGCUAAAUACACUAAGGAGAUGCUGAAAAAGUUUGGUAUGAUGAAUGUGAAAUUAGUUAGAACACCUAUGAUCUCCUCUACAAAGCUUGAUAGAAAUGAGAAAGGAAAUGAUGUGGACCAAAAACUCUAUAAAGGUAUGAUUGGUUCACUUUUUUAUUUAACAGAAAGUCCUGAUAUAUUGUUUAGUAUGUGCUUAUGUGCAAGAUUUCAAUCAUGUCCUAAAGAUCACGCUUAACUAUUGUAAAAAGGAUAUUUAAAUACCUCUUGGAUACCCAAGACUUAGGUUUAUUGUAUCUAAAAAAUGUCAUCUUUUGAACUUUUUGGCUGUUUCGAUAUUGAUUUUGCUAGCAGCGAAGUAGAUCAGAAUAGUACUAAUUGUACUUGUCAAUUUCUUGGAACCAUGCUUAUAUCUUUAUCUUGUAAGAAACAAAAUUCAGUUGCUCUUUCAAGUACUGAAGUUGAAUAUAUUUGAGUAGGUAGUUGUUGCGCACAAAUUUUAAGGAUUAGGAAAUAAUUAAAUGACUUUGGCAUGUUCAUGCAUAAUAUUCCUAUCUUUUGUAACAAUACUAGUGCCAUUAACAUCUCAAAUAUUCUUGUUUAAAACUAAGCAUAUUGAGAUUAGACAUCACUUUAUUAAAGAUCAUAUGCUUAAAGGAGAUGUUAAAAUUGAAUUUGUUCAUACCUUGCAUCAAUUAGCUUAUAUUUUCACCAAAACCUUGAGUGAAGACCAAUUUUGUAAAUUUAAAAGAGAAUUAGGAAUGCUUGAUGAGCAUGAACUUGGAUUGAAUUGCUUUGAAUAUGUUUUUAAUGAAUUCUCAUAUCUAUUGUGUAUUAAUUUCUUAUUCUGAUCAAUUAAAAGUGGCUUUUCAGUACUUACGAGAGCUUAACUGAUUAAAAUCAUGUUUUCAUCAAUUAAACUUGUUCUAGAAUAAAGGAUGUUCCAUUUAAUCAAUUAAAAAGUCUUUUAAUUGAUUAAUUUGUUUCUGGUCAAAAGUGGAUUUGGAACUCAAAACCUGUCCAUUUUGGCUUUAGAGCACUCAAAAGUCGACUAAAUAUCCAUGGAUUCCACUUUUUAUCAUUCCAAUAACAUUGUUUGAAUUUUGUUCUCCAAUAGGCGACUAGCUAUGAUAAAGAGUCAAUUAUGCUUGAUUCUUGCAUAUUGAAAAGCCAGAAAAAGGUGCAAAACAUGCAAUGUUCUAAGGCAUAAUGAUCUCAAAACAUGGAUUUGUGUGAGAAUAAUUUAGAAUUUCAUUUCAACCAUAUUUAGAACAUCAUUUUGGACAUGUAUAAUCAAAGAUUCUUCAAGAAAAAACAUGUGAACUCAAAUUUUGGCUUAUAUUGUUCAUUGUUCACAAAUGCUAAAAAGUUGAAAUGCUCAUUUGAAGAAUCAUGUCUCUAAUAUGCUCAAACAUAUUCAAUUUACAUCAUGAUGCGUGACUAUGGCUUAUAACAUGUACAAAAAUCAUUUAAACAAUGUUUAAGCAUAAUUAGCAUCAAAUUUAACAUUUUUAACAAUUUUCCGGCAUAUGAACAAAAAUGCCCUUGUGGUUGUUCAAGCACUCCUUUGCAACAAGAACAAGACAUAAUGGCACUUUCAAUAUAAAGCAUUCUUGUUCAAGCUUUAUAUCAUUGAAAUCAUUGUAGCCUCAAGCAUUACAAGAAGGUUUGUACUUUGCUUAAAAUAUCAUCAAUGUCAAAUUAUCAUACUCAUGAUUAUACUUAAGAAAACUCUUUCAAUCUAUUUUAUAAAUCAUGAGAGAAAUAUCAAGCAAAAUGGGAUUUAUGCAAUUCAUGUAUCAAAUCAAUUUUGCUCAACCAUGCUAUAUCAUCAAAAACAAUAAAUCAAUUUCAAUCAAAGAAAAUGAAAAGAUUUUGCAAGAAAAUCAAUUGAUAAAGGUUUAAUCUUUCGUUACAAACUUUUCAACUUGAAACGUUCAAGAUUAAACAUGCUUUGUGAAAAAUCAUGAGCUCAAUAUCACUCAAUUUUGUUCAUUUACGCUUGAAAUGAUUUAUGAAAUGUGUAAUAAGCAUAAUGAAUCAUGUUUAUGCAUGUCAAGGGUCAUUUGCAAAUAUCUCACAAUUAUUUUCCAAAAAUGCCCUUAUGACCAUUCAAGUUUACAAGCAAGCAUGCACAUCCAAUAAGAACAAGUAAUAAGUAUUUUCAUUAUGAAACAAACUUAUUCAAUUCAUAAAUCAUUCUAAACUUAAAGGAUGGCAACAUUUUUCUCAUAUAAGCUCAUUUUGCUUUAAAAGUACCAAUCAAAGUAGUCAAAACUUUCAAGCUCAUUAUCAACCAUCUUGAAGCAAGUUCUAGAAUGUAGAUCAAGAUUGUUCAAAUGGUCAACUUAUGUUAGGCACAAGAAAAUCAAGGACAAUUUUUCAACUCAAUUUUCCAUGUUUUAGGCUACUUGAAUAGGUGUGAGUGUAAGUCAUCACGUAUGCUCAUAUUUUUAUCACAUUAUGCAACCUUUUAGGUUUCAAAAUUAUGCUCAAAAAUCAUUUUUCCUCAAAGAAGUAGUAUGGAAACAAUUUCACAAAACAUGAGGAAAUUUUAUAGAAACAAUCUUCCAUAAUCAAGCAAUCUUGAUAAAACAAUUUUCUCAAAAUAAGAAUGAUAAUAUAUUCAAGUUCAAAUAUAAGUACAUACUCAAUCAUUAGAUUCUUACUUCCUUGCAACUUAUAGUAUGUAUCAUAUCAAAUCAAGUUGCAUAGCCAAGAUUUAUCAAUAAAGCUCAAAGAAUUAUGCACUUAAUAUUCAAGCAAGAAUAGGCAACCAAAGUUUUCAAUUAAGAAAAGCAAACCAUUUUAGAAAUCAAGCUAAAUCAAUGAAACAUUCAAUAAAUAAACAAUCAAAAUUCUCAUUUAAACAAACAAAAGGCUUUUAGCUUAGAGAUCACCCAUUUUCCUUUAUGUGUAACUAGAGAGCAUUCAUUCUUUAAGAAUUGUUCUUCCUUGCUCUAGCACACCUACAAGAGACAUUUUUCAUUUGAUUUUUGGUAUCCAAAUUGCUUUGGAUCCUUGAAAGUUAUUGUCACAGCCUAAAUUUUGAGCUAUGACUGGCGCAUGGGCCGAAUAGGCAUAGACCACUAAACCCAAGCAAGCCUAUUUAUACAAUCCCGAUCAUUAAUCCCAACCAUCAUUUCUAAAACCACAUAUUGCAAUUCUUAAUUAUAAAUAUUUCAAUAACGUUUUAUAGCAAUCCAAUAUUCACAUUUGUAUUAUGCUAACAUAGUAUCACUCAUUUGCCACCUUACAGUGGCAUCAGUAAUCAAAUAUACAUAUUUGAUUUUUAACAUGAAUCUUAGUGGUCUUCAUUACUUAUACAUGUAGACAAGCAUAAGACUCUUGACCGUUAGCGGAGUGACCAUGGAUGAAGGACAGCUACUGAGAUGCCAUAGUACUUACCAAAAGGAUGAGCAUAUGUAGACACUCAAUCUAGGUCCCAACUGUCUUCGAAUCUGAAAACAUGAAAUUUAAAAAUGUGAGUAUAAAACUCAGUGAGUGAACAUAAAAAGGGAACAAGCAAUCGAUAGGAAGAAUUUGGAAAUCACGAUGCACUUGUUUCAAAAACAAUGCAAUUGAUUUAAUUUCUUACUAGAACCCCUUCAUUUCAAACUUUGAUCAAUAACCUCAUAGUAUUGCAAAAACUCAUGAUCAAUCCAUGAAGUUAAAUGGGUGAAAAAUAUGUCAAAAUCAAGCAAGGUAGCAAGCAUGGCAGCAAAUUUCUCAUUAUAGCGAGAAAUAAUCUUAGUUUGCAUAUGUUUGAGUUUUUCUAUCAUAUCUCCCACUGCAAAAGUCCAAUUGACCUAAUUUUUCAACCAUUAGAAAUAUAAGAGGUAGGCCUACAACUUUGAUGUUUACUACUUUUCCCAUUUCGAAUGAGAAGGUAGUUAAAAUCUUCAUCAAAAUGAAAGCAUUGCAUCAAAACUUGAGAGUUUCUCGCUGCAAUGAGAUUUAUUCUCGCUGCAGCGAGAAUCAAGCCAGUGUGACCCCCAAAACUCGAGAGUUUCUUGUUGCAGCGAAAUUGAAUCUUGCUAUUUAUUCUCGCUGCAGUGAAAAUCAAGCCAGUGUGACCCCCAAAACUCGAGAGUUUCUCGCUGCAGAGAAAAUGAAUCUCGCUGCAGCGAGAAACAGAGCAUUUUAAUUGAAAUGGGUCUUGUUACAUCAAAAGCCAUUUUCUUGUUGAAAUGAAAAACAAUUUGAGAGCAAUUAACAAUGCCAACUUGGAGCACAAUCACAAAUAUUUUCAUAACUUUCUAUAACACACACAUAUAUAUACAUAUGCAUUCAUCAUCAUGUGUGCACUCCCUACUCACACACUUCAACAUCAUCAUGUGUGCACUCCCUACUCGCACACUCUAACAUCAUCAUGUGUGCACUCUCUACUCGCACACUUCAACAUCCUCACACAACAUUAUUCAUCAAUGCACAAUGUAUAUUCAUAUACAUACAUACUAGCAUAAUAUAAUAGCACAUGGAUUCAUCCUUUUACACAUUUCACAUUUUCACAACAUCAAAGCAUUUUAUCAAAGGCUUGUUCCCUGGCACAUAUUUUUAAACAAAGGUUGAAUAAAAUCAUUCAAAUGUUUCAUCCAAAUACAUUUACAUCUCCCAAAGCAAAUUUUGAAAUGCAAGUUCACUCAUCGGUCUUGUUGAUUCUUUUGCUUGACUCUAACCUCAACUAAUACUCCAAAUGGACAUGUGAGGCCUUGUUGUAACCUAUACAUACAAAACAUCACAACCAACCCAAAUUGGCAAUAAUAUUGUCAAGAACCAAAUUUCGGGCCAUGACCAACGCAUGGGCCCAAUGGAUGUAGUCCACUAAGCCCAAGCAAGCCUAUUAAUAUGACCUGUUCAUCAUUCCAUCAAAAUUUGCUAGGUCACAUUUCAUAACUUUGAAUCAAAAUAAUACUAAGCAUUGCCAACUCAUAGUGGCAUGCCAAUUAAAGUGUACAUAUAUUGUCUCAACAUAUAUUUUAAUAAUUUACAUUGGUUUAUCUAUACACAACAAAAGAGCACUUGACUUCCAGCGGAGAGACCUGGGCGACGUACAGCUAUUGAAUGUCGAGAUACCUACCAAAGAGACGAAUCACGAGGGCACCUCAACCUAGUUAUCGACUGCCUCUUGAUCCUGAAAACAUGAAGUUGAAAACGGUGAGUAUAAACUCAGUGAGUGAACAUAAGAAGGGAACAAGCAACGAGAAGGAAGGUUUAAAGAAAUCAUGAUGCAUUUAUUUUCAAAACAAUGCAAUUUAGUUUCAUUCUUAUUAAAAAACCCCUCGUUAAACCCUUAAAUGGUUAAUCCCUUUAAAUGGCUAAUCAUUCGAUAAUGAUGAAUCCAUACAUAACAAAGAAUUUGAAGAAUGAAAGCUUCAAUGAUAUACAAGCAAGUUAAAUGAAACGUUGGGUCCUCACUGUAGCAGAAAGGCAUUCUCGCUGCAGUGAAAUUUGAGCUCAAGUUAUUAACUGGACGAGGGUUUCUCUCUAAAAUUCCUCAUUUCAAACUUAAUUAGAUAAUCCCCUAAAUGUUGGGAGUCCAUGCUCAACUAUGGUGUAAAUGAAAUGGAAAAGUAUGGCAAAAACCAGCAAGAUAGCAUAUCGGACAGAACGUUUCUCGCUACAACGAGAUUCUUUCUUGCUGUAGCAAAAUUCAAGUGGCCAAAACAGAAUGUUUCUCGCUGCAGCGAAAUUCAAGUGGCCAAAACAGAAUGUUUUUCGCUGUAGUGAGAAGCUCUAGAAAUUUUCUCGCUGUGGAGAGAAUCAGGUCAGGCAGACCCCUCAAACUUGAGAGUUUCUUGCUGCAGCGAGAAUAAUUCUUGCUGCAGCGAGAAACAAGGCACCAAAGAAAAGUUUCCAUUCUCUCAAGAAUAAGGCCAUCUUGCUGAAAUGACAAAAUCAACAUGAAACACUUAAAAAUUCCCAAAGUUCAACAUGCCAAAUUUUCAUAUGCAUUACAAUCAUAUACCAUAUUCAUGAGCUUUUAUUUCAUAAACAUAUAUAUACAUAUAUACAUAGAAAAACACCAAUACCACCAUCGUCUCACCCAGCUCAUGUGCAUCCCCCCACAUUGUGCACAUAGCCGGGGUCAUCGUGUGCAUCCCCUCACAUCGUGCACAAUUAGUGUCAUCGUGUGCAUCCCCCCACAUCGUGCACACGGGCACUUUCAUCAUCCAACUCCCUCAACACCGUCAUCACCGGCAUGUGCAUUCCCCCACAUCGUGCACACGCACGGUCAUCAUUAUCACACAAUAUCAACCAUCAAUGCACAACAUAUAUAUAUAUAUAUAUAUAUAUAUCAACAUAAUGUAGUAGUACAAGAAUCCAUAAUAGCCAUAUGCCACAUAUAGAGACAAUUUAUCAAAGGCUCGUUCCUAAGGCACCCGUUUUUAAGAAAAGUUGGAUAAAAUCAUUCAAAGGUUUUGUGCAAAUACAUUCAAAUGCAAGUUCACUCACCGAUAUUUUGUUGAACCUUUAGUCGACUCUAACUUCCCUAAUAGUCCAAAUGGGGCGAUGGGGCUUCGUUGGAACCUAUCAUCACAUUAGCAUCACCAUUAUGUCAAUUCACAUACUUAUAAAUUCUAAAAGCUAUCUCUUAGCUAGCUUCCAAUUGCCAUUUAAAUGGCUAUCUAUUUUCACUAUCCUAAUCACUCCAAAGUGAAUGAACAACAGCAACAAUAAAACACUCACAAAUCUAACUACUAGACAUUCUCAACACUUAAAUAUCAAUUCUAAUUCACUACUCACUUUGGUAGCUUUGUAAUUGAAAUUCUUUCCAAAAAAUUUCAAGCUAUCAUUGAAGCUCCCUCUUUUUGUCUUUAAAACACCUAGCUAGUGAGAGAAAGUAUGGAAGUAAGACUUAUCAAGGGUUUUAAAGUGAGAGAGUGAAAAAACACAUAGGUUCUAUGAAAGGGUGCACAAAAGCAUGAAAAUUGGAGCUAGUUUGAGAAAGGUUAUGGAGGUUUCAUAUCAAGCUUCCAUGGAGGAUGAAGAAACGUGAGAAGGAAGAAGGAAGGAGAAGAAGAAGCUGCUGAAAAUGUGAAAAGAAGCUGUUAGAAGCUGAUAUUUAUAACUCAAGCUUAUCCAACUUCACUUAAAUUACGAAAAUGCCCUUAACAAGCUAGCUUAUUCUUCUCCAAUCCUUUGUGCAAUCUUUUUACUCUUUUGACACUGAGGCCAGGUCCACAAGGGUCUAAAAAUACUCGAGUUUACAAAAACUUAAAAUUUUGACCCAAGAUGAAAAAUGACCAUUUUGCCCCUACCUCGAGAAUCAUCAUUAUUUUUAUUUCCUUCACCAUUUUACCCGUAUUUCAUCAUUCAUUUAUGCCUUGGGCCUACUUAGGCCAUAAUAUUGUUUAAAAACUUACUUUUAGGGACUUACUAAGGAAAUGACGAAACUACCCCUAGCUCGUGUUAUUGCGUCAUGCCUAGUUACGAGCUUAUAAAGGUCGAGGUCUCAUAAAUAUAAUCCAAAAGCUCUUUUCUAAUCAAGUUCCACUAGUUAUUCCUAACGAGCUUCCAAUUGCCAUUAAAUGGCUAGUUAUUCACACUACUUUAGUCACCCUAAGAGUGAAUAAACAACCUCAAUGAUAAACACUCACAAACCCUAUUGGUAGCCAUUAUCAACAACUAAAGAAAUUUAACCAUAACUUAUACUCACCUUGAUGGUCUUUGUAGUUGAAUUCUCUUUCAAAAUUCUUCAAGCUAACAAGGGAAAUCACUCUCUCUCUCUCUACAUGUCCAACUAGUGAGAAGAAAAUGGAAGUAAGACUUUUUUAAGGGUUUUAAGGUGAGAGAGUGAAAGAGCACAAAAGGUUCUAUGAAAAAGUGCUCAAAAGCAUGAAAUUGAAGCUAGAGAGAGAAAGUUAUGGAAGCUUUAAGGGAGGCUCCCAUGGAGAUGAAGAAACGUGAUAGGGGAAAGGAAGAAGAAAUGGCUAGAGGCUGCUGAAAAUUGCUGGAGCUUUAGAUAUUUGUAUCUAAAGUUUAUCAUUUCUCACAUAAAUUACCAAAAUGCCCUUAACAUGGUGACUUUGUCUUCCUCUCAUCCUUUGUGUAACUUUUUACUCUUUUGACACUAGGGCAAGGUCCAUAAUAGUCUAGAAAUACUCAAGUUCAUGAAAACAUAAAAAUUUAGACCCGAGCUACAAAAUGACUAUUUUGCCCCUACCAUGGAAAUUAUCAUUAUUUUUAUCUUCUUCAUUUAUUUACCAUCAUAAACAUCAUUUAUUCCUUCCUUAGGCCUAUUUAGACCUUAAUAGCAUCAAGAAAACCCACUCGUAAGAGCUCACCAAGAGAAAUUACGAAAUAACCCCUAGUCCGCAUUAUCACGUCUACUUCUAGUUAUGUGUCUAUAGAGAUCGAGAUUUCACAGGUUCACUUCUGAAUUAUCCUUUUUAACUUGGUAAUUAACCUCAAUUGGCAUCCGUAAACUUUAUUAGCCAUAGUAUCAAAAUAUGGGGUACUACAGUUAUUCUUGUUGUAUAAAGUUCCUUUUAGAACCCAUACUUGUCUAAAUUUAUAAGGUAAACAUUUUUUAAUUGGACAAGUGUAUGAAUAAUAACUAAAAAAUGUGCAAUGAUUGCAUUUGGUCAUUUUGGAAGAUGAAGAAUUCAUGAAAGCCUUUUGUUUCUCAUUUAAUAAAUCUUCAAAUUUUCUUUUCACAUCAAAAUUUUCUUUUUCCAAAAUAUCAAUUUUCUUUUGGUAAGCUUUAAAAUCUUUUUCCAAAUUUUCUUUUUCUUUUUCCAAGUCAAUUUUUACUUUCAUCAAAAAUUCAUUUUCAACAUCGAGUAUGGAAAUAAUUUUCUUGUGCUUUACAUUCAUUUUCUCAAACUAAAAUGCUAAAUCCUCAAAAGCAACAUGCAAUUCAUCAAAAGCAUAUGAAUUAAGUUCACAAAAUGAAGAAGUUACCUUUAUCUCUUCAAGAACCAUGAGGCAUAAUUCAAUUUGAUUUAAGGAUUUAUCUUCACUUGAUUCUUUGUGUGCAUUUGCCAUAUUGCUUGUUGAGCAUUGAUUCUCACAAGAGUUGUCUUCGAAUUCCUUUUGCUUCUUUAUUUCUCCAUAUAACUCUUCUAAUUUUUGUCAAAUUUCCUUGCCACUUUUGCACAUGAACACUUUAUCGUAUUCUCUAUAAUGAAGUGCACAAAAAAGAGUGUGCAUGGCCUAAGAGUUCGUUUGUACUUUCCUCAUUUCAGCUUCAAUCCAUUUAUUUCUUCUAUCUUUGGGAGUUUUCUCACCAUUUACAGAAUUUGUAAUCAUAGGAAUGAAAAGACCAUCGGUAAUGACAUCCCAUAUCUCAUAGUCAUAAGCCCUAAUAUAAAUGGACAUUCUAGUACUUUAAUAAGGAUAGUUUAAUCCAUCAAAUAGAUGAGGCAUAUUAAUGCAUUGAUCCUUAGCAUCAACAGAUUUUUCUAGAGCCAUUUGGAUCUCCCCUAAGGAUGUUAAGCCUUAAAAAUGAGGGUUAAGCUCUAAUACCACUUGUUGGUCCCAAAGAAUGUGCUAGAGGGAAGGUGAAUAGCACUUUUGGAAUGACACUAAAAUUUUUUCCAAGUAAAAAGCUGAUUAAAGGAAUUUAAAAAUGGAAAUUUAAAGCUUGCUAGAGGAAUGAUUCAAUUGCUGAGAGUAAGAAGAAAACAAAAGAAAGUAGACAAAACACAAUGAUUUAUAAUGGUUCGGUCCCCUUAACCUACAUCCACUACCUUGAUCUCCUAAUCAAGGAUUUUCAAACCAGUUCACUAAAAUCAAUGGAAUUCCCGAGCUUCCACCAAGUUUUUACAAUGGCUUUUCACAAGCUCAGCCACAACCUUUAACAAUGGUUUUUCACGAGAUCAACCAAAACCCAAAAUGGCUUUUCAAAGGCUCAACCACAACCUUUAACAAUGGUUUUUCAUGGGAUCAACCAAAAUCCAAAACUAACUUUUCUCAGGCUAAGUUAGAACCUACCACAACAACCAAGCUAACCCUACUUGAUCAACUCCUUAAAGUGGCUUGCACACUCUAAGUAAUCAAGAAAUGAAGAAAAGAUGAAGUACAAUUCAUCACCUAGCUAAUCUAAGAUGCACAAAGUUAAGCUCAAACACUUUUUCAAAGGAUAGGAGUGAAAUACAAGUGAAAAUAGAAGGUUUUUAGUCUUCUCAACUCAAAAUCACUUUGGAUAACUUCUCUAUAUUAUUUUUGACUGUUGGAGAGGCUUUAAAUACUUGCAAAAUCAAUUUUGGCCGUUGGAGACAAAAACUAGCCAUUUCUAGCUAUUAUUUUGUCCUUUUGUGCUUAAAUUCAAAUUUUCUAACAGAAUACUCUUAGUCGACUAACUAUGUUUCUUAGUCGAUUAAGUUGUCUCUAUUUUUAAACCCAGUCUCUAGCAGUAAGCUCUUAGUCAACUAACAAUGCUUCUUAGUCGAUUAAGUCAUCUUUGUUUUUGAACCUAGUUUUUAGCAAUAAGCUCUUAGUUGACUAACAAUGCUUCUUAAUCGAUUAAGUCGUCUCUGUUUCUGAACCGGCCAUCUUCAUUUUGAGUUUUAGUUGACUAUCUCCCUUGGUUAUCCGACUAAGAGGCUUCUGUUUGUAUCCAACACCCGCUUAAUUGAUUAAAUCUUGUGUUAACCAGUUAAGAUUAAUCUGUCUUCAUUAAAGCUCUUUCUUCUUUGCUUAUUUAACCAAUUAACCUAUCUUGCAACUGAACAAGCAUCUUGACUUGCUUUCAAAUACCAAAUAUAUUAAUGAAUUUAAGCUUUUUCCUACACACUCAAAUAAUAUAAUUAGACAUCAAUGAAUGGGAAUAUUUUGCUAUCGUAAAAAACAUACAAAGUCAACAUUCUCUAUCUCUUAUUUUUUAUGAUCACAAAACACUCCUAGAUUCAGAUUGCAAUGUCUAUAUUCAAUAUGAAUGCUUUAAAUCUUUAUGUGUAAUGAGUUGCUCCCCCUUAGUCAAUGCAUCUAGUUUUCUUUAGAUAAUAUUCAACAAAACCAAAACUAAGAAUCACACACAUAAAUUAAACAUGAAGUCUUUUAAACUCUAUUUAACUCAAUCUUCUUUCUCUCCUUUUUCUUUUUCAUCAUUAAACAAGAUAUUCAAAACUCCCCCUUAAUGAGUGCGUCUAGAUUUUCCUUUGAUCUUUAAGUCAGACUUUAAUGAAUGAGAAUCAUAAGCACUCAUACACUUUUAAUGAAUGAGAAUCAUAAGUACUCAUACACUUAAGUCAUACAAGCUUAUAGAUAUAGUUCAACUACUUCAAGAGUCAAGCUUGUGUCUAUGCAAAAACAAAUGUAUGGGAGUUAAAUCAUUUCAAGAAAUUAUCAAGGAUUACUCAAAUAAUGUUCAAGCAAAUUUGAUCAUUUUGUCAUAAUCAAAACUAUAAUAAUUUUAAAGUUAACACACUCAUAUUGAUAUUAUUAAUUCUUUUGUGCUAAAUUAACAAAUUUUGAAAACUGAGAAAUUGUUCAUGAGUGCUUGAUUUUUUUUUUAUUUUUCAUGUGCUUACAUUAAAAAAUCAUGUCUUGAGAAUUAAAAUGUUCAAAUGCUUAGUCUAGGAAUAAUUCUUGAAAUAUGUUUCAUGUUUGUACUUAACUGAUUGUUUCAAGAUUGAAUUAUUGCCUAGGCUCAUAAAAUUGAUUAAGAUGAAAUCAUUGAACUUUAUAAAAAAAAAAUUUCGUUCAUCUAUUGUUUUGGUCAAGUCAAAUGCUUACAUGACUUUUAAUCUUGAUUGACAUUAAUGAUUGAAGUCUAAAACUUGACUUAAGUAAUAGAAUUACUUAUGGUACAUAAUUUCAUAACUCAAGUCAAGUUUGAUUAUGACAUAUAUUGUGUUAACAUAGUUGAAAUCUUUUAAAUAUGAAUUUGAUUGUUAACUAUGUCUCUCACGGGCUUAAAUGAUUACAUAAUCUAAAGAUUUUGUGUACAUCCAACUUUAUCUAUAAAUAACUUUCAUGAUUAACGAACUUGAAUUAUUUUAGUGAGAUUAAGAGUAAUUCUAAGUUUAUUGGAGCUUGGAAUAUCUACGUCUAAAUGGAUUCCCCACUCACCUUUAUAGAAUUCAACUUGUUUAAGUUGGAAUGCAUGUUUUAUUUAAUUAUUUAAAUUUAUUUAAAAAAAUGGUAACUUUACAUAUUGUCUUAAUUAAUACAAGAGUUGUCUCAAUUUAGACAAAGUACAUAUGUUGUCUUAAUUAAGACAAUAGUUGUUUUAAUUUAGAUAGAAAUAUUUGUGUUGAUUGAAGAUAAGAGAUGUCUAAAUUAUAUUAUUUUAUUUUUGGUAAGUCAAAAAAUUGUCUUAAUGAAUAAGUAUUUUUUUAAAACAAGAGCUGUCUUAAAAUGAAAAAUAUUUAUUAAGAUAAUUAUUGUCUUGAGAUAAAAUAAUAUGGGAGGAUUUUAAUUAUAAUUAAAGAAUUAAAUAGUUUAUUCUUUAUUUACAAUUAAUUACAAUUUCUUGAUAAAUUAUAAGAGCCCAUGUUUGAUUAGAAUUUCUUCAUUUUAUUAUUAAUUUUUUUAAUUAAAGAUGGAUAAUAAUAAAAUAGAAUAUUUAUUUAAUAAGGAAUCAUAUUUUGACUUGGACAAAUAAUUAUAAUUAAAUAAAUAAAUUAUUGAUAUUUAAUUUUAAUUUUAAUUAUUAUUGGAGGAGUAUGGUACAACAAUAACAUUUUACAGAUGAGCAACUUGGACUCUUGAUAGCAAUUUAUUUUUAAUUAAAAAUAAAAAUAAAAGAAGAGUUCAUCAAGAAACAAAAUUAAAGGGUGGCUGUACCUUAUAAUAUAAAAAAGGGUAAAAGAAAAUUUCAUCAUCUUUUAAGGCCGAAACCUUAAGUCCAAAAAUUCCUCCAAGAAUCCUCCAUAGCCACCUUUUCUCUUUAGGUUCUUCUUGAUCUCCAAUCUAAGUAUAUUUUUCUAGAAACCUCUCACAAGAAAAACAACCAUAAAUUUAAAAAAGGAAAUGAGAGAAAUUCAAUUGUUACCAUCUUGAUUUAUUCCAUACCUUGUCUACUUAAGGUUCAAGCUGAAAGCCAUUCUUGAAGAAUAAGUGGUAACUUUAUUUCGUUGAGAAAUCGAUGGUGUGGUGGUGAAUUUAUUAUAAUUCACUAAGAGUCAAGAAUCAAGAAUCUUGUAAAGGAAAAACCUAUUUUAGUAAUUUGGGCAUAACUUUCUCUCUAGAGGUCCAAACGAUGUGAUUCUAAAGGCAUUGGACAGCUAAAAACAGAACUAUAAUUCUUAUGAUGACCAUAUUUCCCAGUUUGAAUGGGAUCAAGGAGAAAAAUUUGUCACUUGUUGCUAGUUAGUGGGAACCAAAUUUGAGGAACGAGAUCAAGGAAAGGUAUGUUCAUCAUUAUUUAUAGAUUCUUGAUUUUUAUAGAUGUGAUUACAUGAUUUUGCAAUAAGUGUGAUGUGUGAAUUCACUUGUGUAUUUGGAUUGCUUGCUUUUGUAGUUAGAAAAUUUUUGAAAUCCAUGGUUUACAUAAACACAUCUAUGCAUAAAGAUCCAAUCUCCAACAGUGACUCCCAUAGAGGCUCAUCAAGUAGGGAGCUUAAAAGAAUGAAACAAUGGUUGUUACACUCAACAUGAAUUUACUAUUAACUUACCUACAAUAGCUUUGUUAGUAUACUUCAUGCACCAAAUAAAGGUGCUUUUUAACCAUGUUAGGUAUGAAGAUAUGGGGUAACAUAGUUAAGUGGGAUGGUCCUAGUUACCUAGUAGUAAAUUCUCACAACCCACCAUCGCUUUAUUUAUCAUAAAAAAGUGAAUGACCACAGAACUAAUAAUAUAAUUUAUAGGGUUUUAUAUAUUAUCAUCAUGCAUGCAUUAAUCAAGAAUUGUUCGAAGUCCAUGUAUAACUAGUAUACUUAUAAAAUUUCAAAUGUACUUUUAGAAACAUAUUUGCAUGCAAACAUGAAUCCACUUUCCAUUUUGUUAAAUAAAUGUACUCUUGAAGGUGAUAACUAUAUUGAAUAGAAAAGGAACCAAAAUAUCGUCUUAAAUUAUGACAAAAUCACAUGGGUUCUUUCUAAGCAUGGGCCUAAACCACUUACUCCCAAAUCAACUCCAUAAGUGCUAUAUACUACUGAACAGCAUAUUGCAAAAGCAGCACAAGGGCAUAGGCUAAGUGCUAUAUGCUGCUGACAUGAUGUUGCACUUGCAUGUGAUGUUUAGUGCUAAAAUAAGGUCUGUUAAGGUAAAAGCAAUCAAUGCUUUUAAAGACCCUAAGUAGAAACUUGGGGAGCUAGUUAGGGAUUACAUGUUGAAAGUAAUCUCUUAUCUCAAUGAGGUAGCACUAUAUGGUGUUGAGAUAAUUACAGAAAUGCAAAUAUCCAUGAUCGUUCAUAGCCUAAAUUCAUCUUUUUCACAGUUCAAAUUGGAUUAUGAACUGCACAUUAGGGAUUACACCCUAAGUGGGCUAAUGAAUUAUUUGCAAAAUAUGGAAAAGUUUCUUGAAUUGAAAAAGAAACCAAAACCACAUGCAGUUUCCACUUCUAAGCCCAAACCCAAAGGUAAAAAGAAGAAAGCUAGAGAUAAAAAUAGUGUAAAAGGCUCAAUGGGAGUUAAGAAAAAGCCCAUGAAGAAGUUUACUUCAAAAGACAACACCCAGGGAAAGUGUUUCAACUGUGGUGAGAAAGGACAUUAAAAGUGAAAUUGCAAGGUUUACCUUGGAAUCCAAAAGAGUGAACAAGGUAUGGGUUUUCUAAAUGUAAUAGAAGCUUGUUUGGUGGUUUAUUCUAUAAAUACAUAGAUAGUAGAUUCUGAAGCCAUAAACCACGUUUGUUAUUCUCUGCAGGGUUUCAACAAAGGACAAAACUAACUUAAGGGUAGUUUCAAAUGAGGAUGGCAAUUGGCACUCAUUCAGCAAAAGUGAUGGGAGCCAUCGCUCUUCAAUUUCCUUAUGGUCGUAGUUUAUUUUGGGAAAAUGUUUCUUACAUUCCAAAGACUUAUAAAAAUUUAAAUUUUGUUUUUUGUUUAAUAAAGUCUAUAUAUUCAGUUUACUUUUUGUUAGAUAAAUAAGCUUAAAGUAAAGUAACCAAAAAGGGAGCUGAAUUGGUUAUCAAAUAAAAAUUUUCCUUUUUUGAAAUUUCAACAUAGCUAAAGUACAAAGAACGGAGUUAUAAAAAUAGAGUAUAAGCUAAGUAAGUAAACUGUAAAAAAGGAAAGAGUACCCAGCCAAGCUUUUAUUGAGGUUUGACCAUUGAUGCUUACGUCUUCUCCCUUGAUAGCACAAGGAGUUCGAAUCCACUAUCAACUUACCUUUUAACACGAGAUCAGGCGUAACUUUUACAAUAAAAUGCCUUUUGUCAAACCCUGUUCUAUAAAAUAAUUACGACGUCAUUUACAUGCUCAAUAGAAUGUUUACAGAUUUAGAGAGUUUGAGAAAUCGUUAAAAGACGAUAUUGCCCCUAAUGGUACCAUUGAGUCGAUUAAGCCUCGAACUAGUUCAAAUAGGAAUUUUAAGGUGAAAUUAAGAGUUUCACAAUUCAUGGAUGACUCAAAAUGGUAAUUCGGAGUUCGAGGAUCAAUUUGGAGUCAAACCAGAAUUUUCACUAUCUAGGGGUAAAAUGGUCAUUUGCCACUUGGGGACCAAAUGGGAAUUUUUAGAAAAGAUUUGUUUUGGUCCAUUUGACUUAUUGGAGUAUGAUUUAAGUAUUGGAAUAUGAUUUGAAGUUUAGAAGUGAAAAAUUUUAAUUCCUAUAUAAUUUGGAGUAUAAGGGUGAAAUGGUAAUUUUGCCACCUCGGGGGCAAAUCGGUAAAUUUUCACCCCCGACACUUGUCAAGACCAAGGGAUUUUAUUCAUCAUGGAAAUGGAUAAACAUGAGAAAUGUGUGGUGGAGAAUUAAAAAAUUAAAAGUCAAAUAUUUAAAAUUUGAGCCAAUAAGGAAAUGCCAUGUGUCGUGUUUUUAUUAUUUUAUUAUUUCUUUAUAAAANNNNNNNNNNNNNNNNNNNNNNNNNNNNNNNNNNNNNNNNNNNNNNNNNNNNNNNNNNNNNNNNNNNNNNNNNNNNNNNNNNNNNNNNNNNNNNNNNNNNNNNNNNNNNNNNNNNNNNNNNNNNNNNNNNNNNNNNNNNNNNNNNNNNNNNNNNNNNNNNNNNNNNNNNNNNNNNNNNNNNNNNNNNNNNNNNNNNNNNNNNNNNNNNNNNNNNNNNNNNNNNNNNNNNNNNNNNNNNNNNNNNNNNNNNNNNNNNNNNNNNNNNNNNNNNNNNNNNNNNNNNNNNNNNNNNNNNNNNNNNNNNNNNNNNNNNNNNNNNNNNNNNNNNNNNNNNNNNNNNNNNNNNNNNNNNNNNNNNNNNNNNNNNNNNNNNNNNNNNNNNNNNNNNNNNNNNNNNNNNNNNNNNNNNNNNNNNNNNNNNNNNNNNNNNNNNNNNNNNNNNNNNNNNNNNNNNNNNNNNNNNNNNNNNNNNNNNNNNNNNNNNNNNNNNNNNNNNNNNNNNNNNNNNNNNNNNNNNNNNNNNNNNNNNNNNNNNNNNNNNNNNNNNNNNNNNNNNNNNNNNNNNNNNNNNNNNNNNNNNNNNNNNNNNNNNNNNNNNNNNNNNNNNNNNNNNNNNNNNNNNNNNNNNNNNNNNNNNNNNNNNNNNNNNNNNNNNNNNNNNNNNNNNNNNNNNNNNNNNNNNNNNNNNNNNNNNNNNNNNNNNNNNNNNNNNNNNNNNNNNNNNNNNNNNNNNNNNNNNNNNNNNNNNNNNNNNNNNNNNNNNNNNNNNNNNNNNNNNNNNNNNNNNNNNNNNNNNNNNNNNNNNNNNAAAUUUAAUAAUGAUUUCAAAAAUAGAGUAAUUGGAGACCUAUACUAUGAUUGUGUUGUUUAUCCAUGAUUUUACAUUAAAUGGCUUAUGAUAAAUGUGGGUAUGACUGGUUAUUUUUAUGAUUUUAAGAAUAUGUGAACUGUGUGUUAAGUGAGCCAUGUCAUACUAUUGUGAUUUUAUUGGUUGGUGGAUUAUAAAGUGGGCACUACAGUGACAGAGGUUCCGUGGGCCAGCCUAAUUAGAGGGGCAUGGUUCCCAAUUAUUGAGCUUACCUCGAUUGGAGAGGCGCGUAGGAUAACUCUCGAGGUAGGAUUUGAGUACACUUCACGCUGGCCACCACGUGAAACUGGGAUUCAGCCAACACCGAGGAAUGGCUGUGUUGUCAGAGGUGAAAUGUGUUUGUGUGUGUGACAAUAAACAACCUUGGCGGGGUAUCCCUGUGAAUGGAUUUUUGACAAGGGCCAAGUUUUUGAAAAGUGCAUAAGCCAUGUUGAGUAAUUGGAUGAAAUCCAAUUAUUUAUAUGGGUUGGGAUGAAUUAUUUUAAUUGUCUCCUAUUACUCGGCUUUAGAUUAUUUUGAUGAUGUCUGUCUACUCACUCGAAUUUUAUAAUCUCACCCCUUCUUCCUAUCCAUUUUUCAGGCUCAGAAUAAUUUGUUAAUAGUUGAUUAAGACGAGAAUUAAUCUCGGAGUUGCAUCUUAGAAAGUAAGGGUUCGUAACCCUACAUUUUCUUAGUCAGUUGGGGGCCAACGUGUCACUGUAAAAGUAAUUUUAUUCUUCAGUUAUUUAAUUUAAAGUAUGUAUGAAUAUAUUUAGCUUUUACACCAUGUUUUUGGCGAGUUUCGGUAUUUUCGAAGAAAAAUAAUAAAAAUGCCCCUGUAAGCCAGAAAGUAAUAUUUUAUUGUUUUGAUUUGGAAAUGACUUAUGAUUUUUUUUGAAAUGUGAGAUUUAAUAACUAUCGCUCACUAGGGAGAUGUGAAGCUGAUGCUAAGUCUUGCGGGGUUUCGAUUGACAUUCGGGGUAAUGAGUGCCUAUCGGGACGUCGCGACGGUUGUCACGGGCUCGAUGAGAGUUUCGGGUCGUGACACCUUUUCAAGGAUCAAGCACAACCUCAACCAAAGUCACUACCUUUUUAGGAUCAAGCACAACAUUUACAAUCAAAAUGACUUUUAAGGAUCAAGGAGGUAUAAUUUAUACAAUAGUGGAUUCUUAAAAUAAUCUCUAGCUCAAAACCUAUAAUUGUUGGUCCUAAAUAAAUGUGUUAAAGGAGGGUGAAUAGUAUUUUUGGCUCUUACUAAACUUCAUUUCCAAUUGGGGGUAAAUUGAAGGUCAAUGAUGAGAAAUUUGAAGCAAGAUGAAGGAACGACUUAAGAAAGAAUGAAAAUGAAAAAUAAAACAGAGGAGAUAAAACUCAAAGAUUUAUAGUGGUUCAGUCAAAAACCUACAUCCACUACCUUGAUUGUUCAACCAAGGAUUUUUCAAACCAAAUCACUAAAAACAAUGGAAUUCCCUAGCUUCCACCAAGCUUUUACAAUGGCUUUUCAUUGGCUCAGCCACAACCUUUAACAAUGGUUUUUCACAAGAUCAACCAAAACCCAAAAUGGCUUUUCAAAGGCUCAAUCACAACCUUUAAUAAUGGAUUUUCACAGGAUCAACCAAAACUCAAAACUAACUUUUCUAAGGCUAAGUUAGAACCUACCACAGCAACCAAGCUAACCCAAGCUUGAUCAACCCCUUAGAGUGCCCUACACACUCUAAGUAAUCAAGAAAUGAAGAAAAGAUGAAGUACAAUUGAUCACCUAGUUGAUCUAAGAUGUACAAAGCUAAGCUCAAACACUUUUUCAAAGGAUAAGAGUGAAAUACAAGUGUAAAGAGAAGGUUUUUGGUCUUUUAAGCUCCAAAUCACUAUGGAUAGCUUUUCUCUCUUGUUUUUGACUGUUAGAGAGGCUUUAAAUACUUACAAAAUCAAUUCUGGCCAUUGGAGAUAGAAACUAGCCAUUUUUAGCUGUUAUUUUGUCUUCUAAUGCUCAAUUUAAAUUUUCUGGCAGAAUGAUCUUAGUCGACUAACUGAGCUCUUAGUCAACUAAGUUGUCUCUGUCUUCUGAUCCUAGUUUUUGACAAUGAGCUCUUAGUCAACUAACUUCUUUUUUAGUUGAUUAAAUUGUUUCUAUCUUGAAGUCCAGAUUUCUGGCAGUAGGCUUUUAGUCAACUAACUUACUUCUUGGUCAACUAAGUCUUCUCUGUUUCUGAACUAGCCAUCUUCAUUUUUGAGUUAUUAAUUUAUUAUUGACAUACAUUUUGUCCUGCACACUCAAGUAGUAGAGUUAGACAUAAAUGAAUGGCAAUGUUUUAUUAUCAUAAAAAACUUAUGGAGCCAACAAUCUUCCUUCUUUUUUUUUUUGGAUGACGACAAAACAUUCCUUGAUUAAUAGCACAAUGUCUAUUAACUCUUUUUGUUCUGCACAAGAUGAGGAAUUUCUCCCCUUGAGUGUGUGUGUCACGACCCAAAUUUCAGGCCAUGACCGGCGUAAGGGCCCAAUAGACGUAGUCCAUUAAGCCCAAGCAAGCCUAUUAAUCUAACAUGUUCAUCAUUCCAUCAUAAACUGCUAAGUCAUAUUUCAUAACUUAGAAUCAAAAUAAUAUUAGACAUUGCCACCUCAUAUUGGCAUACCAAACAAGUGUAUAUACAUUAUCUACAACAUGUAUCUUAAUAAUUUACAUUAGGUUUGUCUACACACAACAAAAGAAUACUCGACUUCCAGCGAAGAGACUCGGACUAAUGUACAGCUACUGAAUGCCGAGACACCUACCAAAAGAUGGAUACAAGUCUACAAGGACACCUCGUCCUAGUUAUUGGCUACCUCGUGAUCUGAAAACAUGAAGUUGAAAAUGGUGAGUAUAAACCCAGUGAGUGAACAAGGAAGGGAACAAGCAACCACAAGGGAAAUUUAAAAUCAUGAUGCACUUGUUUCAAAACAAUGCAAUUUAGUUCCAUUCAUAUUAAAAAACCCCUCAUCAAGCCCUUAAAUGAUUAAUCAUUUGAAAAUCAUGAACCCAUACAUAACGAACCAUUUGAAAAAUGAAAGCUUCAAUGAUACGCAAGCAAGUCAAAUGUGACAACAAAUCUUUGCUGCAGCGACGUUGGGAUUAAGUUACUAGCUGAACAAGGGUUUCUCAACUGGCCGAGGGUUUCUCACUAAACCUCGUCAUUUUAAACUUAACUCAUUUAGUCCUUAAUGUUGAAAGUCCAUGCUCAGAUAUGGUAACAAAGAAGUGAAAAAUAGGGCAGCAAUUGGACAAGAUAGGGGACAAAACAGAAAGUUUUUCACUGCAGUGAGAUUCAAUCUCGCUGCAACGAAAUUGUGACCUAAAAACAGAAAGUUUCUUGCUGCAACGAGAAUGAAUUUCGCUACAGCGAGAAGCUACAGUGUCAUUCUCACUGCAGUGAAAAUGCAUUCUCACUGCAGUGAGUUUUCAGCCAAUCUACCCCUCCAAACCCGAGAGUUUCUCGUUGCAGCAAAAAUGAUUCUCGCUAUAGCGAGAAACAGGGCACCAAUGAAAAAUUUUCCCUUCUUCCUAAAGAAAAACCACCCUGCUAAAAUGUCCAAACCAACAUGAAACGCAUGACAAUUUUCCAAGUUUAACAUGUCAAGUUUCACAUGCAUUACAACCAUAUACCAUUACUAAUUAAUUUCCUAUAACACACAUAUUUACAUAUGUAUAUAUGUAUAUGUAUACCCAUCAUCAUCAUGCACACCAUCCCAUCAUUAUGCACACCAUCCCAUCAUCAUCAUACACACCAUCACAUCAUCAUCAUCACCAGCUCAUGCACACUCCCUACUCGCACAUGGCUAGGUCAUCAUCGGGUUAUGCGCACUCCCUACUCACACAUAACCGAGUCAUUCUUGGCUUAUGCGCACUCCCUACUCGCACAUAGCCGAGUCAAUAUAAUUACACAACACUAUAGUCAAACACAUAUGUAUAUCAACAUAAUGCUGCAACAUAGAGAUCCAUGAUAACCACAUGUCAUAACAUAUAAUUGAUUUAUCAAAGGCUUGUUCCCAAGGCACUUGUUUUAACCAAAGUUGUAUAGAAUCAUUAAAAUACUUUGUACAAAACGGUCAUAUUCCCAAAACUAUUUUGAUAGGCAAUCCACUCACAAGUAUAUUGUUGAGCCUUUAGAUGACUUUAAUUCCCCUAAUUGUCCAAAUGGGAUGAUGGGGCUGUGAGACCUCAACCUCUAUAGGCUUGUAACUAAGUAUAGAUGUAAUAAUACGAGCCAGGGGUAGUUUCGUCAUUUUCUCUAAUAAGCUUCCAUAAGAAACGUUUAUGAUAAUUUAAGGCUUAAAUGGGUAUAAGACUGCAUAAAUGAUGUGUGCUGAUGAAAACAUGAAGAAAACUAGAAGUUUCAAUAAUUUUCAUAACAGGGGCAAAAUGGUCAUUUUUCACCUCGGGUUAAAACUUUAAGUUUUUAUGAACCCGAACAUGUCUAGACCAUUAUGGAUCUUGUCCCAGUGUUAAAAGAGUAAAAAGUUUGCAUAAAACAUUGGAGGAGAAUAAGUAAAUUGGUGGAAGGGCAUUUUCGUAAUUUUAAGAGAAAAGAUAAGAUUGCCUAUAAAUAUCUUGAAUUUCCAGCAACUUCUAGAGAUGUUCCAACAGCUGGUCUUCUUCUUCUUCUUCUUCUCCUCUCUCAUGUUUUUUCAAAACUCCAUGGAAGCUUGAUUUGAAGCUUGAAUGAUUUUCUCUCUCUAGCUCUAGUUUUCACACCUUUGAACCCUUUUGACUAGAACCUUUGAAUUCUUUCAUCCUCUCACUUUAAAACCCUUGAUAAAGCUUAUUUCCAUACUUUCUCUCACUAGUUGGGCAUUUUAGAGAGAGAAAAAGAGAAUUACUCUAUUGAUUUAGAAGCAAUUAGAAGAGAAUUUGACUACAAAGGAGCCCUAGGGUAAGUAAUGAACUAAGCUCGAUUUUUAGUUGCAGAAAAUGGCUAGUAAUUGGGAUUUAUGAGCUGUUUUAUUGUUGAGUAUGUUCAUUACUUUUAGUGAUUAAGAUAGUGAACAUAGAUAGCUAUUUAAUGUGGCAAUUGAAAACUAGCUAAGAGAUAGCUUUUAAAGUUCAUAGUGUGUAAAUUGAUCUAUUGUUUAUGUUAAUGUGAUCCUAGGUUUUAAGGAAGCCCCAUCAUCUCAUUUGGACAAUUAAGGGAAUUGGAGUCAUCUAAAGGCUUUACAAUCAAUUGGUGAGUGGACUGCCUUCAAAACUUAUUUUGGGAAUAUAAUGUAUUUGAUAAACGUUUGAAUGAUUUUAUACGAUUUUUCAUGAAAAUGAAUGUCUUGGGAACAAGCUCUUGAGAAAUGAUUUAUGUUAUGAUAUGUGGUUAUUAUGGAUUUCUAUGUGGCUGCAUUAUAUUGAUAUACAUAUAUGCUUGAAUAUAAUGUUGUGUAAUUAUAUUGACUCGGCUAUGUGCGAGUACGGAGUGCGCAUAAGCCGAGGAUGACCCGGUUAUGUGCGAGUAGGGAGUACACAUAACCCGGUGAUGACCUAACCAUGUACAAGUAGGGAGUGCGCAUGAGCUGGUGAGGAUGAUGAUGGGAUGGUGUGAUGAUGAUGAUGGGUAUAAGCGUAUAUAUAUAUAUAUAUGUAAAUAUGUGUGUCAUAGGAAAUUGAUGGAUAAUGGGUUCUGGUUGUAAUGCAUGUGAAACUUGACAUGUUAAACCUUGAGAAAUUGUUAUGUGUUUCAUAUUGGUUUUGAACAUUUCAAGCAGGGUGGUUUUNNNNNNNNNNNNNNNNNNNNNNNNNNNNNNNNNNNNNNNNNNNNNNNNNNNNNNNNNNNNNNNNNNNNNNNNNNNNNNNNNNNNNNNNNNNNNNNNNNNNNNNNNNNNNNNNNNNNNNNNNNNNNNNNNNNNNNNNNNNNNNNNNNNNNNNNNNNNNNNNNNNNNNNNNNNNNNNNNNNNNNNNNNNNNNNNNNNNNNNNNNNNNNNNNNNNNNNNNNNNNNNNNNNNNNNNNNNNNNNNNNNNNNNNNNNNNNNNNNNNNNNNNNNNNNNNNNNNNNNNNNNNNNNNNNNNNNNNNNNNNNNNNNNNNNNNNNNNNNNNNNNNNNNNNNNNNNNNNNNNNNNNNNNNNNNNNNNNNNNNNNNNNNNNNNNNNNNNNNNNNNNNNNNNNNNNNNNNNNNNNNNNNNNNNNNNNNNNNNNNNNNNNNNNNNNNNNNNNNNNNNNNNNNNNNNNNNNNNNNNNNNNNNNNNNNNNNNNNNNNNNNNNNNNNNNNNNNNNNNNNNNNNNNNNNNNNNNNNNNNNNNNNNNNNNNNNNNNNNNNNNNNNNNNNNNNNNNNNNNNNNNNNNNNNNNNNNNNNNNNNNNNNNNNNNNNNNNNNNNNNNNNNNNNNNNNNNNNNNNNNNNNNNNNNNNNNNNNNNNNNNNNNNNNNNNNNNNNNNNNNNNNNNNNNNNNNNNNNNNNNNNNNNNNNNNNNNNNNNNNNNNNNNNNNNNNNNNNNNNNNNNNNNNNNNNNNNNNNNNNNNNNNNNNNNNNNNNNNNNNNNNNNNNNNNNNNNNNNNNNNNNNNNNNNNNNNNNNNNNNNNNNNNNNNNNNNNNNNNNNNNNNNNNNNNNNNNNNNNNNNNNNNNNNNNNNNNNNNNNNNNNNNNNNNNNNNNNNNNNNNNNNNNNNNNNNNNNNNNNNNNNNNNNNNNNNNNNNNNNNNNNNNNNNNNNNNNNNNNNNNNNNNNNNNNNNNNNNNNNNNNNNNNNNNNNNNNNNNNNNNNNNNNNNNNNNNNNNNNNNNNNNNNNNNNNNGAGUAAUGCCAGUACGAGUUGGCAAUGUAUAUCACUAUUUUGAUUCAAAAGUAUGAAAUAUGACUUAGCGAUAUUUGAUGGAAUGAUGAGUAGGAUAAAUCGAUAGGCUUGCUUGGGCUUAAUAGACUACGUUUAUUGGGCCCUUGUGCCGGUCAUGGCCCGAAAAUUUGGGUCGUGACAGGGGCUUCCUUGAAACCUACCAUCACAUUAACAUCACCAUUAUGUUAAUUCACAUACUAUAAACCCUAAAAGCUAUCUCUCAACUAGCUUUCAAUUGUCACUUUAAAUGAUUAUCGAUGUUCACUAUCUUAAUCACUAUAAAAUGAAUGAACAUACUCAACAAUAAAACAGCUCAUAAUCCCAAUUACUAGCCAUUAUUCACAGCUAAAAAUCAAGCUUAGUUCAUCACUCACCCUAGGGUUUCUUUGUAGUUGAAUUCUCUUCCAAUAGCUUCCAAACAAAUGGUGUAAUUCUCUCUUUCUCUCUCUAGAAUGCCCAACUAGUGAGGAAAAGUAUGAAAAUAAGAUUUUUCAAGGGUUUUAAGAAGAGAGAGUGGAAGAAUACAAGGGUUCUAGUCAUAAAGGCACAAAGGUAUGAAAACUAGAGCUAGAGAGAGAAAAUCAUGCAAGCUCCAUAUCAAGCUUCCGUGGAGGUUGGAAGCAAUGUGAAAGAAAAAAAGGAGGAAGAAGAAAAAGCUGCUGGAAAAUGGGAGAAAAAGCUGCUGGAAGAAAAAUAUUUAUAGCCAAUCUUAUCCAUUCCACUUAAAUUACCAAAAUGCCCCUCCACCAAUUAACUUACUCUCCUCCAACCCUUUAUGAAAUCUUUUUACUCCUUUGACACUGGGACAAGGUCCAUAAUGGUCUAGACAUACUCGGGUUCAUGAACGCUUAUAAUUUUAACCCGAGGUGAAAAAUGACCAUUUUGCCUCUACCAUGAAAAUCAUCAAAAUUUUUGUUUCCUUUUCAUUUUACCCCUAAUUUCAUCAUCUAUUUAUGCCUUAGGCCUACUUAGGCCUUAAUAUUGUUUAAACUUACUUUUAUGGGUUUGGUAAGGAAAUGACAAAAUUACUCUUGAUCAGGGAUAUCACGUAUACUUCCCUUUACAAGUCUAUAAAGGUCAAGGUCUCAUAGUGUGCCCCCCCUUAAUGUAUGCAUGAUCUUUUCAAGUUAUUUUGUUAUCCAACUUAGCAAGUCAGUUAAUUUUUUAUCUAUUUCUUAAUGAAAAUAACAAGCAUUGAUUCAAACAUUUGACAGAGCAUAUUCAUGAAUUGUCUUACAAGCUUGCAGAGCUACCAGUUAUAAGUAACAAGAUAUUAUCAAUAUUUUGACCAUUUAUACCAUCAUCAGCAUAUUAUCAACAAACCAUAUCCAUUCUAGAAUCAAAUGUCAUUAACAAGCCAACAAAGAUAACAUAAAAGCAUAACAAAAGUAAGUCAUCAGCAUCCAAAUCCUAACCAUCAACAAUUAUCAUAGCAGAAUGUCAAAUUCUAACCAUCAGCAAUUAUCACAGCAGAAUGUUAUAAGUAACUAAGUAUCACACACAUAAAUUAAACAUGAAGACCUAUCAAACUCUGUUUAACUUAGUCUUCCUUCUCUCCUUUUUCUUUUUCAUCAUUAAACAAGAUAUUCAAAACUUUCACUUAAUGAAUGCAUCAAGAUUUUCCUUGAAUCUUUAAAUCAAACUUUAAUGAAUGAGAAUUAUAAGCACUCAUGCACCUAAGUCAUACAAGCUUAUAGAUAUAGUUCAAUAACUUCAAGAGUCAAGCUUGUGCCUAUGUAAGAACAAAUGUAUGGGAGUUAAAUCAUUUCAAGAAAUUGUCAAGGAUUACUCAAAUAAUGUUCAAGCAAAUUUGAUCAUUUUGUCAUAAUCAAAACUAUAAUAAUUUUAAAGCUAACACUAAUAAAGCUAGUAAGGAAUUUGAGUACAAAAAGAUGAGAGCUUUCUCAAGAAUUAUGAACGAUAAAGUGAAGUUUAAGCUCAAGAAACUCUAGCUAAGAAAUAAAAAUGUGAUCUUGGUUUUCUGCUCUUGCUAAAAAAAAGGAUUUUUUUUUGUUCACAACUUUCUUACUUGUUUUUGCUAUUUUCUUUGCUUUUCAAUUCUUUUCAAUCUCUUCAAAAGUGUGUCUAUAAUGUCCUCAGAUUGGAUAUUUAUAGGCCCCGUGAUUUCUUUCCUUUUGGAAUGAAAUUUGAAUAAACUUUUAUACAUUUUGGCCAACUUGCACAUUUCUAUCGCAUAUGUAGAAUCGAUUCUUUGUUCAUGAGUUAUCAGUUCUUCAUAAAAUCUAAAAUUUUUUGUCUCUAUAGAAUUGAUUCUUCCUUCUUGAGAUGCCGAUUCUUCCACAACUUGGCUCAAAGGUGACAUCUUUACACUUUAGUAAAAUCAAUUCUUUUAUUCCAAGGAGUCGAUUCUUCACUAUGGUCUAGUGCCAAAAUUUGAAUUUGAGCUUGCUUUUUUGGCACUCCAAUCUUAUCCAAUUGUACCAUCUCUUUAUUCUUCACCAAGUUUAUGAUUUUUUUCAUUGGUGCUUCAAGAACCAAUAUCUUCUUCCUCCAAUAUCGAUUCUUUGUCUUUAGACUUUAAAUAUUUGAUUCAUUCUCACUCAAAACCGAUGAUUGCUUCAUGGAGAAUCAAUUUUUUCAUGCUUGAAUUCUUCCUUCUGCAUUUUGUUCUACUAGAAUUGAUUCUUGCUCUCUAAGCUGUCGAUUCUUCUCAAAUCUUGAAGCUUCUAUCUUCCAAGAACUGACUUUUUCUCUUAUUAGAAUUGAUUCUUCUCAUAAUAAGGGAAUAAAUUUUUCUUUCCACUCUUUUAAGAAUCGAUUCUUUAAGGCUGGCACUUGAGUUCAAGUUUGCUUAAAACCUUUUUUUCUUUGCAAGCUAAACUUCAGAAUUCUUAAGGAUUUUCUUCAAGUUUAAAAAUAUUUCUAAUCAUUUCCAAUUCAUGUUUAGAUCAAUCAAUUUUGUCAUUUCAAAACCAAGGUAAAGCUAACAAUCUCUCCUUUUUUUUUAUGACAAAAUUAAGAGCUAAAUUUGCUCAUUGAAAAACUCCUUUUGAAUUUAUGCUUAACAUUUGAAAAGAUCCCAGAACCAGGGUAACAUUAUAAAAAGGAUUUGAAAGGAUGUUCAGAACUCCGCCUGAGUUUGUGCACUUUUCAAAAUGAUUGCAUGAUAUUUUAAAAGCCCUUUUGAAAUCAUUGUUUAGGAAAAUCCAACCAAAUAUAUGAAAAGCUUUGGCAAAUUUACUCCUAAUAUUUUCCCCUUUUUUUAUGUAAAUAGAGUUAGAAUAAUGAGAAGAAAAACUCAUAGGAAAACAAAGCAUUAGUAGUACAAUAUAAAUACCAUUUAAAGACAAAGCAUAUAGACAUUCAUAGCAAGAUAGUUCAAUCAAUUAUACUUAUAGAUGUCAAAACAAAUAAUGUGAAUCUUGCAUUAUCAAUAUCUAAAUAACAAAACCAUUUAGAUCAAAACAUUAAUCAAUGAGACGUAUCUAUGAACAUGUAGAAGUCAUCCAACAAGAAUGUCACGACCCAAAUCUAGGGCCAUGACCGACGCAAAGGUAUUGAUGGGAGUUACCCUCUUAACCCAUGCAAGCCUAAGAUGAACAAUUCAAGUCAAUACUUGGAAUUACCUCAUGGGACUCAUCACCAUGGAACUGUACAUAAAACAUAUACGAACAUAUCAAAUCACAUAAGAUUAAAUCAUAUUAGUUUACACAUUAACGUGGCCAAAAUGAGAAAGCAAUAAUCAGUAAAAUAUCAUUUAUAGGCCAUCCUAUGGCAUUUACAUAGUGUGGCCAUUACUUGGCAAAUUCCAUAUACAUAUCAUUAAUACAAGACGUAAAUAUAGUCAUAUUUAUAACAGUCAAACAAAAUGACCAAACCAAAUAGGACCAACAGAGAACAACUCAAAACAAAAGGGCUAACACCUACUUGAUGCCAUAAGAUAACCUACCAAAAACUGAUCAAAGUGUUGGCUCUUCCCAAAGGACAAUGAGCCAAGCAACUAUUGAUAUGCAAAACAAGUGCAUCUUACAUUUAUGAGUUGUAAAUAACUUCAUAAGCAGAUACGAGAAGGGGGAACUAGCUAAACGGGAGAGUGUUUGUCCAAAAUACUUUUAAAAUAAAUGUAAAUAAUCUGAUUCAAAAAAAUAACAAAGUUGCCUUUCAACUGUAACAAUUUUUCCUAAGGGUUUAGGAAUUUAAUCCUAAGCAAAAUCAAGCAUCCUAUAGUGCGAGUUAUGUGCCAAGUAUGAUCACAUAUCAAACAAACUUCAAUACCAUCGCCUCGAUGGAUACAAACUUAUUUAGAAGGAUUUUAUAAAAUUUUGUUGGAAACCAUUCUCAAACCUUUGAAAUAAAAAUUAUAGUUUGUAAAACAUUCAAGUAUUCCCAAAAAAUAAUUUAUUUAUAUUGAGGUUUAAAGCUUUUGUAAAACAAAGUGUAGUUCAAAGAAAAUGAAGUAAUGUUGUUGUCUUUAGAAAAUCUUUGAGGAAAACGAAUGAAUUUCAAAUUAACAUAAUUUGCAUUACAUUGUGUAAAUCAAGUUUGAAUACCAUAUACAAAUGCCAAAAAUCUAAACAAAUAACAACUCAAGCACCAAGGUCGAAAUCAAUGUCAAUUCCAAGAAUCGAGGUCAAAACAAAUACCAAAUCUAAAGUCCAAAGUUGAGAUAAUAUCAAUACCAAAGUCCAAAAUCCAAAACAAUUAUCAAGCUUCAAUUCCAUAGCAUAACAUAUCAUUUCAAAUAAGUCGUGGAGCACUAAGUAGCAUGGUCAACUAAAUCAAAAUAUGUCGUAGCACUAAAGGGGUCGGAUACAUAAUAGUCACCAACCGUAUAUCAAAAGUGGUAAAAGUCGUAUCAUCUACCAAACAAAACCAAAUCAAGGGGGUAAGACUCUAUCAACUACCUAAUAAAAGUUAAGCAUUGUGCACAAUGACUAAUGUCUACUGUCACUAGCUAUAGGUCCAUAACUCAAGUAGGCUCCACUAAAACAUAUGUAUUAUUUUUACUAAUAUCCAAAUACUUGAUCCCACAUGAAGAGAAGAAUCCAAUCACCAUCCAAGAAACAGAGGGUUUAAUAAAAUGAAGUCAGGUGUACAAAGUCUAUUGCCAAGCAAAGUAUAUUCUCCAUCAUCAACAAAAUAAGAAUUUGAAGCAAAUGCUAAAUCAAAUCAUCAAUCUCAAGGCAAAUUGACCCGAUGCUAGGGUCUAUGCAAGGUAAAUAACUUCGUUUUAAAUUUCCAAACUUGCAAUCAUUCAAAUAGUCAUAAACAAACAUAGAUUUUUUAGGUAUCAAACAUUUCAAAAGGAUUUUUCCCCAUGCCAAAGCUAUAUACAUAGUAACAUAUUUACAUAAGAUAUCUAGAUUUCAUAAAAUAAUCUUAAAACCAUUAUUCAUAACACAAAGUCCAUCAAAAUACGUUGUUGUAGAAUAGGCAUGCUUAAUUAUAUUAAAAUAAUUAAAAAUGUUGUAUCUACCCACUUCUUGAAACGCGCUUUUUUUUUUCUCUUGGCACCUUUCGUUAAAAGCUUGACUUUCCUAACAACUCAAAUUACUCCAAUAUCACCUAAAAAUGAUAUUUAAUCAUCAAUACUCUCAAAGUCCUAAUAAAAUGAUAUUCAAUCAUCAAUUUCGUCAACAACCUUUAAAAAUUUCAUAAUACUUUGAAUAUCCAUUUCUAACCCUAUUUAAUCUCCACUUAUUUCUAAUUAUUUCCACCAAACUUUCACCCAAACUUCAUACCCAAUAAAUAAAAAACUUAUUUUACCUAUUUGUCCUCUUUGGUGAGCCUUUAGUGGAGAGAUCUAGCCCAAUCUUGAAAACUUAAAAAAUUUAUAGCUUUUAAAAAGAGAAAACAAAAAUCAUCAAAACUAAGUUUUUUGGGAGUGAAAAUCCUUACCUUUAGGACUUAGAAUCCAAGAUUUAUUGAUAAGUUUGAAGGUUUUGAAAGGUUUGAAAUUUGAGAGAAAUUGGGUGGCGAAAUAAGGAGAUAAGAGAAGAAUGAGAAAUUUUCAAGUUUUAAGGCUUUUAAGCUUGUUUUAAGCUAACUAGGCAAUUUAGGAUUGACUAUGGAGGGUCUAUAGUCAAUCCUGGACUAGAAGGUUUUGGUUUCACUCAUUUCCCCUUCACAAAAUUGACUAUAAAGGAUCUAUACCCAAUCUUGGACCAGAAUGUUCACUUUUCACUUAGUUUUCCUUCACAAGAUCAACUAUAAGCCCUCUACUAUUGGCUCCAUUAGUUUUUGAUGAUAAUAAAACAUUCCCAUUCAUUUGUGUCUAAUUUCUUUACUUGAGUGUGUAGGAAAAUUAAUGUAUGAAAUUAAUAAAUCAAUCUUUCAAAGUGAAUAUCAAAAGAAAAAAAAAGAUAAAAAAAAUAAGACAUGACUGCUUAACUAGAAGGAAGCUCAUUAGAUGAAUAAGGAAGAAUGUUGGUUGGCCAAGAUUCAAAUUGGAGAAAUGACGGGCUGAAGAAUAUUGAGAAACAGAACCAACUUAGUAGACUAAGAAAUGAGCUAGUCGACUAAGUGCUUACUGCCAGAACUGCCAAAAAUAGGGAGCAGAAAACAGAGACGACUUAGUCAACUAAGAUAUCAGUUAGUCGACUAAGAGCAUUCUGCUUGCAAGUUUGAAAUCUGCACUAAAAGAUAGAGUAACGGCUAGAACUGACUCCUAACUGUCUCCAACGACUAGAAAACUAUUAAACUGCCAUCAGAGAUGUUUCUCCAAGUAUAAAAGAGUCUUCCAACAGUUAGAAACUAGUUUUUAGAAGUUUUGGAGGAGAUUUGAGCCAUAUAGAGCUGAAAAACCAGAAAAUCUUCUCUACACCUUGCUGCACUCAAACGCCCAUCCUUGAAUUUGUAUUAUGCACUCAACCUUGUACCAUUUAGAUCAACUUGUGAUCAUAGGUACUUUUUUUUACCUUUUUUCUUCUAUUCUUAGAGUGAGAGAGUCACUCUGAGUAGUUGUUUCAAGUUAGGAUUGCUUGAAGGUGUUAAGGUUCUAACUUAGCCUUUAAAAGUUAGGUGUUGGGUUAUAGUUGAGCUUGGGAAAAACUAGUGCAAAAGGUUUUGGCUGAGCCUUGUAAAAGCCAUUGUAAAGCUUGGUGAAAGCUUGUGAAUUUCACCGAUUCUUAGUGGAUUUGUUGGGAAAAUCCUUGGUUGGAUAAUCAAGGUAGUGGAUGUAGGUCUUGGACCGAACCACUAUAAAUUGUUGUGCAUUGUCUACUCUAUUUUUUUAUUUUCAUUAUUCUGAAAAUUAGUUCCUUAUUUUGUCAAGAGUCGAUUUGUGCUAUUCACCCUCACUCCAGCACAUAUUAUUGGGACCAACAAGUGGUAUUAGAGCUAGCUGUCUGUUAUUAAGGUCUAACACCCUUUGAGAGGAUCCAAAUGGCUCAACUAAAAUCAGUAGUGGCUGAGGGACAAUCAACAAAUAGACCACCUCUGUUUGAUGGCUCUAAUUACCCUUAUUGGAGCACUAGGAUGUUAAUCUAUAUUAGAGCUAUAGACUAUGAAAUGUGGGACGUCAUAACCGAUAGACCCUUUAUGCCCUCAACCGUGAAUGUGGUGACAAAUGAGUUGAUGCCAAAUCAAAGGUCUAAAUGGACUGAAACUGAAACUAAGAAAGCUCAAAUAAAUUUUAAGGCCAUCAACACAUUACAUUGUGCCUUGACCUCCACUGAAUUUAAUAAAGUCUCAAGCUGUUCAAUAGCUAAACAAGUGUGGGAGAAACUUAGAAUAAUCCAUGAAGGGACUUUUAAAGUAAAGGAGUCCAAAAUUGCCCUCUUAACACAUAACUAUGAAAUGUUCAAAAUGGAGCCUGGUGAAGACAUCACUAGCAUGUUAGAUAGGUUUACAAACAUCACAAAUAAAUUGAGUCAACUAGGCAAGCCUAUCCCUAAACAUGAAUUAGUAAAAAGACUACUUAAGAGUCUACCAAAAAAUUGGAAGCCUAAAGUGACUACAAUUCGAGAGGCAAAAGAUCUAAAUGUUAUCACCUUAGAUGAUAUUUGUGGCUCUCUCCUAACUCAUGAGCUAGAGCUUAAAAAGGAAGAAGAAAAAGAUAGGAGGGAACCAAAUGAAAAAAAAAAGAGCAUUGCACUUAAAGCUAGCAUCCUUGAGGAAGAGCUGGAAGAGUUGUCCUGUGAUGAUGAUGAAGAGUUAGCUUUGGUUGCAUGAAAAUUUAGAAAGCUUAUGGGCAGAAGAAAUCGGAGACUGGAUAAAAGAGGGUUUAGAAAAGAUCAAGGUGCUUCAUAAAAAAUCAGAAACAAAAAAAAAGGAGUUGAUUUGCUACGAAUUCAAGAAACUUGGUCACUUCAAGUCCGAGUGUCCAUUUAUGAAAGAUGAGACUCCAAAGAAAAAUAAGAAAUCCAAAAAAGCAGUGGCUGCUGCAUGGUUGGACAAUGACACAUCAAGCUCUGAAGCUGAAGAUGAAAAAUCUGAGGAAAGAGCAAACAUUUGUUUGAUGGCACAAAAGGAUGAAACCGAGGUAUCCUCAUCCCCCUAUGAUAUUUGCAUUAAUGAUUUAUAGGAUGAGUAUGACAGCCUCUGUGAUGAAUUUGAAAAACUUUUUUCAAAAUACAAAACAUUAAAGAAAAAGGAUGCAUCUAUUGAAAAUGAUUUGGAAAAGAUGAGACAAGAGUUCAAUUCUGUUUUUGAGCAAAGAAAUAUUUUGCAAAUUAAGUUAGGACACUCAAAAACAGAUUUUGAAGUUUUAAAAUUAGAGCUGAAUAAUAAGUCUGAUGUUGUGCAAAAAUUACUUAAUGAAAACACAGCUCUCAAAUGUUUGAAAAAUGAAUCUCCAAAAAGAUAUGCAUACCACAAUAAAAAUUCUGCUAAUGCAUUACCUAGAUGCAAUAAUUGUAGUAAACAUGGUCAUUUAUCAUAUGAUUAUUUUAAGAAAAGAAAUGUGCAGAAAAUCAGAAAAAUUUGGGUUCCUACAGGAUCCUAUAUUGCAAUUAACACUCAAGAAUCCAUCAAAGUAUGGGUACCUAUAAAGAAAAACUGAAAUAUUGUUUUGUAGGUUGAACUGCACUUAAAUGAGACAUGUUCAAGAGCUCAACUCAAGAAGAAGCAGCCUUGGUACAUGGACAAUGGCUGCUCACGGCACAUGACAGGAGAUGAAAUGUUAUUUGCUCAGCUAAACAAAAGAAAGGGAGGUACCGUAUCCUUUGGUGAUGAUUCAAAAAGUAGGAUUCAUAGGAUAGAUACGAUUGGUAAGAACUCCCAAACUCAAAUCAGUCACGUGUUGUUAGUUAAGAGUUUGAAGCAUAAUUUAUUGAGCAUUAGUCAAUUAUGUGACAAAGGAUUUAAAUUAUGUUUUGAUUCAAACAAGUGUGAAGUAAUAGAUAUAGGUACAAAUAAAGUCUCAUUUAUAAGAAAGAGAUUGAAGAAUAUGUAUGUUGUUUUUCUUGAGCAUCUUGAAAUAAAUAAUGAAAUAUGCCUUGUUACAAAUGCUGGAAAUGAUAACUAGUUAUGGCAUAGAAGAUUAGGACAUGUAAGCUUGCAUACUAUGUCAAAAUUGAUUAGAAAGAACUUAGUUGUUGGGCUGCCGGAUUUAAAAUUUGAAAAUGAGAAAAUAUGUGAUGCUUACCAACUAGGAAAACAAGUUAGAACAUCCUUCAAGACUAAGAAGAUUGUGUCAACAUCUAGACCUCUUGAAUUAUUACAUAUUGAUCUAUUUGGUCCAAUAAGCACAACUAGUUUAGGAGGAAAAUCAUAUGGCUUUGUAAUAGUUGAUGUUUAUUCUAGAUAUACUUGGGUUUAUUUUCUUGCUCACAAGAAUGAUGCUAUAUCAGUUUUUAUAAGUCAUUGUAAGAAAGUUAAGAAUGAAAAAAGACUAACCAUAGUUAGCAUAAGGAGUGAUCAUGGAGGAGAAUUUGAAAAUGAUGAAUUUGAGAAAUUUUGCAAUGAAAAGGGAUGGGAUCACAAUUUCUCUACACCUAGAACACCCCAGCAAAAUGGAGUGGUAGAGAGGAAAAAUCGAACAUUACAAGAAAUGGCUAGGACUAUGUUAUGUGAGAAUAACCUAACAAAAUAUUUUUGGGCUGAGGCUGUGAACACAGCAGCUUACAUACUUAAUAGAGUCUCAAUAAGAUCCAUGAUGUCUAAGACACCAUAUGAACUUUACAAGGGUAGGAAACCAAACAUUUCUCACCUUAGAAGUUUUGGCUGUAAAUGUUUUGUAUUGAACAAUGGAAAACAGCCCCUAGGAAAGUUUGAUGCAAAAAGUGAUGAGGCAAUAUUUUUAGGAUAUGCAUUAAACUCCAAGGCUUAUAGAGUUUUCAACAAAAGGACUCUAAAUGUUGAAGAAUCAAUCCAUGUAGUUUUUGAUGAGUCAAAUGAUUUACAAAAGGAAAGUCAUGUUGAUGAUGAUGAUGUAGAAAUCCUAGAAAACCAAAUGGAAGAAAUGAGCCUAGAGAACAAUAAGAAUAAUGAAGAAAGCUCAUCUAGAAGAGAAAAUGAAACUCCACCUCUAAAAGAUCUGCAAGAACAAAAAAUCAGCAUAGUGAUCUUCCAAGAAGUUGGAGAUUUGUAAGAGACCAUCCACAAAAGCAAAUCAUAGGUGACAUUUCUCAAGGUGUCAAAUCUAGAAAAGUAACUAGGGAGACUUGUGAAUUUUCAGCUUUCCUAUCUCAAAUUGAACCUAAAAACUUUGAAGAAGCUGAAAAUGAGGAAAGUUGGAUAAUGGCCAUGCAAGAGGAACUUGACCAAUUCAAAAGAAAUCAUGUAUGGUCACUAGUACCUAGACUUUCAAAUCACCCUAUUGUUGGCACAAAAUGGGUGUUUAGAAAUAAGGUAGAUGAGCAAGGAAAUGUAGUUAGAAAUAAGGUAGAUGAGCAAGGAAAUUUAGUUAGAAAUAAAACUAGGUUAGUAGCCCAAGGAUACAACCAAGAGGAAGGAAUAAACUAUGAUGAAACCUUUGCACCGGUUGCUAGAAUUGAAGCCAUAAGGAUGUCGUUAGCUUUCGCAUGCUUCAUGAAUUUCAAAUUGUACCAAAUGGAUGUAAAAAGUGCAUUUUUAAAUGGAUUCAUUCAAGAGGAAGUAUAUGUAGAACCACCACCAGGUUUUGAAGAUUUUGAAAAACUAGAUCAUGUUUUCAAACUCCACAAAGCUUUAUAGGGAUUGAAACAAGCUUCUAGAGCUUGGUAUGAGAGGCUUUCAAAAUUUAUGGUUGAAAAAGGUUAUGAUAAAGGCAGCAUUGAUACUGCAUUGUUUAUUAAAAGAUGUUUAAAUGAUCUAAUUGUUGUGCAAAUAUAUGUGGAUGACAUUGUAUUUGGUGUAACUAAUGAGGCUUUAUGCAAGAACUUUGCUAAAGAAAUGCAGGGUGAAUUUGAGAUGAGCAUGAUGGGAGAGUUGAAGUACUUUCUUGGUCUUCAAAUUAAAUAAAGUGAAGAAAGAAUCUUCAUCAACCAAGAAAGGUACACUCAAGAUAUGCUCAAAAAGUUCGAUAUGCUAAAGCUGAAACUAACCUCCACACCAAUGAGUCCAUCCACAAGACUUGAUCUUGAUGAAAAAGGAAAGAAUGUAGAUCAAAAGCUGUAUAGAGGUAUGAUCAGUUCACUACUUUAUUUAACAGCAAGCAGACCAGAUAUUCAGUUUAGCGUGUGUUUGUGUGCUAGAUUUCAGUCAUAACCUAAAGAAUCACACCUAACAAUUGUUAAAAGAAUUUUUAGAUACCUUUUAGAAACUCAAACUUUAGGAUUAUGGUAUUCUAGAGAAUCAUCAUUUGAUCUUGUAGGCUAUUCAGAUGCUGAUUUUGCUGGCAGCAAAACUGACAAGAAAAGUACUAGUGGAACAUGCCAAUUUCUAGGUAGCAUGCCUAUGCCAUGGUCCAGCAAGAAACAAAGUUCAGUAGCUUUAUCUACAGCUGAAGCAGAGUAUAUAUCACUAAGUAGCUAUUGUGCACAAAUUCUUUGGAUUAAACAACAAUUGAAAUACUAUGGAAUGACUAUCCAUAACGUACCAAUAUACUGUGAUAACACAAGUGCAAUUAAUAUAUCAAAAAAUCCUAUGCAACACUCUAGAACAAAACACAUUGAGAUUAGACAUCAUUUUGUUAGAGACCAUGCAGUGAAAAAUGAUGUUAAAAUUGAAUUUGUGAAUACUUUGCAUCAACUAGCUAAUAUUUUUACUAAACCGCUGAAUGAAGAUAAAUUCUAUGAAAUUAGAAGAAAUCUAGGUAUGAUUAGUCAACAGGAAUUGUGAGAAAACCUUUGGUUCAUGAACAUGAAACAGAAUGCAUUUAUUCGACUAAGAUAAAUCUUAGUCAACUAAGAGUAUUCUGGUAGCAUCAAAUAAUAAGACUUAGUGAAUAAAAUAAGGAAAGAAUAAAAUAAUAUAAAGCAUGUGUGUACCGAGUGAUAAGGAAAGAAGAAAUACUGCCUAAAGUGAAUAACCAAAAUUUAGAGGGAGUUUUGAAAUUUUGAGCAAAUAGAAUAGGGCAAUAUUUAAGGGGGGAGGUGAAUGAUUUUCUAAGAGAAAUUAAAACUACUGACAACUUCUUUUUCUCCAUUUUCUUUCCCCUAAAACUCAAAAAUCUUAAACCAAAACCCUUUUCUCUCCACUUUCUUGCCUAUGAAACCGACUCAUACCAAAACUAAAACUCUCAAACCCAAGUCUGAAAUUUUCAAAAUCAAAAUGGCAAAAACAUCUCAAAGUAGAGAAAUCAUUGAAAAGAAGAAGGGAAAGAGACCAGUGGAAGAAGGAUCAAAAAUGGAAUUACUGAAAAAGAAACAAAAAAUCACGUCUGCUUCAGUGAAAGAGAUAUCUGAGAAAUUGAAAGAAAAGAAGCAGAAAACAGAAAAAAAAAAGAAGGACAAGGAAUCCACACUUAAGAAACGUACUAGUUCUUCCUCUUCUAAGUUCAAAAAUAGGAUGCAUGAACUGAGGUUCAGAAAAAUUGAGAAUGCACCUAUAACUUAUGGCAAAUAUAAUGACUGGAAGAGUUUUAAUGAGAACUUAGAAAUUCAAACAAGUUUAUCCAACUAUUUUAAUGAAUUAAAACUGAAAGGAUAUAGCACUUUUAAGAAUAGAUCUUACAAUGCAAGUCUGGUAAAGGAGUUCUAUUCUAGCAUUGCUUUAGGAGAAAAAGAAUUAGAGGAUUCUGAUGACUAUGUCGAAAAUGGUCUGAAUGUGUAUUUGAAUGGGAAAAAAUUUGUUGUCAUUGCUUGUCACGACCCGGAACUCCCAUCGAGCCCGUGACAACCGUCGCGAUGUCCUAAUAGACAUUCAUUACCUGAAAUGCCAAUCGAAACCUAGCAAGGCAUAACAUCAGUUUUCUCGCUUCCCCUAUGAGUAUUAGUUACUAAAUCAUGUUUUAAAGUGAUAUGAAACAAUUUCAAUUCAAAAACAGUCAAAGAAAAAUUUCAACUACACAGGGGUAUUUUGGUCAUUUUUCACAAAAAUUCCAAAACUAGCUAAAAUGUACUGUAUGAGAGAAAUUUACACAUUUCAUAACCGAAAAUAAGUUUACAUAUCUAAAACAUUCAUUUAAAGUGAAAUUAUAGCUACUGGAAAAAAAUAAAAAUAAUAAAUAAAAUAUUCUAAUUUUUCAUAAAACAAUUUUUAUAGAGCACUAAGUAAAUAAUUUUUAUAGUGUCAAAGCAAAAUAAAUUCCUACAUACAGUAGCACACAUAGCCAAGUAUUCAAAACAUUUAACAAUGACAUGUGGGCCCUCGAAUGACUAAAAGUAAUGAAGGUUGUGAAGCUACAAUUUUUGAGGAUGCAAGUCCAACUGUAGCCCUCAACAAAAUGAGCUAUCUACCGACUAUCUUGAGCUGAAAUGGGUGCAAAUGAGGGUGGUGAGAUUUUAUAAUCCCAGUGAGUAAACAAAUACCAUCUAAAAUAUCUAAAGUUGAGUAAAUGGAUACAGAUAAAAUAGAUUAGCAUAAAAAUGAUUCACAACAUUUCGAACUCAUUUUAGUAAGAUAAAAUAGAUUCAUUUCACUCAAAAUAAACAACGAGGCUUAUGAUUUCCUGAAAAGCUUGGCUCGUGCCAAAAUCAUUCUUAUACUCAGUUGUCAGGGAUACCUUGGCUUGGAGCUAUCCCAACCGAGUCCACCAAGGCUGUUAAAAAGUCAUGUACGCAUAAAUCAUGUUUUUAUUUUGAAAACAUAGCCUUUCCUUGGCGUUGGCUUAGUUCACCCUUACGUGGUGGUUUGGCGUAAAGUGAACUCUAAAGUUGUACCUAGGAAGUUACCUUACACGCCUCUCUGAUCGAGGUAAGAAUAUAACAGGAUUUCGUGCCCCUCAAAAAGACUGGUCUAUAGAACCCGCCCACUGUAGCAAGCUAAACCCACCAUACAAUAAAAAUUCAACAGCAUGACAUGGCAAUUUUAUCAUUAUCUAGCCUAUCAAGGUAAACAACAAUUUAUACAUUUUCAACACAAAUACUCAUCCAGCCAUUCAUGCCCACAUUAUCAUAAGUCAUUCAAUUCAAAACAUAAUUUACAAUACAGCAAGUAGUCUCCAAUUACUCCAUUUUCAAAACCAUCGUUCAAUUUCAAGACAAUUUUAUAAAAUCAUUUCAUUUAAUCACAUUUUCCAUAAAAUCACAAAAACGAAUUAAAAUUCACUUUAGAUAAUUAAGAUGAUGAUAAGGUUACUCACUAUUUCGGGAGUCAAAUUUUGAGUACUCCGAUUCUUGAUCCUCGGGUACUAUCGCUUUACUUUUGCCAGAAAGCUCACCACCUAGACAUAAUGCACAAUAAGCCAUUUACUACAUUUGUGCUAAACCGUUGCAAAACCAAUUCAGGCUUUAUACUAAUGCAUGAAAUGGGAUGUGAAAUACUCGGGUAACUAUCUAAAUACGGUGUUCAAUAUAAAUUCAAUUAUGUACCUAAAUAAAAUGAUAUUGGCCUAAUUCAAUCUAUCACCCAAUUAAUUGGCCAAUAUGUCCAAUUUAACUCCAUUUUUCUUCUAAUUCUCCAAACCAUCAAACACAAGUCAAAUAACAUAAAAUUUAGCAAAAUCAUCUUUCUCUUGGGAAUUUCGGCCAUGGUGGGUGCAUCAAUACUAUGAUUUUUCCUACUUGAUUUUCUCACCGUAAUUCAUCAUUUCCUAACCAAUUCACUUGAAAUAAAAUCAAAUCCACCAUCCACACUCUACAUGGAAAAAUCGACCAAUGAUGGGUGAUGGGAGGAAGUGAAUUUUUCUUGUUAGCUUUUCAUGCUACACAUCACUAACUAACUAAAAACACUAAAAUACAUUGAAAUCUAACCAAAUCAAGCAUCAAAACCUCCCUCUAAGUGUUCGGCCAGCAAGGGAUUCAUCAUGAAAUCAUGUGAUUCAACCAUGGAAAAUGCAAAAGAAUGUAUGGGAAAGGUAGAUCGCAAGUCAAAAUCAAGAAAUUUUACCUUUGAUUGCUUGAUUACUUGAAAUCCACCAAUUUUCUCUUGAAUUUUCACUCUAGGGUUUUUGUUCUUUCUUUUCUUCCUUUGUUCUUGCUUUGGCCGGCCAUAAGAAUGAAUGUGGAAGAGUUCAAAUUGGCUUUAUAAAGGAAAAUAUUAAAUGGACAAAAAUUUACCAUGUGUCACCAUUCCAUUGGUC